UUGUUUAGGAGUGUAGCUAGCCUUAGUUGUGCUUUGUUGUUGUGCCUUAGUGUUUAGCCUUACACUAGACUUUAGGUGGCUUGCAUAGCUUAGUUGAGCUAGUGCUAAAAUAGCUUCGCCAUUUGUUUUACUAACCAACUAGAGUCUAGUUGAGUUUGUAGAAAAUUUAAAUAGGCUAUUCACCCACCUCUAGCCAUUUGGACCUUUCACCCAAUCGAUUCCGUAUUUUUCGGAUAAAUUCGGAAUCGGUUUGAAAUUCGGAGUACUAAAUUCGAACUCGGAGCAAAAUCGAUUUGGGGUUUGUUCGACGGUUUCCAUAUUUCCAUAUUAUAUUCGAAAUUUGACCGUUUUCAAAUUCGGCCAGAACCAAAUUUGAAAAUCCCAGCAGCCCAGCCUUGACUCUAACUCUAAGCCUAGCCCACGAAAGCCCACCAGCCAACCCUAAACCCUUCCUGACGCGGUGACGCCUCACCCUCUCGCGGUUCCUCUCCCUGGCGGCGCACAAGUCGGGACACUGCUCCGUCGGUCCGUGACGGCCGCUCGCCCCGCGUGCAAGGCCGCCGCUUGCCCCUGUGCAAGGCCACUGCUCCAGCUGAUCUCGCUAGCGCCCAGGUGUUGGCGACGCUUAUUAUAUAAAAAUAAAUAUCUUUUUAUAAAUAAAAAUAAAUAGAAAAUAGGGCUUUGAUCUAAUCUUUCCACGAGUUUUGGUAUAUAUGCUAUUUUCAGGUAUGACACGUGCAAAAGUGCAAAAGAUACAAGAAAUGCACAAUGCAAGAAUUCGUAUUUAGAAAAGACGCAAACCAACUCCAAUAGAGAAAAGCCCACCAAAGAUGAACUGGACCCAUCCGUAACCACGAGGAGGAUCAGGGCCCAGAGCACAACCGACCACGCGAAGGUGGUGGCCAGGGGGGCCCACCCAGGUUGCGGGAGCAACCCUGGUGGCGGUUCCCCGGCCCCACCUUCUUCUCGCGGUUGCAUGGCGGCAUGCACAGGACGGUUUCACCUACUACUAUAUUUAGAUCCCGCAAACCAUCCUAGUUGAGCUAUAAAUAGAUGGCUCCCCUCCAUUUGUAACACACACCAUCAUUUGGAGCAACACACCUCACAUUCUACACUUGUUCUCUUUAGUUUAGUACUAGUAGUAGAGCAAGUCAAAGCUAGCAAGGAGAGCUUGUCUCCUUGGAGGAUCAAGAGUGUCUUGGUAUGAAUACAAUUAUGCCUUCCUCCAUGAGCAAGUUCUUAUAUUCUUUAUACAGUUAUGCUUUUGAUCUAGAGUAUAGUCUUGUUCAUAUCAUGAUCAUAGUUUAUGAGAUAGUUCAUAGUUCUAGCUCUAUGUUCUUGAUAUGUUCAUCACAGUUCUUCAUCGUUCAUCAAGUUAAUAUGAAUAGAGGAAGAACUAGGGAUGAGAUAAUGGUUCUUUGGGUUGUAAUGGUCACCCUUAGCCGAACCCUAAACCUUCAGUCAUAUGCUGCUUGUAGUAUGUUGAGCUUUGUCAAAUUGUUGUGACCCAAGCGAGAUUAUGGUCUUACGCCCAUGAUUAGAGAUUCACUUACACCCACCAAAUAAAGCCGACUCUUACACCAAGAAGUCACGCACAACAUGCACCCUUCCAUCCACCAAAAAUUUUGCCAACUCUUAUCCUGAGAGUUGUGCCUUAGCUUUCCACCAAAUAAAAAUGCCAAACUCUCAUCCUGAGAUUUGCGCAUCCCGAAAUUCACUCCUUACUUUUUGUCCUCAUGACAUCUCUUUAAAUUUCUCUAAUUCCAUUCAUCAAGACAUAUGGGCUAUAGUUGAAAAAAAAAUUCAAAAGAAAAAAAAACCAAAGAGGCAUAGAUGGGAAAGAAAGAAAAAAAUCAAACAUCCCCGUCAUGAAAAAAAGAAAAGAGGCAAUAAUAUACACACGAUAGAGCCCAUAUGUUUUCCUCUCUCUCUCUUUUAUCCUUCAAAAUAAAAGAGAGUCAUGAUGCAGAAAGGAGUGACCAAAAAUAUUUAGAAUUAGGAAUUUCAUUAAUUCCACAAACAAUUUCCACACACUUGCACAAUCUCAAUCAAGGCGUAAGGCUUGUAUCUCCUGGUGGUCCGGUUUUUGACUUCGCAACAUAUGUGCUGCAAGUAUGCCCACCUUUUAUACCUACCCAAAAAUCCAGAUAAAGCUUUUAGAGGUAGGAAGAUCAUAAGAAGGCAUCAAUCUUCUAUGCCUUGGUAAGGAACCACUUACACAUAUGAGCGAUUUGAGAAAAUCAUUCAAGGAAUCACAAGCCAUGUUUUUAUUUGAAAAACUUACAAAAACCCAAGUGUCUUAAGUAAGAGCAAAGUCAAGAGGACUUGAAUCCAGGCUGUUCCAUAUUUCAAUCACCAAAGAUUUAUGUGGUAGACACUUUGAAGUUCACAAACCCAGGUGAAGCUUGGAAUAACCUGUAUGCAGGCUCUUUGACAAGGAUGAUGAACCCAUUUGGUCCUAAGUGCCUUCACUCGAGGACGAGCAAAGGACCAAGUGUGGGGGAGUUGUUGGCGACGCUUAUUAUAUAAAAAUAAAUAUCUUUUUGUAAAUAAAAAUAAAUAGAAAAUAGGGCUUUGAUCUAAUCUUUCAACGAGUUUUGGUAUAUAUGCUAUUUUCAGGUAUGACACGUGGAAAAGUGCAAAAGAUACAAGAAAUGUGCAAUGCAAGAAUUCGUAUUUCGAAAAGACGCAAACCAACUCCAAUAGAGAAAAGCCCACCAAAGAUGAACUGGACCCAUCCGUAACCACGAGGAGGAACAGGACCCAGAGCACAACCGACCACGCGAAGGUGGUGGCCGGGGGGGCCCACCCAGGUUGCGGGCGCAACACUAGUGGCGGUUCCCCGGCCCCACCUUCUUCUGGCGGUUGCAUUGCGGCAUGCAUAGGAUGGUUUCACCUACUACUAUAUUUAGAUCCCGCAAACCAUCCUAGUUGAGCUAUAAAUAGAUGGCUCCCCUCUCAUUUGUAACACACACCAUCGUUUGGAGCAACACACCUCACAUUCUACACUUGUUCUCUUUAGUUUAGUACUAGUAGUAGAGCAAGGCAAAGCUAGCAAGGAGAGCUUGUCUCCUUGGAGGAUCAAGAGUGUCUUGGUAUGAAUACAAUUAUGCCUUCCUCCAUGAGCAAGUUCUUAUAUUCUUUAUACAGUUAUGCUUUUGAUCUAGAGUAUAGUCUUGUUCAUAUCAUGAUCAUAGUUUAUGAGCUAGUUUAUAGUUCUAGCUCUAUGUUCUUGAUAUGUUCAUCACAGUUCUUCAUCGUUCAUCAAGUUAAUAUGAAUAGAGGAAGAACUAGGGAUGAGAUAAUGGUUCUUUGGGCUGUAAUGGUCACCUUUAGCCGAGCCUGUCAAUCCGAAGGGUUGGGGUCCCGGGAGGCUAGGGGGUGUUUCCAAGUACACGGGCAUGGUGCUCGGGUAUGCGGAGACCCAAGGAUAUGGGGGUAUCCCUCGGGCAGAGGGGUAGGUAGCAGGGUGGUGACAGCCCUGUCAUCCUUCGUAUUCCCGCACGUUCGGAUAUUUGGUAGGAGUCAUGUAAAGUCUCUAUUUGCUGGCAGACCAGCUAUGGAGAUCUCCCUAGUAUCUCAGACUUAGCUCUAACUUGUUCUUAUUAGCUAGAUGAUCUGCUAACAGAUCUGUUGUAUAACUUGUAUACGACCAUGCCUACUCGCGUAGUUGUUCUUUUAUUCUUUGUUUUCCCUUUAUUCCUUGAGGUUGCUCCGAUGUGUGUCCGCUAUCAAAUCAACUACAUACUUACCCCUGUUUAUACUAUGUCUACCAUGCAUUUCAAUAAGUAAUCAUGUUUAUAACCAAAGCUAGAUGCGUUCACAAUGCCUUCCUACGGGAAAUUAUAAAUACGACACCCCUGAAUACUCACGGGUUGAAAUGCUACAAUGAUAGUUCUGUGCGCUUGCAGAGUAAUUUAUUCCUAUAACUGAGCUAUCGAUUGGCGUACCUAAGUACCUUUACUUAAGAUUGUAAUCCUUGUGCACCCACACGGCGCCGGGCCACAGCUUUGCAUAUCGUAAGUAAGGAUGGUUAGGAAUGCCAAUCUAGCAAUUCUAAUCAUCAGUACCAGACUGCACUGCCUAGGCCAGCGCCAUAAAAGGCCUUGGUUUAUCUUUCUGAAGUGAUGGUGGUUAGGAUAUGCCAAGAACGUUUCUAAUGUUAUUAUUAAGGAUGGACUAAAACUCUAUCUUUAGUAGUUUCGCUAAGAAAUGCCAACACUAGGCAUUAAUUUGCACAAAGGAUUGGGUUGCUGCAGCAAGUAAAGGUACUUAUUUAAUUUGUUUUUUAUGUUGGACACUAGAUUGCAGCAGACUAAUGCAUUAUUUUUUUCUUUUUCAUUUUUUCAGAUUCUAAAAUGCUUGGAUCAAUUGUGACUGAUCUUGAGGUAGAUGCUUUAACUAAUGUUGUGGCUAAAUUCAAAAUUGAGGUAUGUUCAUUGACUGCUUGGUGCUUGCUAUGAACUGUACUAGUUGCUACAUCUAAUUUUAAUUAACUUUGCAAUAGGAAAAUAAUAAAGAGGAAGAUGAGCACAAUGAGGAGGACAAGGACAACGAGGAAGCAACAGAUAUUAAGAGUGAUCCAGACGUCAUGAAACCGACCAAAUUAUAAGAGAUUAAGCCUAACAGUGACCAUUUGCAUAGUCAAACCAUCCGGCUUAAGCCCAUAUAAUCCCGGUAGUCCGUGAAAUCUCGAAGAAUUUCCAUCCACACAUCGUACAACAGCCAAGAUCGUAAUAAGUUUAGCGGUCGUCAUCCACAAAUACAUCCAGAUUACAACAUUCAUAAAAUACAUCGGAGUGCUUAAAGUUAUUACAAACCAAGUUCACAGGUAGCGGAAGCUUCAUAGUUCGAAAAUACAACACACACACUUAGUCUGAUACAGUGCCAUAACUCGGUCAUUCCCACAAAAGCAAAAAAGAAGACAGAGUGACCAUCGCCCUUGGUCUAGUCAUCACCCAUGGCUGGGUACAGACAGAGGAUCCAAUAACCAUAGUACAUUUGACCAUCUGCAAAACAACAUGGGAGUAGAACCCUGAGUACGAGAAGGUACUCAGCUAGACUUACCCGACAUAAAUUAAAAUAAAGACUCUUCAAGGAUCAUGAAGGCUAUAUAGUGGAGUAGCUGACGACCAUUUUGCAUAACCGCAGGAUCCUAUUAUCAUAACCUACAUAAAUCUUUCUUCUUUUAAUUUGCUCAAGUUGAAGGUAUCAUUACCUAUUAUCUAGGUUUGCACCUACACUAUUACAAGCAAGUAUAAUGUUAUGAUGGUACCUCAUCAUAGCAUUCUUAACCAUUUAUCAAUAUAACCCAAGUGUUCCAUAGUCCUUACUAUGAGGACAGGGCUCAUGUCAAGUGCUCACUAUCCAGGAGCAAUGGCGAUUCGAAUCGAUUUCUAACCAGCUGGCGAGGUAUUCCCCACACAAACCACACUCACUGAUCAAGUGAGCUACAGAUCACCGUAUUGCACUAUCCAGGACCAAUUCGCGGGUUCGACAGGCACCGCCCGUACCCGAGGACCGUUCCGGCGACCGAGGUAUCCAAGGUAUACCAAGGUUGCGCGCCGCGCCCUCGUCGUUCUCCUCAACCAUCACCAAUACAGCGCGUACAUCGGGCCGAUUCCCGGCCCGGAUAGUGCUCAGGCUUCGCGGUCGGAACGACUUAUCCUUCUAGCUAAAUGUGGGGCAUGCGUUCAACAUGACAAGAGAGCCGUCAACGAUCGGUCCUUAAUCGACACAGGCAGGGGCACUAUGGUCAACCCACCAUAAGACCCUGCCCGGUCUCCAAUUCCAUUCCGCACUUGGUUAUUCUUUUCCCCAAAGCAACCACUGCUCAGUCAGGCAGGUAUCCACCUAUAUCUCGCAGGUGACAGGGAAUCACCCGACUUCUAUCGGACUAAGCAAGCUAAGCAUAGACUCCGCGCCUAUCUACAUAGGACAAGGUAGAUAAACGAGUAGGGAUAACAAGGAGUACAUAUGCAUCAACGGUAUCAAGCAAUUCCUAUCACUUAAAUGCAGUAUAUUAGAACAAGCAUAGUAUAUCAUGUAAGUUAGCGAGAAUAGGGAGACUUAGAAUGCUCCGGGGCUUGCCUUUCUCAAACAUGCUGGGUCGGUGAUCUGGACACUCCUGUAGUUCCUCUCCGGACUCCUGUGCUUCCGGAGGUUCCUGCUCCUGAAUCUCCUCUGGCUCCUCGGGUCCCACCUCGUUCUCCUGUGAGCCUGUAUGAUGCAUGUGUGCUCAUGAGUGGAGUGCGAGAUGCCCGAGUGGAUGCUUGUAUGAGAAGGUACCAAAGGAUCAUGACAUGAUGCAUAGGCGAUUUAAUUGGUCAUGUUCUUUACAAGGUAGUCAACAUCAUCUAAGAGUAGGCAAUUGAAUUAAACAUCUAUUGCAUUCUCUUCUACAAACAUUUUUCAAGUGUAACCAGCAACCCACAAGUUGCUUCAAAGAUACACCAAACCCAUUCUUUAUUCUAUUCAACCUAUAUAUAACAAUCAUCCAUUUGCAUAUAGUUCUAUUCAUCAAUAAAUUCCACAAAAAUUUGCAUAUAGUUCUAUUCAUCAAUAAAUUUGCAUAUAGUUCUAUUCAUUUUUCAAAAAUGAAUAGAACUAUAUGUAAUUUCAAGUGUAACCAGCAACCCACAAGUUGCUUCAAAGAUACACCAAACUCAUUCUUUAUUCUAUUCAACCUAUAUAUAACAAUCAUCCAUUUGCAUAUAGUUCUAUUCAUCAAUAAACCCAUUCUUAAUUUCUAGGCCCAUCAAAAUUUGCAUAUAGUUCUAUUCAUCAAUAAAUUCCACAAAAAUUACAGAAGACUAUCAGUCAAGCAUAAAGUCUACUGUAAAUUUUUCAUAAUUUUGUGAUACUUAUUUUGAGCUACAAAAAUCACAAGAUUAAUUAAUAAUAGGUAAGUAUAAUUACCCCACUGUGGUAUAAGUGUCAAACAGCAGAUUUCAUAUUUUUACAAUUUGUCUAAUAUCAUAAGAAACACCCACACAAAUUUCUAGAUUAAUUGCAUGAUCCAAUUAAUUAUUAAAAAUCAUAAACCACUGCCAUGCAAGCAUUUAAAUCACUAUAAAUUCAUUUAUACACCAAAUAAUGUAUAGCAAUAUUUUCCCAGUGAGUUAACAUACAUGCAGAGCCAACAAAUCAAGUUUCACAUUUUUCUGGGCUAUACUUUAAUUACUGGGCAUUUUCCAAGUUUAGCAAAAACAUAGAUUAAAUAUAUUCAUACAGAAAAGUUACUCAAACCUGUCAUGCAAUCAUACUAUGCUAUGGAUCUGGACACAGAGAACACACCAAAAUUUAUUUCACAAUUUUUGGAGCUAAAAUUCUCAAGAUAUGGAUUUUAGAACAUUUAAAUUAUUUUCCUAGAAAUUAUUUUUCUGAAAACAAAUCAAAUCACCCCAGGACCGGCUAGGUACACCCGGUGCAGUGCACCCGCGGUCACUGACGAGCGGACCCGCCUGCCAGCCGGGCCCGCUGGUCAGGACACAGAGAGGGGAGAGGAUCCCCGACGACGGCUCGCCGCCGGCGAUGCCUCCCGGCCAAAACCAACGGCACCAACGCGUUCGCCUCCCUCUUGCGACUCGAUCCCACCCCUCUACUCGCCCUGGAACCUCGCACAGCGAGCUAGCCACCGGCAAUGGCGGACCGGCGGCGCUGCCGCAGCGGUGCCGGCCACCACGCUCCGGUAGAGCGCUCGAGUGUGGCUUCUUGCGACUCAGGGAGCCACGGCGACCACAAUGCGCGCGCUAGCGAGGCAAGAGAGGGUCGAGAGGAGGAAAACCAGAGAUGCCGACGCCGCGGAGAGCUCCGGCGAGGCCGCGCACUCUCCGGCGAGCGAUUCGGCCCCCUAGGACCGCUCACCUGCGCGAAGAAGCUACGUCCGAGCACGCGAAGGCGACUGCGGAGCUCGGAGAGGUGGAAGGAGGCGCUGAAAGGUGACGGGGUGCCGGGAACAAGGCGAGCGGAGCUCGGGGAGCUCCGAUGGCGAGCGGCGGCGCGGUGCGCGCGGAGAGGAGGCGAGAGAGCACGAGAGAGAGCGAGGGGGCGCGCACCGGGUGGAGGCGAGAAUGGCGAGGGAGGUGGCGCUGUCCACAGCGAAGGGGGGGGGUCGUGGCGCCGGCGAGCAGCGCAUGCCGUCCACGCGGCGCCGUCGGCCUGACACGGUCGGGCGCGCGCGGCGCGGCCGUGUCCGAGCGCGCGGGGAGGAGGCGUGGACGCGGCGCGGGCAGGCCUGGGCUGGCUUCGCUGGCUGGGCCGGUUGGUUGGCGCCGGCCCGCCAGUGAACAGCCCCUCCUUUCUUUUUUCUUUUUUUUUGAAUUUCCUUUCUCAAAUUCUUUUCUAAAUUCAUUUGGACCAAUAUAAAAUUAUUUUCACCUCUUGCUCCCAAAAGCAAAGUUGUUCCAAAACAAAAACCCUACAACUUUGUUUUAAUAAGCAAGACCAAAUUCCCAAUAGAAUUUGAAUUACAAAUUAAAACUAGUUCUAGGUUUUCAAAUAAAUUCAUUUUGGGAAUUUUUUGUAUAAAUUCCAUUUCUCAAAUUCUAUGGCUCCAAAAAUUGCACAAAAAUAUUCUUAAUUCUUCUUACACAUAAAUCAACCUAGUUUGAAUAUUUCACAAUUUUAGAAGCAAGCAUCAUAUUUUUAGCAUAUUUAAAGCACAUGGGAUAAAACACAUAAAAUCAUAUUUUGGGAUGAAUGACAUGCUCAUGAUGCUAUGCUUGAUGGGAAUACUUAUGCAUUGCUUUGAUAAGGCUAAGUGCAUGCUUAACACCUAGGGUGUUAGACAUGCAUUUCCUAAUAAUUGUUUGUUGUAGACUUAUAUAUUUGUGUGUCAGUAUGAUGACACUUAAGAGUUUAUGCGGUCAUGUACUUGUUUGGCUAUUGACUGUUAUUGGAUGGUAUGGUAUGGUUCUGGACUUCUGGUAGUAUGGUACUGUACUGGCGGAGAGUGGACACGUGAGUGGUGUUCGUGCACCUGUUAAUCUUUUGCACUUGUUUAAGCUAUAAUGCCUAAGUUGUUUCCAUGCACCUGUUACUUAUUAGAUGCACUCUAACUAUGGUCAUACACUUGGUUAAGAUUAUGUAUUGUGGAUCGGUAUUCCGUAUUAAUUUCCGUAUACCGACCGUGUUCGACACAAUUUCGCUCAAAUUGGUUCGUGUUCGAGAUUUCGUAUGUUCGUGUUCGUGUUCGGCUUUAUCAUUUUCGUUUCUGUUUUCGUAUUUAAAUGCAAAAAUAGAAAACAAUUGAGCAGUUUUUCGACCAAGUUCGACCGUUUUCAUCCCUACUCAUAACAGUUAUCUGAAUCAAAUUUGUUCUCAACCGUAAGCAGGAAAGGCAGGUGAUAAAAGUCAUUCUUUAUGUGCAAGUUCUUCAUGGGAUAACCAAGGAAACAAAAGCUCCUUCGUUAAGAUCUGCUGGCGUUGAUGGAUUGCAUCUAUCAAAUCAGCAGGUGUGGAACAACUUUAUGCUAAAUGGUGUCCAUCAAGACUUUUAUAGGUUCUAUAGACAUAUAGUGCAACUCAAGUGUGAAGGGUGCAAUUGUUCUGAGUUUGACAGUUUAAAUGGCUGAAAAACUGAAGCAAAAAGUGUUCUAUCUGCAUAUCGGAUUUCUCUGCAUUUGAUGAUCCUCCCUCCCAAUAAUGGACAUAUAAAUCCUAAUAAACGAAUCUAAUUUUGUAUGUCCUUUUUUAAAUUAUUAUUUAGCAAAUCAAUGUAUUGCUAAUUUAUUUUUUGUGUCCUCAUACUAUUCUUCGGUUUGCAAAUGUCCUAUGACCUUUUCAACUAAUUGAGCUUUUUCAGUGUGCCUGCACAAUUCCAGGUCCUCAAUGUUUUAUCUUUAAUGAUCGUAUAAUCAGUAUGUUGGAAUACAUCCUACACAAGCCUCGCUCGCCUGAUGGACAGCUUUGCCAAACAUUGAAAAUUCUUUGGCUGAUAGCAAAAUGCGCCUCCAUAUCCAAGUGAAACAUGCAUAUUUAUGCUAACAUUAUCCUAUGAAGGGCUCAAAUGACAACCCAUCUAUAACAAAUUUUCCUAACCUUUUUUCCCAUGUAUAAUCAUAUGAUGUGCUAAAAUUCUGUUUCUGGGUACCUGCUACUCCCUCCAUCCCACAAAUAAAUGCAUUUCUUUGACUGUUAUGAUUCAUGUUUGAUCAUUCGUCUUAUUUAAAUUUUUUAUGCAAAUAAUAAAAUAAAUAAAUCAUUAUAAAAAUAUAUCUAACAAUUAAAUAAGUCAUAAAAAAAUAAAUAAUAUUUAUUAAUUUUUUUUGAAUAACAAGAACGGGUCAACCUGAAUUAUAGAAGUAAAAAGAAAUGCAAUUAUUUGUGGAAUGGAGGGAGUAGUUUAUUUAUUUGUGAGGCCUGGAAGCACAAACAACAUAGGGUAUGUUUGUGGCAUCCCAUAUGUGGUCAGGGCUCACUUGGGCCAAAAGAUAGGUGUUUGUUUGAUUGAAGAAGGCUUGGGGCAUAGCCAACUUGGGCCAGCCGUACAGAGAUAGCCUGCCAAGCUUUGAAAGCCCAAAUCGGGCUUCCCAACUGAGUCAGGCUCUGGCCAGCGCUUGUACUCGUUCGAGUGACCUCCCGGUGCCCUCUGACCGACGUGACGCCUCGACGCAGCAAACUCUCCAGGGUGCCGUGCUGCGCCUGGAUUUGGGGUAGCAGCACCGUCGCUGCCGCCGGCCCCUUGAGCGGAGGCGCCGUGGAUUCGGCUGUGGGCUUGUUGAGCGGAGGCGCCGGUGCGGGGCGAGGGCGAGGCGGCGGAUGAGGAGCGGUGGGGUGAUUCGCAGAGGGUCCGGGAAGUGGGGCUCGUGGAGGGUGAGCGAGUCAACGCAUUCGAGAAGCUGGUUGAUCUCGUGUCGGAGUGGCAGGACACGCCGGCGAGCCUGGCGGCGGAGCGAGUCGGGAGCCUACCGGGGGUGUUGCAGCAAGCUUUGGGGAUGUGGGGGUGUUGCAGCAAGUCCUCAAGCGCAGCGUCCGUGGCUGUUGUCUUCUUGCCGAUCGACUGCGCGUGAGGGCGAGGGGAUCCAGCUCGUCGGCAUCGCGGCUCGUCGGAGCGCACUUCUGGCCGGGAGCAGCGGAGGUCCGGUUGCGGCGGAGGUCCAGGAGCGUGAGGUGCUUCAGCGCGCUGCUGGCCUCCAUCGUGUCGCUACCUCCACCUCUCUCGAGGUACAAGAUGAAGCCAGCGAGCCCACACCUCCUAGCUGCUCGCCGGCGAGCCCCCACUCCCCUCCCCUCUCUCUCCCUCAACCAGCACGAGGCUCGUCCCAUGCUCUGGUUCACGCCGGAGUGACGCUCAUCGUGUGCUCGAUGAAUUGCCGUAAAAGAUGGUAAAGUUACCUUUGUAAAAAGGAGGUGACUCUACCCAACCAAACACAACUAGAUGCUAACCAGGUUUAGAUAGUGUAAACAACCAAACAAUUCUAUGUUGGUUUGGUGGAGUCAGACUUAGGUUAGCCUGGUUUAUUUGGCAGCGAGGUAACCAAACACACCCAUGAUUAGCCGGCACCUAGCACCGACGCAGGACUCCGGACGCGGGUUUUCCCCAUUGAGGCUUUUACACAUGUGCCUCUUCCUCUCCGAAUUCCGUCCAAAUCCGCGGGGCCCCUUUUCCCAUAGCUGAGGCUUGGCUGCAGUGGAUGGAAACUAAUAGGGAGAUGACGGGGUCCAGCACGUCUCCGUCGGCGGCAUGCGCAGCCGCGAUCUCUGCGGUGCUAGACGACGACGACCUCCUCCGCGAGAUCCUGCUCCGCCUCGCCUUCCCCACCACCCUCGUCUGCGCCGCCCUCGUCUGCAAGCGCUGGCUCCGGCACGUCUCCGAACCGGCCUUCCUCCGGCGCUUCCGAGAGCGUCACCCGCCCGCACUUCUGGGCUUCUACCUCAGGGAAAUGGGCUCAUGGCGCCCGCAGUUCGUGCCCGUCUCACAGUCCCCUGAGCUCUCCGCCGCCAUCCGCCGUGCGAGCGUAACCGACGGUCAAUUCUUCAUCAGCGACUGCCGAAACGGGCGCCUCCUCGUCACGGAUUUCGACCCCACAUCCUGCCGACAAGCUGUACUCAGCCCGUUGCAGCCUACGUGUGCAAAGGCCAUCCUCCCACCGCCACCGAAGCAUAGUCUCAUAUGGUUCUUCCUCUCCGAGAGAGAGGAGGAAGGCAGCAACGACGGUGCCGGUGCCAUCGCUGUAUUGAUGCUGCCUAUCGGUACGGAAACAAAACUCCAAGUGGAUUUGCUCACUCCACGGUCUGGCGUCUGGGUCGUCCGUCGCAGUGAAGUAAUACUUCUCCCGGAGAAUUUGCCUCCGAUUGCGUACACGCUGCCGCCGGUCCGAGGCAAGAUCUACAGCUUGACCAAGUCCGGGCAAGUUCUCCGGUUGGAUAUGGCCGCCAGCACGAGUUCUCUUCUCCGGCUCCCAGACAGAGUGAGGACGGACAACUUCAUGAUAUCAAGUGGAGAGGAUGGUUCUAGGCUAUUCCUCAUCCACGCCGACGGGUAUCAGCUCAGCGUCUGGCACCUUCCCACCACCAGCAGCGAUGCAAAUGACUGGCUGCUGGUGUAUGACAAAAUUCGUGUGCGUGAGGCGUGCAAUCGUCUUGAGGAUGUUCUGGUGAUGGCGGUUGAUGACAGUCUCGAGUUUGUGUUCCUCUGGCUGCGAUCGAGUGCGGUUCUCAUGCAUAUGCAUCUGCCGAGCAGGAAUGAGAAGGUAUAUAACGAGUUGAAUGUGCGUGAUGGGUACUUCUUAGAUAUCAAUCCCUUCAUGAUGGUUUGGCCUCCGGUGUUCCCAGUAUUGAGGGAAGAGGCUGAUCUGGCAUGAUUUACACUAUUGUAUGCAUUUCUUUCACUAUAUAACUUCCUAGGCCAAUCUUGAGGAGUGAUCUGGUAUGAUUUACACUAUUGUAUGCAUUUCUUUCACUGCCUAUUUAAAAGAUUUGAGUGGGCAAUCACUGUCACAUCUCUUCUAGGUGGUAUAUAGUACUUGUGAUAUAUCUGUUGAUUCAGAAUUUCAUAACUGGCUAUGACUUCUGCAGAGUGCUUGGAUCUCAUAUUGUUUACCUUAACCAGAUCACGCUUUAUAAUUCCUAAACACCCUAUAAUGAGGAUACAGAAUAUAAACACAGGUCAUGUCUCGCUAUAUGGUGUACAAUGUUUGUUAUUAUUAAAAAUCUGUUGAAUCAAACAUUGUUAUCUGUGGAAUAUCUGUAACUGCUCAGGAACUAAUAUGUGCCCUUGGGAGUCAUGCAGCAAAUGUAUCAACUUGAGCCUAGAGUUCAGGUUGUAAUAGAAGUUAUUUCAAAUAUAACUUUAUAUGAGCUCGAUCUUGGACAAUUAACAUAUCAUUCUGAAUUAAAAUGUCACUAGAAAUUAAUAUCCUUUUUUCCUGCACCAACAUAUAGCUUUUUUGAACUCUUUUAGGAAAAUAGAGCUUUUUUAAAUUAUUGGGCACGUAUUUUAUUUGAAGAAUAAAUUUAUAUAACAACUGAAAAAAGACAACAUGUAGGUGAACACCUAUAAGCUACCUACAACCUCAAAAGCAAUCAAGGAGCGACAGAAAACGCUUGUCGGAGAAACAACCAAACCACCAAACAAGAAAACCAAAGGCUGCAACCAAGAGCACUCACUAACUUACACAAGACAGAGGGCUAAUCCUGCAACCUAGAUCGCCAGAACUUCGAUGAAAAAAGUGCGCAGAGUCUGUGACCUGAUGACCACUGCAGCACCAGUUCUUAGAUAUCAAUCCCUUCAUGAUGGUUUGGCCUCCAAUCUUCCCAGCAUUGAGGGAAGAGGGAAUCUUGAGAAGUGAUCUGGUAUGAUUUACCUUAGUAUGACCACUCACCACACUUUGUAUGAAUUUCUUUCACUGCCUAAUAAAAGACAUAAAAGAUUUGAGUGGGCAAUCACUGUCAUAUCUCCUCUUCUAGGUGGUAUAGUAUGUGCUUGUGAUAUAUCUGUUGAAUUGUUGAUUCAGAAUUUCAUAACUGGCCAUGACUUCUGCAAAGUGGUUGGAUCUCAUAUUGUUCACCUUGAUAAGAUCACGCUUUAUAAUUCCUAAACUCCCUAUAAUGAGGGUGCAGAAUAUAAACGAAGGUCCUGUCUCGCUACAUGGUGUACAAUGUUUGUUAUUAUUAAUAAUCUGCUGAAUGAAACAUUGUUAUCUGUGUCCGUAUCUGUAACUGCCAAUGGCUAGCGAAACACUGGUUUAAAUUAGUGAAACAAUAAUGAUACUUAUUUUUCAUCUCUUUGUUUCUUUCUGGUAUUUUGUAAAGCUCUUAAAUUUGUUUUCUUUCUCUUUACUUAUUUUUUCAUGUAAUUCUUCUCUUUCCCUCUUCAUUGCUUCUAUUUCAUACAUCUUCUCAUCAUGCUCUAGUUUCUCUUUGUUUCUCAAUAUUUUGUGACUACCUUAGUACAUCAUUCACUUGAUUAUUCUGCACACCAUUAUUUUCAUGUUCAUUUUCAUUUUGAGUUAGAAUAUUUUUUGUCAUGUAGCUAGAAUAUUGUUUUGUUAUGAGCUAGAAUUUUUUUCCUCUAGAAAGUAGAACACUUAUCGAUGAGCUAUAAAGAUUUUAUUUUCAAGAUGGAACAUUUCAUAAAAAGGUUUAUUAUGCAGUGUUUUUUCAAAACUUUGCAUUGUUGUUGAAAAGAUUGUAUUUUUCCUAGACACAAAUUUCUCCUCAUGUUCAUUAUGGACUUGCCGUUUUUGUUCUCUCAGUCAUUCAUUUCUGUUUUAUGGGCUUUGUUCUCUAUUGAUCAUUCAUUUGUCUCGUGGGUCUUGGUUGGUGUUUCCUGGUAUCUGUCAAAGUGCCAAUCAUUCCUUGUUAGGCCGCUGGCCACCUCGGCACAACAGGAGGCGGAGAGAACUGCUUCGGCAAAAAGUAUAGCACAAUCCCGGAGGUGAGCACAGAUCAGCAUUGGGAAGAUGAUUAGACGAAUACGAGGGAGGAGCAUCGCUCGUGUCAGUCUGUCAGCAUUUCAAAUUUCAAGGAUGAAAAAUGAAAAAGAUAAAUUGGCAUCUUUCAAGCUGCAGGGUAAAUCUAGUGGCAUUUAAAUCAACCAAUACGUUUUCAUAUCUCCCGAGGAUUUUAUAUGACAACAAAAACUGACAAAUCAAACAAGUACAUUAUGUCAUGAAUAAUUGACUCAGGAUUACCUAAUGAAUCUCUAAUCAUCAUUGACGUUCUGCAAGCAUGCACCAUGCAUAACUAAUUUGUUACCACUUGUUUUAUUCUGACGAUCUGCUCAGAAUAUGGACAGUCUGAGAUUACAAGAUGAACUAUGCAAUGGUAACUUUAGGUUUCACAGUACACGGUGGACCUGGAUAUACACUCGUCAGAUCUCGUAUACAGGAGAAAAAAAAUUGAACCCUAACUGAUAAAUGGUAAUACAGAGAAACAAUUGGCAUUGAAAUCCAUUGCCAUAUGUAGUCAGAUUCCAAGCUGCAGUAUCGACGUGCCUCCCAGAUAUUCUCCAUCAGGAGUACAGGCGGCACUUUCCAGUUCCAGCACAUACUGUACACUCAUCGAUAUCACCCGCAACAUGUCGCAGGCAGUACUUGAUGCGAUCAUUCAUGAUAUCCUGCAAAGCAUAUUCAGCAUGGAGAGUGCAAUAACAUGUUACUGAGUAAAUAGAUCAACUCAUCAACGAGCCCUGUCCUUAAUUGCUCACAGUUAGACAAUUGCCUCCUGUAUUAUUAAGAAAUUGAUACCAGAAUUCCAGAACAUAGCCGGUAUAGACUGACGAUUAUACACAAGAAGAAUGCCAGCUGGUUAUAAUGUAAAAGUUGCUUUUUAUACAUUUACAUACAACUAUAGUUCAUUUCUGACACUAGUUGCUACAUAAGCCUUUAUAGCAUACAGUGCUUAAAUGCCCCUAGACCUUCAAAAUUAAUCACUAUGCAAAUAUGACAUAUCAAGGUCAACAAGGCCAUUAUUUACACAUAUUAUAAUUUUGUUUUGUAGAAAAUUUCAACAUUCUUCUUCCAAAAGAGGACAGCAAUUAUAGCGAUCUAUUUGUUAACAAAAUUCUUUGUCACAAAAUUCCACAAGAACUGUUAAGUGUUAAUAACUGCAAAUCAGAUUCACAUCAUAUGUACUUUGCUUCUCUACUAACAACUGCUGAAAAUGGUAGAAAUAACCUAGAGGGAACUCACAAGCACGUACCACCAUAAGCUCAUGCAGCCCAAGAGGGGCAGUGACAAGAUAGGGUAUAUUUGAGUGCUCCCUUGAUGCCUCUGCUGCUAAAGCAGGAAUGUCCUAAGAAAAUCAAACAUGGUGUCAGUGCAUAUGAAAAUCCUUGUCUGAACAUAACUAUUAUAUGCUGCUGCAUGUACAGGGUAGAUACACAUCUUCAUCCUAAAUAAACUAACACCCUUAUCAGUAAGCAUUGUCAACCUUACAUAAAUACAAAAAAAAGGGGAAAAACAUACUUGCUUCCAGUGUCGUCCAGGGGAAAGGAAAUAUGGACUAACAAUAACUCGGGAUGCUCCUUGUUGCACACAUUUUCCAAAUGCAUCCUUUAUAGUAGGCUCCGCUAGCUCCUGCGUUUUUUAAGAAACUGAAGGUAAAGCAACAAAACUUACUGAUCACAAAGAAAAUAAAGAAUUCUACGAUAACUGGACCCAAUAAAUACCAGCCAAUACCAAUUAACACUACAAAGAACUAGAAAUCAGGAAAUAUAGAAAAUAGCAGCAAAAGAGAUUAAGCAAUACAUACAUUUAGCAUGAAAAACACACCUACAGUUCAUCCAACAUUGAACAAUUAAUACACCAAGAGUUGCUAAAAAAAGAGCCCCAAGUACAUAUAAAUCACAGAGUGGAGGUAACUAUGGUGCUAACUGCUAUCCUGUAGAUUGCUAUAUGCCAGGUCACCUUUCAUUCAAAUCACUUAAUGUUGUAUUUAACUGAUUCCAAUCAGCAGCAUUAAUUUCACCAAAUUGAUGACGAAGAUGGAUAUAUUCUUUAACUUAGCUGAUAGGCAUUAAGUUCAACUGUUUUGUGGAACACAACAGGUACAUUACCAAAGGUUCACUGUAAUGGCACUAUGGUGUGAUCUUGUAACACUCUACGUCCAAAAACUGCUUAUAUGGCCUAACUCCGCACGUGGAAUGGGCCUGCCACCUCGCUUACACUUUCAUCCUCGCUUCGUGUAAAGGGGUUAACUCGGAGGUGCUAUGUUUGGAACAACAAGGCUUACAAGUUGGCCCUCACCCUCACAGACUACCAAUGUGGUACUAAACCCACUAACCACAACCACACAUAAGCCACUUGGGCCACAUGGACCAACUUCUCUUUUUAAAAAAAAAACGCAAGAGAGCUGUGUUUCAUUAUAUUAAAGAGAAAGGGUGGUCCUCAACAUGAUCCUCACUCAUACAGGGACCAAAUAUGAGUGAGGCAAAUUACAUAGACUCAAAACUUUUCCACAUAGCUCACAUACAACUCACUCCCCUAGGUUGCAAAAGUAAGUCCUAAAUCCUACAGUUUCUUCGCACCAGCCAAGCACCAUAAGCUGUGCUCAUCCUUCAGUUCCCACAAAAUUGUGUUAACUGAAGGAGAAACCCCUGAAACACACAAGCAUUUCUAUGUUUCCAAAUAGUCCAGACGCCAAGAAUAAUUAGAGUGUUCACUCCUUUUUUCUGCUCCUUCUUUACUCUACUCAACAUCAUACGCAACCAAUCUGCAAAGCUCCUUUCAUUUUGACAGGGGACUAAAUCUGUUAGCUCCAAAGGCUGGUGUAAUCUGAACCACACUUGUCUUGCCACCACGCAUGUUGUUAAUAGGUGUUGUAUCGUCUCAUCUUCUUGAUCACAUAGAGGGCAUUUAUCCGGAUGAGGGAGGCCCCUCUUAGCAAGCCUAUCUGCUGUCCAACAUUUGUUUCGGAUUGCCAACCACAGAAAUAUUUUGCAUUCAACUUCACAACUACUACAGGCUUCUAACGGGCCGGGGUGUUAUAUUCACUCCCCCUUAAGGGCUGACGCCCUCGGCAGCUCACCACAUAUGUGUCAGAUGUCCAGGAGCACCCCUUGGUACACCCUUCCAUGGGCAGCGUGCAGCAAGGGUUGAUGCUCUCAAUAUCAUCUGUAACACCCCACGUCCAAAACUGCUUAUAUGGCCUAGCUCUGCACAUCGAACGGGCCUACAUACACGUAGCACCUCCGGGUUAACCCUUUUACACGAAGUGAGGUGCUACGCGUAUGCAAGCCUGUUCCAUGUGCGGAGCUAGGCCAUAUAAGCAGUUUUGGACACGGGGUGUUACAGAUCUCCAAUAUUCUGUGAGUAGCUCUAAGCGACGAUAGUACAAUAUGAUUCAACAAUUUAUUCAAUUGCAGUUUGAAAAUCACAAUAAUUCUUUACAAGUGGUUUGAUGAUUCAAUCACCUAAAUGUUGCAUAAAGCAUCAGAAAAUGAAAAGAUGAGGGCCGUGACAACCAUAAUUGCUUCUCUUGACCAUAGAAAUCGAGUGGUUGAUGUUUUCUAUUCUAAACCAUAAUACCAUGAGGCAGUAACCUGAAUUGUUUCUUGGUAGAUCUUGGCAACAUGAUAUGUAUUGGUUUUAGCAUAAGCUGGAAAUUCAAAAUUGGCUAGCAAGUCAGUGUCAAGCUGUCAGUUACCUGUAUUCUGCAAAAGUUUUUUGGGGCCUGUUUGGUUUGCACCCAAAUGUUCCAUGUAUUAGCUAAGAAAUUUUUGGUUGCCAAAUUGGUGGGCAAGGAUUUGGCCAACUUUGGCAAGCACAAUGGACUAAGAUGGCCAAAUGGAAUACUACAUUUCUGUGGAGUUUGUUUCCCUGAUUAUCCAACAGUAUAGUAUGUAUUUAAAUCAAGCCUAUAAUCUUUUACACUACUUGAACCAGAAGACCAGCUGAGGGUCCCUUUGGUUGGGCUUUCCAACCUGCUUUUGCUUUUGCAAAAGCCAAAAGCCAACCAAAGGGCCCAAAAGUCAGAGCUGCUUUUGCCUAAAAGCAGUUUUUGCUCUAGUACAAAACUGAAAGCAGGUCCCGUGCUUUCAGCUGCUUUUGGACCAAAUAUUUACCCACCUGCCACUGGUUAUGAUAGGUACCGGUUUGUUCUUUUUCUCUUCUAUUCGCGUUCGCAGAGGAAAGGAGAAGUCGUGACCGCCCCUUGCACAUGCGUGGCUCCGCGGCAGCGCAUCCUCCCCACUCCGGCGAGCUCCCUCCCCACUCCUCCCAAUGUGAGCAGCAGCAGAGGAGCAGUCGCGGACCACUCUGGCAAGCAGAGGAGCGGCGGACAUGUGGCGGUCCCUCCUCGCUCGGCUCUAGCAAGGACCUCAGCCUCCAGAUCCAGCGGUCACGGGCAAAGCACCGGCCAGCUCCGGCCCCGGCUCCGGCGGUCGAUGGCGCGGUCCCUUCGCGCGGCCAGCCCUGAGAGCAGCACGGCUAGCCUUGGUGAGAUGCAGACUGUGAGGAAGAAGAUGCUAACAUGAGACUGACGAGUCGGGCCCGCUUGCAAGUGAGUGAUGAUAACAACAGUUUUUCUGAAAGCCACAGCUCCUCAACCAUACGGCUUUUGGCUUUCUCAAAGUCCACUUUACAAAGCAGUUUUUCUAAAGGCUACAGCUCACAACAGCUUUCCCAAAAGCCACAGCCCAACCAAAGGGACCCUGAGUAUCUCCACUCCGGUGUAAAAUUAUACUAAGGCCUUGUUUGGAUCCAAAAUUUUUUUGGAUUUGGCUAUUGUAGCAUUUUUGUUUUAUUUGGCAAUUAGUGUCCAAUCAUAGACUGAUUAGGCUUAAAAGAUUCGUCUCACGAUUUACAGGCAAACUGUGCAAUUAGUUUUUGUUUUCCUCUACAUCUAAUGCUCCAUACAUGUGUCCAAAGAUUCGAUGUGAUGGGUGAAAAGUUUUUGGAUGGGGAACUAAACAAGGCCUAAGAGGACUGGCAAUUAGUGUCCAAUCAUGGACUGAUUAGGCUUAAAAGAUUCGUCUCACGAUUUACAGGCAAACUGUGCAAUUAGUUUUUGUUUUCCUCUACAUCUAAUGCUCUAUACAUGUGUCCAAAGAUUCGAUGUGAUGGGUGAAAAGUUUUUGGGUGGGGAACUAAACAAGGCCUAAGAGGACAAGAACAAAUGUAUCAUUAAACAUCCAAGGGAACUAAAUCUAAACUUCCUGUUCGAGGGUGCGUAGGUGUGUGUAGAGAAACACCGCCAGGAAGGCUUGUAGUACAUCUACAAGUUAUAAUGUGGUACUAAUACAAGUCAGGCUAGGAGUACAAGGUUAAUGGGCCAUAAGCCCAAUAUAGGCUAUUAUAAUUAUAUUUUAACACCCUCCCUCAGUUUAAGCGGGAGUGUCACGAACACAAAGACUGGACCUAAAGUCAAUGAAUAACUGUACAGGUAACCCUUUGGUCAUAAUGUCCGCGAACUGAUGAGACGAUGAAACAUGGAGCACCCAAACCUGUCCCAAUGCAACCUUCGCACGGACGAAGUGAAUAUCUAUCUCAAUAUGCUUCGUGCGACGAUGAUGAACUGGAUUCUGGGCCAUGUAGGUAGCGCUAACAUUAUCAUAGUAGACGAUCGUCGCCGAUGAGAUAGGUGCAUGGAGCUCCUGAAGUAACUGACGAAGCCAAGCCACAGCGUGCGCAACAGCACGAUACUCAGCCUCCACACUCGAACGAGAGACCGUAGUCUGUCGUUUGGAGGACCAAGAGACUAAGUUGUCCGAGGAAGACACAGUAGCCUGAAGUGGAGCGCCGAGAGUCUGGACAACUAGCCCAAUCAGCAUUGGAGUAAGCGGUCAAGCUGGUGAUGCUGCCUGUGCCGAUGUGAAGCCCGGUGGACAGGGUGCCCUUGACAUACCGCAAGACGCGCUUGAGCAUCGCAAGGUGAGGCUCUCGCGGGUCGUGCAUGAAGAAGCAAACCUGCUGAACUGCAUAGGCGAGGUCCGAAUGAGUUAAAGUGAGGUACUGUAGUGCACCGGCGAGGCUGCGGUACUGAGUGGCAUCUGACACCGGUGCGUCGUCCGUAGCAAAGAGCUUGGCAUGAGUAUGAACAGGAGUUGCCGUAGAGUGACACUCAGCCAUGCCGGCGCACUGGAGCAGGUCCACAGCGUACUGGCGCUAAGACAGGAAGAGGCCAUCCGCAGAACGCGUGACAAAGAUCCCAAGGAAGUGAUGAAGAUCCCCAAGAUCUAUCAUAGAGAACUUAGAGUGAAGAAGCUCGGUGAGGCGUCGAAGAAGUGAGGUCGACGAGGCUGUCAGGAUGAUGUCGUCGACGUAGAGCAGCAAGUAGCCAAUGUCGGCACCCACUUUGUAAAUAAAGAGGGACGGAUCGGAGGUCGAAGCAGUGAAGCCAGACCGCUGGACAGAGCCGGAGAACCGCUAGUGCCACUCCCUGGGCGCCUGCUUGAGUCCGUACAAGAACUUUCGCAGGAGAAGACGUGGUCGGGAGCCGCCGGGUCGACGAAACCGGGCGGCUGCUGGCAGUAGAUUGUCUCGUUCAGAUGGCUGUGAAGAAAGGCGUUCUUCACGUCCAGCUGAUGUAUCGGCUAGGAGCGAGAGGCGGCGAUGCUGAGGACGACCCUAAUGGUAGUGGGUUUGACAACCGGGCUAAACAUCUCGUCGUAGUCGAUGUCGUACUGCUGCGAGAAGCCACGAACGACCCAUCUGGCUUUAUGGCAAGCCAGAGAGCCGUCAGCAUGAUACUUGUGCUUGAAGACCCACUUGUCGGUGAUGACGUUGGCAUGAGGCGGUCGAAGGACAAGACGCCAGGUGCCAUUGUCCAUAAGCGCCUUGUAUUCUUCAGCCAUGGCCGCGCGCCAAUUCACAUCGGCGAGCGCGGCGCAAGAGUUGCCUGGCAACGAAGAAGGCAGGCUGGGGGCCGCCGCGGUAAAGCCGUACCGCUGCAUGGGCGGCGGCAGGGAACCCAUCUGGGAACAAGUUGCCCGCGUAGGGGGCUCCUGUGGAGGUAGAGCCGGGGGCACCACGACCUGCUACAGUGGGGCCGAAGGUGCCGCCUGGGGCGGCUGUGAAGCCGGCGGCGGAGCUGGACGACGACUGUAGUGGAUGCCGAACCACUGGCGGGCAGGGGCAGGGGCGGCAACACCUACUAGAGGAGGUGCUAGAGCCGCAGCCUGCUGAGGAGCCCAGGUCAGCCGAUUAGCAGCGCUAUGCCACAAAAUGGCAAGGUCGAGUCCAACAGGGUCGCCAGCAUCGCCUGCGUCGUCUGUGUCAGAUGAAGCAGGCGCCACCGAGUUCCACGAGUACCGAACGUCGCAGGCGCAGGAAGUAUUUCCUGUAACAAAAAAUCAAGAGAAUCCGGUCGAGGCUUGGAGGCUGCGAACGGAAAGUGAGUCUCGUCACAAACGUGUCGCGAGAUGAUAAUCUUGCGAGUGGAGAGGUUGGGUAACCGAGAAAGACGCACUGUGGAGCGAGGAGUCAGUUUGUGGUGAGUCGUGGCACUAAGGUUCGUAUAGCACAGGCAACCAAAGACUCGAAGGAUAGAGUAAUGUGGCAUUUUGCGAUGAAGAAGAUGAUAGGGAAUACCAUUAUGUAUGGACGAUGAUGACUGCUGGUUGAGCAAGAACACGGCGGUGGAGAGCGCUUCGACCCAAUAUGAAGGUGGCAUGGCAGCAUGAAUGAGAAGUGUACGAACUGCAUUGUUCAGUGUGCGAAGCAUGCGCUCGGCUUUGCCGUUCUGAGCGGAUGUGUAGGGGCACGAAGUGCGGAGCAGGAUGCCACGACCAGCCAAGAAGGCAGCAUUGGCAUUGUUGAGGAACUCGGUGCCCUUAUCUGCCUAAAAACAGCGCACAGGGGAACUAAACUGUGUUUAAGCAUAAGCAACAAACUGAACAAUAUGAUCAUGAACUUCAGAUUUAUGGCGAAGGAGAUACGUCCAACAAUAAUGAGUAUAAUCAUCAACCAGCACAAGAUAAAAUUUAUAACCAGAAAUACCCGAAACUGGAGAGGUCCAGACAUCACGGGGAACGAGUUCAAAAGGUGCUGAAGUACUAGAAACUGAACUAGCAAAGGGCAGCCUAGCGUGUUUGCCUAGCUGAUAGGCAUGACAAAGGUGGCGGGCUGCUUUAUUACACUGGAUAGCUGAUAGCUUAUGUAGAGUAGUGACGACAGCAGGUGCAGGAUGACCAAGGCGAGAGUACCACAUCUCUGGGGAGACGACGGCGACAUGGCAACGAGGUGGCAUGCGAUGUGGAAUCGUGUAGAGGUCCCCGUUGCUAUUGCACCGAAGGAGAGUCGUCUUAGUCCGCAGAUCCUUGACAGAAAAACCAGAGGCGUCAAACUAAAUGGAAUAGUUAUUGUCGCGAGUAAAUUGUCGAACAGAUAACAGAUUACGAGUAAGUUGGGGAGUGAUAAGAACAUUAUCAAGAUAAAAAGGACAAUCAGCUAUUUGAAGGAGAGAAGUGCCACGACUAAGAAUAGGAAUUGAUUGACCGUUGCUGACCGUAAUAGAAGACGGUGGUGACGAGAGGUGGGAAAGUAGAAUACCGUCAUUGGAGGACAUGUGGGAUGUCGCUCCGCUGUCCAUGACCCACGGUGCAAACCCACCCUGAACCGCCAUCUGGUUGAGAGCGGCGAUCAGGCUGAUCGGAUCUCAGCUGGCUGGAGGCCCGUACGCCGGAGGGCCGCCGGCAGUGGAGAACUGAGGCGGCGCGAAGGCGGUGUGUGCCUGUGGAGAAGGCACAAGUGGUGUACACCACUGCUGCUGCUGAGGUGGCCACUGACGGCCUAGGGGUUAUAGCAAACCCAAGGACCAGCCGGCUGAGGAGCCUGACGCCCGCCGGAGCCUCCGCCUUGCUGCUCGUUGCGCCCGCCGCCGCUGUUGCUGCUGCUACCGCCACCGCUGCCGUUACCAACUCCAGAAUAUGCUAAAGCAAAAGGUAAAGAUGCCUACUCCUAACUUGGAUGCCAAGGCAAUGCAACUACUAAUGCAUAAAGUAAGAUACAUAGCAAUUAGGCUUAACUAACAUUGUCAUUCCAGAGAUAUAACCAAAAUAACCGUUGACCCAUCUCCCAGUUUAACGUUGACCCAUCUCCCAGUUUACAGUUGGCAAUACCUCUAAAGAGAUCGCAAAGCUUUAAAAUAUCUCUCCACCAGAAAGAAUCUUAUCAAUGGUGGCAUGGGGGAUCUCCCAAUUGGGGUAAUGAGCAUACCAAAUCAGCUUGACCCAAGGAAUUUCCUUGUUGUAGAAUUUGUCCAGAUGCUUAAGAAGCAAAGCAAAAUUUUAACUUCUAAGGUUGAUGAUGCCUAGGCCUCCUUUCUUUUUUGGUUUACAACAUUUUUUUUCAAGCAACUAAAGGCUUCAUCUUCGCAUUACUGUCAGAGCCUCUCCACAAACAAUGUCUUCUCGCUCUGUCAAUGUAUUCAAGUACAGACACUGGGAGUUGGAGGGUGCACAUUGCAUAUGUUGGCAGAGAGGAUAGACUGAGUUCACUAGUUGAAGUCUUCCAGCAUGAGUAAGGAAAUUGGAAGUAGCUGUAAUUUUUCUUUCCACUUCGUUCAUUAUGAAGCCAAAAUUAUCAACUCUGGGUUUAGUGGUGCCCAUUGGAAGUCCCAGGUAAGUGAAAGGUAAAGUUUCAAGUUUGCAACCAAAAACACCAGCAAGCUGUUGGGCCUUUUCAGGGAGGAGGUUCAGAGGGACUAGACAUGAUUUCUUGUAGUUAACUCGAAGGCCAGUUGACUGGGAGAAAGAUCCAGGAGCCCCCUCAGGAUAAAGACAGAUUCUAUAUUCCAUAACUACUUUAUCUAUUUGAUUCAAUAAGGUGGCAUCAGCCUUGUAUUGUCCUUUGAGAGUUUAAGUACAGGAUAUCCAAGUACAAAUUUCAGCAAUUAAAUACAAACAGACUACAUAGGAUGCUGAACAAAAUCAAUCGUGAUAAUUCUGAAUGAAUGAGCUGGCACUGAACAAUACAAGGUGCAAUGCAUAGCUCAAAAGCAGAGUCAGAGUUGGUGUCAUGUGGGGCCGUCAUUAUAGCCGCCGGCCCCAUAGACAAGGAGCAGCCAGUGCCUCCCCCAAGGUUGCGCAUGGCCUGGCACAGCCCGAGGAGACUGGCCUGGCUGAAGAGGCCUGAGUUAUGAAGGCAUUUAAGGAGAAGAUGAGGAGAUUAAGGAGGUAACAGCUAGCUGGUAGUUAAUAGCUGAGGGAAGUAAUUGCUGGCUCCAGUAACUAGGUGCUGGGCGCAGCAGCUGGGAGCUGAGCUCCUAUAUAUGUAACCCUGAACUCAGUUGAAUGAAUUAAGCAAUGAAGUGAUUAUCUCUAACCUCUCAUCUCCUGCUACCUCUAAUCUCACCCCCCUGCUGCCAGGCGCCAGGCACACCCUGGCGCCCCCAUCUCCUACCUCUAGCUACAACCUGCGCAGCCAAGGCCCUCCUGAGCUAGGUGUGGAGGCCCUUGACAACUUGGUAUCAGGAUUCCGGCGAUCCUCCGGCCACCAGUCCUCUUCCUCCACUGCGCCCUCCCAUCCUGCUGCUGAUACCUCACCCACCCACUCCACCGCUUCCACUGCGCCACCCAUGGCUGAACCUACCAUCUCCGACUUAGCCAAGAUGCUUGGGGACCUUACCAAGAGCAUGGUGACUAUGCAGCAGCAGAUCGUCACGCUACAGCAAGCCCAGCUACCACCAUCAUCUUCCAAUGGCUCCCGUGGGUCUGGUUUCGGUGACCACCAUGGUGAGCGACCGCCGCGGUUCCAGAAAUUGGAUUUCCCCAAGUUCGACGGGAAAUCCGAUCCUCUGGCCUUCAUCAACCGCUGCGAAUCUUACUUCGUCCAACAACGCAUCGCUGCCGAGGAGCAGGUCUGGAUGGCGUCAUACAACCUUGAAGGUGGCGCCCAACUCUGGUACAUCCAGGUGCAGCAGACCGAGGGCACGCCGUCUUGGCGCCGCUUCACCGAGCUCAUCAACCUCCGCUAUGGUCCGCCGCUCCGCUCCAACCCCAUGGGCGAACUGAUGGAGUGCAAGCACACAGGAUCGGUGGCGGAGUAUCAAGACCGCUUCGAGGCGCUGUUGCCAAGGGUCGGGCCACUUGAGGAAAGCCAGCGUGUCCAGGCCUUCACGGCAGGCCUGGGUCCACCACUCAGCCAUGAUGUGGAAAUGCAGAACCCCCAGACUUUGCUCGUGGCCAUGAGUCUGGCCCGCAAGCUGGAGUUGCGCGAGCAGAGCGUCGCCCGCGUCGCGGCCACGGCUCCGCCACGCCUCGCGGGACGUGGCCUACUGCAGGGGCCACAACAGCCCUUGGCGCUGCCCGCUCCCCCAGCCCACGCUACUCCAACCCCAUCGUUCGAAGGCCGCCAAGUUCGCCGGCUGUCGCCGGCUGACAUGGACGAUCGCCGACGCCAGGGCCUGUGUUUCAACUGCAAUGAAAAGUAUACACGCGGCCAUAAUCGCGUCUGUCAACGCCUAUUUUUCCUUGACAUCGCAGAAACCGACGACCAGGAGGACGACGUCGAGGCUGCUCUGGCUGCCGUGAACAUGGACAAGCCGCUGAUCUCACUCAGCGCGAUCGCCGGCAUCCGCACGAGCGAGACGAUGCAGAUCCGCAUCAACCUGGGCGGAGCGUCUCUGCUGGCGCUGCUGGACUCAGGCAGCACGCACAAUUUCGUCGCGGUCGACGCUGCAGGCCGGACCAACCUCCGGCUCAGGCUCCGCAGCGGCCUGAAGGUCACCGUGGCGAACGGCGAAAGGGUACCGAGCCCAGGCGUGUACCGCGCAGCCACCUUCUCCAUCGACGACGCCUCUUUCUCCACCGACUUCUAUGCCCUUCCGCUCGCCGGCUAUGACGUGGUGCUGGGCAACCAAUGGCUGGCAACGUUGGGCCCAAUCCUGUGGGAUUUUGGUGCCCUCACCAUGUCCUUCUGGCACCAGGGACGCCAGGUGUGCUGGAAGGGCGUGGCCAGUACCCCCAGCCCAAGACUGAAGGCAUGCAACGGCUCUGAUAUCAUGACAGCCCUGCUGGAAGAAUUCUCCUCCGUCUUCUCCGAGCCCACUGGCAUGCCCCCACCGCGCUCCAGGGAGCACUCCAUCAACCUCGUCCCUGGCUCUCCUCCAGUGGCGGUCCGGCCCUACCGCUACCCCGCCUCACACAAGGAUGAGUUGGAGCGCCAAUGCUCCGACAUGCUGGCCCAAGGGCUGAUCAGGCACAGCACCUCUGCAUUUUCCUCUCCGGUCCUGCUCGUGAAGAAAGCCGACGGGUCAUGGAGGUUUUGCGUGGACUACCGCGCCCUUAACGCCAUUACUAUCAAAGACGCCUACCCCAUCCCCAUCGUCGACGAGCUCUUGGAUGAGCUGCACGGUGCCCAGUUCUUCACCAAGCUGGACCUUCGUUCCGGGUACCACCAAGUUCGAAUGAACAUCGCCGACAUCGAAAAGACGGCGUUCCGUAAACAUGACGGCCUGUACAAGUUCCUGGUCAUGCCGUUUGGCCUCUGCAAUGCCCCGGCAACGUUCCAGGCCCUCAUGAACGAUGUGUUGCGGCCGUUCCUCCGCCGCUUCGUCCUCGUUUUCUUCGACGACAUACUUAUCUACAGCAGCUCCUUCGCCGAACACCUUCAGCACAUGCGUGCAGUCCUCACCACCCUACAACAGCACCAUCUCUUCGUCAAGAGGUCCAAAUGCGACUUUGGGGCCUCCAACAUCUCCUACCUUGGGCACGUCAUUUCAGCCCAAGGCGUCGCCAUGGACCCCGAGAAAGUGCAAGCAGUAGCGGACUGGCCCCAACCAAGAUCAGCACGGGCAGUGCGCGGGUUCUUGGGACUUGCUGGCUACUACCGCAAGUUUGUGAAGGAAUUCGGCACCAUUGCUGCCCCGCUGACCGCUUUACUCAAAAAGGAAGGAUUCACUUGGUCACCUGAGGCGGAAGCGGCUUUCACAGCCCUCAAGACCGCCAUCACAACGGCCCCCGUUCUGGUCCUGCCCAACUUCAACCACCUGUUCGUUGUGGAAUGCGACGCCUCAACCUACGGGUUUGGCGCAGUGCUGCUCCAGGACCAGCACCCGGUGGCUUUCUUCAGCCGCCCUGCUGCACCGCGUCAUCGCUCUCUGGCGGCCUACGAGCGUGAACUGAUCGGCCUCGUCUUGGCCAUCCGCCAUUGGAGGCCAUAUCUAUGGGGUCGUCCCUUCCUGGUGAGAACUGACCACUACAGUCUAAAAUUCUUGCUGGACCAGCGGCUGUCCACCAUUCCCCAGCAUCACUGGGUGGGCAAGCUCCUAGGAUUCGACUUCACGGUGGAAUACAAGGCUGGCAGCGCCAACACAGUGGCUGAUGCCCUCUCCCGCCGCGACACAGAAGAGGCGGCUGUCCUGGCCAUCUCAGGCCCCCGCUUCGACUUCAUCAGCCGCCUUCGCCAAGCUAAUCAGCAAGAUCCGGCGUUGGUCGCCCUCCAGCAGGAAAUCAGUUCUGCCCAGCACACUGCUCACUGGGCCAUCACCGAUGGCCUGGUCACAUUCAAGGGCCGACUUUACCUGCCUCCAGGCGCCCCACUCCUUCAGGAGCUCAUCACUGCUGUCCAUGAGGACGGACACGAGGGCGUCCAGCGCACACUCCACCGGCUCCAACGCGACAUCCAUGCGCCUAACCUCAGGGCGCUUGUCCAGGACUUUGUCCGGACCUGUGCCACAUGUCAGCGCUACAAGACAGAGCAUUUGCACCCGGCUGGCUUACUCCUUCCCCUGCCGGUGCCAUCCUCAAUCUGGACUGACAUAGGCAUGGACUUCAUCGAAGCAUUGCCAAAAGUGGGCGGCAAGACAGUAAUUCUCACUGUGGUGGAUCGUUUCAGCAAAUACUGCCAUUUUAUUCCGCUGGCUCACCCCUACUCAGCGGAAUCAGUGGCUCAAGCUUUCUUCUCCGAAAUUGUGCGCCUGCAUGGUGUGCCACAAUCCAUAGUCUCUGAUCGAGAUCCGGUCUUUACCUCACUGUUUUGGAAGGAAUUGAUGCGACUUGCAGGGAUCAAGCUGCACAUGACUACAGCCUUUCAUCCGCAGUCUGAUGGACAGACAGAGGCCGCCAACAAGGUCAUUGUCAUGUACCUUCGCUGCAUGACUGGAGAUCGCCCCAAGCAGUGGCUGCGCUGCUUACCUUGGGCAGAAUUCAUCUACAAUACUGCAUACCAGUCUGCACUAAAGACAACACCAUUCCAGAUCGUGUAUGGGCGUGAGCCACCAUCCAUCCGCUCCUAUGAGCCAGGGGAAACUCGCGUGGCAGCAGUGGCCAAGACCAUGGCAGAACGAGACGAGCUCCUGGCUGAUGCCCGGGCACGGCUGGAACAAGCACAAGCCGUGUACAAGCGCUCCUACGACAAACACCACCGCGACGUUCGCUUCAGCGUGGGCGAUUGGGUAUGGCUCCGCCUUCGACACCGCACUCCGGCUUCACUGCCAGACACCACGAAGGGCAAGCUGCGUCCUCGCUUCUACAGACCAUACCGCAUCACCGCCGCCAUCAACGAAGUCGCCUACCGCCUCGAGCUACCUCCCCGCGCCCGACUCCACGACGUCUUCCACGUCGGGCUGCUCAAGAAAUUCGUUGGCACUCCCCCAGCUUCGCCACCGGCCCUGCCUCCCAUUCACAAUGGUGCCAGUCAACCAGUACCAGAGCGCGCUACGCGCACACGCCUCGCCAGGGGCGUCCGUCAGAUCCUGAUCCACUGGCAAGGCGAACCAGCAGCUUCAGCGACAUGGGAAGACCUCGACAGCUUUCAAGCCCGAUACCCCACCUUCCAGCUCGAGGACGAGGACGAGCUGCUCGUCGAGGGGGGGAGAGAUGUCAUGUGGGGCCAUCAUUAUAGCCGCCGGCCCCAUAGACAAGGAGCAGCCAGUGCCUCCCCCAAGGUUGCGCAUGGCCUGGCACAGCCCGAGGAGACUGGCCUGGCUGAAGAGGCCUGAGUUAUGAAGGCAUUUAAGGAGAAGAUGAGGAGAUUAAGGAGGUAACAGCUAGCUGGUAGUUAAUAGCUGAGGGAAGUAAUUGCUGGCUCCAGUAACUAGGUGCUGGGCGCAGCAGCUGGGAGCUGAGCUCCUAUAUAUGUAACCCUGAACUCAGUUGAAUGAAUUAAGCAAUGAAGUGAUUAUCUCUAACCUCUCAUCUCCUGCUACCUCUAAUCUCACCCCCCUGCUGCCAGGCGCCAGGCACACCCUGGCGCCCCCAUCUCCUACCUCUAGCUACAACCUGCGCAGCCAAGGCCCUCCUGAGCUAGGUGUGGAGGCCCUUGACAGUUGGCUACGCAUAUAAUACACAAAUUAGUAAUGAUAAAAGAAAAACACGUAACACUUACAUUCAAAACAUGCUGGUCCAAAUUUCCCAAAUCCAAACAGAUUGUGGGUCACAUAAUAUUCAAAUUACAAGUUGAUUUACUGAUGCUUACUUUUUUGAGAAAAUUGUAAACAGGCACAGUACUGAUUUGCAUAAAAAUUUUGGAUGAUGCUAGAAGCUAAACGCAUUAAUAAAUUAGAUAUUUCCAUUUCUCACAAAGAAAAAACAUAAAAAGGCAUAAAAAGGCUGGAACAAUGAAAAAUACCAUAUGAGCAGGCUCAACAAUCCUAUAGCUAGUCUUCGCCCGGAACAUCUCAACAAAGUCAUCUGCAUUUUUCAAUAAAUGAAUCAAGACACAGCAAAAGCACCUGAAUGCAAAAGAUAAGGCUUGCAAGAAAAAUCAGGUUUAUUACUUAGCAAGAGAUUGGAUUCUUGGCGUCUUGACCCAUGAUCAACAAUGACCACAGCAUCCUUAUCCCCCACAGCAAAAUCCUCCCUCCCAGAUGUUUCGGACCCAGGGGCAGGUUUCGAUAUGGAAUUCAUAGCCAGGUUUCCACUAGACUUUCCAGCUCUCCGCAGGUUGACAAAAUGGAUGGCCUUCCUCAAAGCAUUGCUGCUGAUGCCAAGAAAUAACAGAUACCAUUAUGAGAAGCAGCGACACAGGAGCAGUAGCAGACCACACAAUUUGCUAAGAGCCUAAGAGGUUAGAUAAAUGGAUUACCUUGACACAACUUGUUUUGCAGGAGUUGCUGUAAAGGGCUGGGAGGGGACUGAAACAGGGUGCAUAGGGGAGCAGUUCAGGUAAAGAACCACCAAGAUUCAGUGGGGUGAAAACUGGUAUGACCUCUCAAGCCAGUGCAACCCUCCAAACCUAGCUGCACGAAUUCAGUGGCAGACCCAGACAUGAGACAAAUGGGGGGUUAAUAUUUUAAAUCUAGAAAAUUUCCUAGCGGUAUGCUAAAACAUAUAAUAGAUAUAACAGACAAUACUGGUGAAACGCAGUCAGAUUUUGCAACAAAGUGGAAGAAAAUAGCUGGAUUCUAGACAUUAGUUCAGUAUGUAUUAGCCCAACACCUCGAACGCAAACAAUGCGCACUGAAGGACCAAGGUUCAAGAGCCAGUUUACUGAAACCUUGUUUUACAUCAAACUCGUACUUCGCACUGUUGCAUUCAUUGAACCCAUGCGACUAUUAGAAUCUAGACAUUGGCAUUUAUCGAAGAAAAUAUUAUGAAUGGAAAUCAGAAAUCAACACACCCUUACUCAGUGGCUCAGUGUGAUCUCUGGGCCGUGCUGUGCAGCAAUCUAGCAGGAGGCGAGGGCAUGGGGCUGGCCAGUAGGGGCGACCUGCACAUGCGCUGAUCUCAGUGGCGAGCCCAGGGUUUUUGGCCUGGGUAUUCAAAAUGUAGAAGGGUGUCAAAAAAAAUUUUGACCGCCUAGACUCCUAAAUCCUAAUGUUUGGCAUGUAUAACACCACAGAGUUCUAAUUUUAUAAUACAUAGCAAGUAUAUAACACACAAUUGAGAAUGAUUUCAUAAAUUCAUAAAAUUUGAGCAUAACUUGAAAUUGUUUAACAAUUUCACAUAAAGAAAUGCCAACACUUCAACAUACCAAAGUAGAAACAUGCAGAAUAUAUGAAGGCUAUGAAACAACAAAAUAGUAAGAAAACUUACAAAAUAUUAAUAAAACUUUCCAAUAUUAAAAUUAAAUUAGGGAAUAUUAAAUUAAACCAGGUAACUGUAAAUUGGGGACUGAAUAAUUUGCACACAAACUCAAUCUCUCUUCAUUCCAAUCUCUCCUCAUUCCAAUUUAGAAGUGAUUCACAAAUCACAGUUGAUAUCCCUCUCUUCUGGAUUGCAAUUUGUAAGGUCAAGUUUAGUACUUCAUUAUCUUGGCUUCUCAAUCUCCCCAUUCUACGCAUUCUGUAUAUUAGGGAUAGCGGUUCCCUGCUGCGCCAGCGCAGCGCCUCGCCGGAGGACGACCAGCGCAGGGGGCCCGGGCGAUGCAGCACAAUAUAGAGAGAGAGGCGGCGGUGGAGCUUGGGAGACGCAACGACGGCGCGGGGAGGGGCAGCACGCCAUGCCGGGCCGGGGUCGGCCGCGCGCCAGGACCCACGGCCAGAGGCCGCCGUGUUCGGGGCCGACCAGAGAGCGCCACCGCUUCGGGGGGGGGGGGGGGGGGGGGGGGGGGGGGANNNNNNNNNNNNNNNNNNNNNNNNNNNNNNNNNNNNNNNNNNNNNNNNNNNNNNNNNNNNNNNNNNNNNNNNNNNNNNNNNNNNNNNNNNNNNNNNNNNNGUGCGACUAUUACACAAUACUUCGUUCCGCCCAACGAGAUCUUUUCGACUAACCGUACCCGUUCAGAAUAACCGACCUCCACAGGAAGGACCCUAAAACGCUUCCGGAUAGCAGGGAGGGAGAGGCUGCGAGGGCGAGGGAAACGGGAACGGGAGAGAGGAGGAGCAGGUGCGCUCGAUGGGAGGGAGUGGGGAGGGGCCGCGGCUAUCGACGCCGGCCACCGAGCCGUGCCGGUGUGUGCAGCCGCGCGUGGAGCUGCAGCGUAGGGACGAGGAGCGAGGGAGAGAAAGAGGUACUGGAAAGUUCACCCAGCCCCUCUAGUCACCCUUUCCCUGCUAUCCGCAAACUUUAUUGGGUUAUACUAGCGCCCACACGUCGGACUGAACUGAUACGCGCGUCCGGACCGACGCCGCCUUGCAUCUUUUCUAUUGAUCUCUGCACUUACUACUCGUUCUGGUUACAUCUACACUAGCACAUGCGUAGGACCUAUUCGACUGCAGAAAGCGAGAGAGCAUUGGGCGCUUUACGAUGCUAUAUCCAUGUAUUGACCUGAUUGUAGGGAUGAAAGCGGAUCGGAUACGGACGGAUAUCACUGAUAUCAUAUUUGUUUUCAUAUUUCUGGUCAGAUUCAGAUUUGAAUACGGAUAAUGUCAAUUAUAUCGGAUAAGAUAUGAUUAGAUGUCGAUAUCAUAAAUAUACGACUUAAGUAUUCGGAUACGGAUACGGUAUCAGAUACGGACAGAUCUGAACCCCUCUAAACGAAUUCGGUCUCGAAUACGGUCGAAAAAUAUCCGUACCGUUUCCAUCCCUACAUAAUAGAGGGCCAUCCUUUGGUUCUAUGUCCCUUGCGCGGAUAUCCAAGUAUAUUGGAGCUGGCUCGCAUGAUAGAGAUAGGUAGUACUAGCUAGAUGCCUGUAGCAUGUGCUUGUCCGCGAGUUAUAGCACUUAGACCUUGUUUAGUUCCUAAUCUUUUUUAAGAUUUCCCGUCACAUCAAAUCUUACGGCACAUGCAUGAAACAUUAAAUAAAGAUAAAAAAUAUAACUAAUUACACAGUUUAUCUGUAAUUUGUGAGAUGAAUCUUUUGAACCUAGUAAGUCUAUAAUUGAAUAAUAAUUAUCAAAUAAAGCGGAAAGUGCUACAAUAGCGAAACCCGAAAUUUUUCACGAACUAAACAAGGCCUUAGAGAGAGUAGUACUUGUUAUUGCAACAUGCUGAAACAAAUUAAAAUAAAAUACCUGUAACAUUCGGAGUAUGCAUAGCCACUGCAACAUACUCUGAAGAGGUGAAACAUUUGGAACAACGCAAUUACAAUAUACGCAUAUAGUCACUGAUUCAGAUAAAACACUUAUAACAUACGUCUAAAACAGGUAAAAAUAUUUGGAACAAACGCUUAUAAGAUACGCGUAUAGUCAAACAUGCAUCUAAAACAUGUGAAACAUUCGGAACAAACACCUGCAACAUACGCGUAUAAUUAUUGCAACAUAUGCAAAAUCUAGCUAAACACACUUAACACAUUCGAACAUACAUUUGCAACAUACGUAUAUAGGCACUGCAACAUAUGCAAUAUCUAGAUAAAAAAGUGCAACAUCUAAAUAAAACAGCUGAAACAUUUGGAAGCUAUAACUACAACAUACAAAUAUAGCCAUUGAAACAUACUCCCUCCGUCUAAAAAUAAGUAUUAUUUGUGUUUCUCGAGAAAUAACUUUAACUAAAUAUAUAUAAAAAAUAUUAAUAUUUAUAGUACAUAAUUAGUAUCAUUGGAAAGAUUUUUAAGUCUAGUUUUUUAACAAAUUUAUUUAAAGAUACAAAUAUUGCACGUAUUAUCUAUGAAUCGAGUUAAACUUAUACCACGUUUAAAACGACACUUUUUUUUAGAACGGAGAGAGUAGAGUAUGCACAACAUCCACAUAAAACAUCAAACACAUAGACCGGUACGAAGCUCGAUGCCUACGAUCAUGAGGAAGCAUCGGAGCAGCAAAUGGCGUUGCAGAUGUAAGUGCUCCUCUCACGAACUCUAUUCUCUCCCUAUUACGGCAUAUGCAUGGCAUCACUCUCAGUUGCAUAUGAACAGGACACACCAUUGAAAGGUCCAAAUGGCUAGAGGGGGGUGAAUAGCCUAUUUAAAAAUUCUACAAACUUCAACUAGACAAGUUGAUUAGUAAAGUAAGUGGCGAAGCUAUUCUAGCACUAGCACAACUAAGCUAUGCAAGCCACCUACACAAGUCUAGCAAGAAGGCUAAACACUAAACCACAACAACUAGGCUAAACAAGCUAAACUAACAAGGUAUGGCAAGUAUGUAAAGAGAAGAGAGUGAUUGUUAUACCGACGUUGUAGAGAUGAGAUAUAUCCAAUCAAUCACGUGCACAAUCACAAGACUCGGCAAGAGAUGACACAAGAUUUUUACCAAGGUUCACUUGCUUCCCGGCAAGCUACUCCUCGUUGUGGCGAUACACCCACUUGAUGGAUCACGAGCUAAUUGGCAAUCAAAAGCCAAACCCUCAGCGGAUGCCGCACAUCCACUCACAAGAUGGGGAUCCUCUAAGCUACGAGCAAUCCACUAGAGUAGCCAAUUGCGAUCUCCCGCGGGGAAGGCUCAAGAACCCCUCACAAAUCACCUGGUGAGGCUCGAAACAAUCUCCAAUCACGAGCUCAACACCACCGCUGCUCCAAGCCAUCUAGGGCGUCGGGAAACACCCAAGAGUAACAAGAAAUCCGCAGCAAACUCAAGACAAGUGCCACUAAAUGCAACUCUCAAAGCAAUGCACUUGAAUCUCACUCAAUCACUAGGAUGAGCAAUCAAGCAAGGAGAUGAGUGGAGGGAGUGUUCUCUAGCUCAAUGUAUGUCUCAAGUAAUCAAAUAUGCAAGAGUGAACCUCCCAAAGCCGGCCACCUUCUAUUUAUACGCCCCCUCAAAGAACUAGCCAUUGGCCACUUUCACUGGGCUGAAAACGGAGGCACCGGACGCUACCAAGUGAUCACCGGACGCUCGACCCCCAGCGUCCGGUGCUCAGGGGUUGGCCACGUGUCCUUCUUGAAUCUCGCGUGUCAGUCUCUAACGGCUACCUGCAAAGCACCGGACGCUCUGCAGGUCCACACCUGACGCGUCUGGUGCACACCGGACUAAAACUCAGGGAGGUAUGCAAAACCUCGGGGUCACCGGACGCUUAGCACUGAACCGUCCGGUGCUCACCGGACUCAUACCUAGAGAGGUUUGCAAAACGCACGCACACCGGACGCUGAGCACUAGGGAUGAAAACGGUACGGAUAUUUUCCGACCGUAUCGGUGUCGACAAUACACCAGACGAGAAACACUCCCGCGACUUCUCCAAAUUUCCCACCGGCGCAAUAGAAAAUAAACACUUAUUUUUCUCAAAAGCGCCAAACACAAACCCCUCUCUACCCUAGGAACUCCGCCUCCUUUGCAAAUGUGCUAACACCAACAAGUGUCCACCACCAAAGUGCAUGUGUGUUAGCUUUUCACAAACAUUUUCCCAAAAGAGUUAAGUUAGCACUUUACUAGAUCCUAAUGCAUAUGCUCAAGAUGUAGACCUAGUAGCACUUGAUUCGAGAGAUGACCGUGAUUUACCCUCUUGAUAGUCGGCUAUUUAUUCUAAACCCAGUCAAUCACUUCUCUACUCAUUUUUGACCGGCAAAAGUAAAACCCUAUGUUUAUACCUUUGCCUUGAUAACUUUGAUCCUUGUCUGUCACCAUGAUCUUCACUUCAUGCUUCAUUUCUUUGUGAUCAUCUGGCCACCUUUCCAUGCCACCAUGCACUUUCAUCACAUGUGUUGCUAUGCCUAACUCAAAUCACUUAAACACAAGGCAUUAGCAACUUGGUGUCAUUAAUUACCAAAACCAAACUUAGGCUUUCAACCAUGCACAACACUGUCAGCAUAGCCUACGUGGUGGACUAUUGUUGUGCUCCUGAGAGAUUAUUAUAGUAUGGGGACUAAGGAAAAAGACAGAGACCACAAAUGAGAUGUGAUGUAGACAAGACACCAGCAACAAAUUCUGGGGACGCGAGUGGUGAGAGGAUUAAUUAAUAAUUGGAAAUAAAUUAAUUAAAAAAGAUCACGAUAAUUAAGAAAAAAUCAUGGCAUGGGACACGGGAACGCGCAGCACGCAGUAUGCAUUGCUGACGGAUCCGUCUGGAUGGACGGACGCCCUAUGGUAAGUAUUACCUACCGUUUCUGUCGAGGUUCUGUGUUUAAAUUCAUGGUUUGGUAGGUGGGCCUAGGCUAAUAAAAUGUCGUUGUUGCCCUCUGGUGAGUGCCGCGUACAGCUCGACCUCCAGACCGCACCCGCCGUAGCAAAAAUGCAAAAGGUAUUUGACAUGUUCUACCUCUGUGUUUUUUAAAAGUGUUGUAUUUGGUCUGUGUACAAAGACCAGGAAGAAAAUUAACUUUAAGUAUUACUCUUCGUCUCUCGAUGCAUGGCUGCAUGCAAUCCAACUCCUCACUUCCCGUGUUACUAAGGGUCCCUCUGGUUGGGCUUUUGGCUGUGGCUUUUGCCCCUCAAAAGCCAAAAGCCAACCAAAGGAGUUAGCUUUCAUCUAAAGUCAAAGUCAAAAGCAGCUUUUACGUAGUACAAAUUUCACAGCACCUCCACCCCUACUUUCAUCUGCUUUUGGUCACAAAAAUUACCCACCUUGCCACUGGUUACACACGUACUGUUUCGAUCUCUCGUCUUCGUCCGCGAGUUCUCCCAUCGGCGCUGCCCUCAAGUGGCCUCCCUCCCUCCAGCGUGCACUGCUCCACCCCGGUCCCCUCCUUCCCCGGCCUCCAUCCCUCCCUCCGGCGUGCUCUGCUCCGCCCCGGUCCUCUCCUCUCCUCCCUCCGGCGUGCGUCGCUCGGCGACCUCCCUCCCUCCAGCGCGUUGUGGCCUCCCGGGACGCAAGCCACACGACGGACGCAGGCCGGAGCGGCUCCGCCCUGCAGCCUCGCUCCCUCUGGCGCGGCAGGCGGCUCCUUGUGCAUCUCCAGGCGCGCCCCGACCUCCCUCCCUCCGGCGUGGGUGGGGGCUACUCCGGCACAUGGCCUCGCUUCUACAGUUGUUAUGAACAAAAAUCAUGUCUUGCUUCUACAGUAGUUAGUUGGAUCAGAUUAGUAAACCAUACAACCUACUGUCUCUAUGGGGUACAUAAAAUGGUUUCGAAUUUCUAAAUUGCUUUCAUCAGGGCCUAGAAAGUAUUGUCAGUGGGGAGGUUCCCUAAUUGAAUCUAUGGUUGGUACUUUCCUUACAUAGGAUUCUGCUGAUAAUUUAUCAAGAUAAAAUGAGGAUCCAUAAAACAAGAUCGAGAUGGAAGGGAGGGAAGAGUGUAUGAAGGUUGUACUCACACGAAUGGACGGACGAUGAAGGACCUGUCCUCGGAGCAGUUGCAAAUCGUGAGGGCAAGCUGCCUGAUGUGUGAGGACUCCUCCGGGAUGUGGCUUCUGCUCGACGGGAUGUGGCUCUCCUCGCUGCUAGCCACCCCUAAAGCUCCUGUCGAGCAGGCAGAGGCUCGAUGCUGAGCAGGCCCUAUGGUUCUGUCGGAGGCCUGACAUGAGUCAAAAGGUUCAGAUGAAACGAUAAAACUGAUAUAGCUGAAACCCAAAUAUCUAUGCCAAGCAAACUCACUUAAAGUUACAUGCCAAAGAGAAGGUGCUUUACAUGCAAUCCAAAAUUGUAUAUAUUCAAAUAGGGCAAAGAAACAUAAGCACUGACAGCUAAUGCUCAUGAUUUUUUUAAUGUAUACAGUUUCAAAAGGAUAACUCCACCUUUCUCUCUCAGUUUUGACCGGACACAAUGCCUCUUGUAGAGCAUAUUUGUGAAAAUAUUUUUAUACAACUAAUGCACACAUGAAAUCGACCAUGAAUAAAAAAUCAGCUAGAGACUUCAUAGGACUGAAAAUGAUACAUCGUGUCAUUAAAUGUGAAAGGUGUGUGGUAUUCAUUAAUUGACCAAAAAUUCUCAAAUAAUCACACAAGAUUCAGAAUGGAUCAGAAGACCUGCAUAUGCAAUCUGCACUAUGAAGUAACAUCGACAAAAACGAUGAAAUUGCCACAACUGUGUAUGGAGGAAUAUCAUAUCCUUUAAUUUCUGACAUACUUAUUUGAACAUGUGUAUUUCUGAAUUUAUGCCUAACAACAAAAGUUUAAAGAAGACACAUCUGUAGACCCUUGGAAAGAAUGCAAUUGAUCAAUGCAAUAAUCCAGAAAGAUCAAUAGAGCGCAGAUUAAUGCCAAAGAACUUGCAGGACAGAGAGGACGAUGGAGAGCUACCUGUAGAUGUGGUUCGGGCUUGCAGGCCAGAAUCUCAUGCAACGGAGGCUCCAUCACUGGCGCUGCUUCUGCCGCGUCAUCAUAGCCUAAGUGUCGCUUCCCCUUUGCUAUGUGCGUCCUCAGCUGCAGCCGCUUAGUUCCACCGGGAUUCGCAACAAAGGAAGGCCAUGGGAUUUGGACCUGGGCGAGGAGCGAUGGGGAUGGUGUUGCAGUGACAUGGGUGCGGGGACGGGGAACGGCGGCAUAUGCGGCCGCAGGGAGCGCGGACGGGGAGCGGUGGCGUACGUGGCCGAGCUAGUGACUGCAGGGAUGGAGAGCGCGGUGGUGUACGCGGCCGCAGGAAGUGAGGACGGGGAGCUUAGGGGUUAUCGCAGGGAAGGGGAGGAGUAGAUGUGGGCGCAAGGAUGGAGAAAGCGUGUGGGAGAUGGUCGCAGGGCGUGAUUGGCGGAGCAGAAGGAGGGAGCGAGCGUCGCAGACCCGGUAGACGGACGGACGAAGAUGAAUUGUUGCACGAAAAAAUGCUCACUCUUUAGUCUUUUUAAUUGUAUAUAUGAGACUUGUGACUUUCUUUCUAACUAAAUAUUAUGACACUUAAAAAAAUCGGAGGGAGUACAAUUAUUAGGUGAAGCCACAAACUUUUAUAAGCCACGUGAUUUUAAAAUAUUUAUCUACUGCGUCUUGUUUGCUUGAGCUUAUCAUCUGAAUCAGCUAGCCACUCAGCAAUAUUUUUCUUUCACAACAAAUCAGCUAACAAUACUUUCUCUUUUUACGUCUUGUUCGCUUGAGCUUAUCAUCCGAAUGAGCCAGCCACUAAGCAGUAUUUUUCUCUCACAACAAAUCAGCCAACAAUACUUUCUAUCCCUAAAAGCUUUAACUUCUAGAAUUAUUCUAAGUCAAACUUUUAAAAGUUUUUCUAAAUUUCUAGAAAAAAGAUUAAGAUUUAUAGUACCAAAUUAAUAUCAUUGAAUUUAUCAUAAAAAUAUUUUUAUGAAGCUGUUUAGAAAUAAGUGUUUGAUAAAAAAACAACUCACACUAAAUAGUUCUAUAAAAUAUUUUAUUUUUUUAAAUUUUUUAAAAUAACUUAUAAUUUAUAAUUUAGGAUAGAGAAACUGUUCGAAAAUUUUCUUUUUUGAAUUUAUCGAAACCCCAGGCGGCUAUAGGGUGGCUGGCGGUCGCUCCGCCACUGCUCAGAUGUAAAGAUGACAUUUUUUACCCGAAAUCCGAUGAGUAAUUACCUCAUCAGGAUAAGAGUAUGACUAUUUUUUGUGCCCAUGUGUAAGAUAAUAGGAAAAAAUCUUUACCCAGCGGGUAAAGCGGUUAAGGGUAUGAGACUGCAUUGCUCAUACCCGUUAACCCAUGGGUAAAUUGAACCCGAUAAAUUAUACUAGAAUCAUGGAACUUGUGGAUUUUAUGACUUGUUAUCUAGUAAUGAUGGAUUUAUCCAUUAGAUCAUUUGAUUGUGUGUUCAUGUAGCUUGUAUAUUUGAAGAGUUUAUUAAUGAUUUAUGAUAUCUUGGCUAAAUUUGGGAGCCUGAUAUAUUAAAACAUGUAUUUUUUCAUAGCAAAUAUUCUUAAAAUCAUGGGUAAAGAUAACACAUGGGUUAUCCGUUACCCGCAUGGAAAAGGGUAUGAGAAAAAACUUUUACCCAUGCACGGGUAUAGGUAAAUUAGCAAGUAAAAUAUUUUCUCGUGGAUAAAGGCAGCGGGUAGUUACCCAUUGCCAUCCCUAAUCAGAUGACACACUUUUGUUCUGUCAUCCUAGGCCUUGUUUAUUCCCCAAAAAUUUUGCAAAAAUUUUCAGAUUCUCCAUCACAUCGAAUCUUUAGACGUAUGCAUGGAGUAUUAAAUAUAGAUGAAAAUAAAAACUAAUUGCACAGUUUGGUUGGAAUUGACGAGACGAAUCUUUUAAGCCUAGUUAGUCCAUAAUUGGACAAUAUUUGUCAAAUACAAACGAAAAUAUUACUAUUCCUAUUUUGCAAAAAAUUUUGGAAGUAAACAACUAAAGUACUUAUUGUNNNNNNNNNNNNNNNNNNNNNNNNNNNNNNNNNNNNNNNNNNNNNNNNNNNNNNNNNNNNNNNNNNNNNNNNNNNNNNNNNNNNNNNNNNNNNNNNNNNNACCUUGGUAAAAAAUCUUGUGUCAUCUCUUGCCGAGUCUUGUGAUUGUGCACGUGAUGGAUGGGAUAUAUCUCAUCUCUACAACGUCGGUAUAACAAUCACUCUCUUCUCUUUACAUACUGCCCAUACCUUGUUAGUUUAGCUUGUUUAGCCUAGUUGUUGUGGUUUAGUGUUUAGCCUUCUUGCUAGACUUGUGUAGGUGGCUUGCAUAGCUUAGUUGUGCUAGUGCUAGAAUAGCUUCGCCACUUACUUUACUAAUCAACUUGUCUAGUUGAAGUUUGUAGAAUUUUUAAAUAGGCUAUUCACCCCCCUCUAGCCAUUUGGACCUUUCAAUGGUGUGUCCUGUUCAUAUGCAACUGAGAGUGAUGCCAUGCAUAUGCCGUAAUAGGGAGAGAAUAGAGUUCGUGAGAGGAGCACUUACAUCUGCAACGCCAUUUGCUGCUCCGAUGCUUCCUCAUGAUCGUAGGCAUCGAGCUUCGUACCGGUCUAUGUGUUUGAUGUUUUAUGUGGAUGUUGUGCAUACUCUACUCUCUCCGUUCUAAAAAAAAGUGUCGUUUUAAACGUGGUAUAAGUUUAACUCGAUUCAUAGAUAAUACGUGCAAUAUUUGUAUCUUUAAAUAAAUUUGUUAAAAAACUAGACUUAAAAAUCUUUCCAAUGAUACUAAUUAUGUACUAUAAAUAUUAAUAUUUUUUAUAUAUCAAACUGUGCAAUUAGUUUUUAUUUUCGUCUAUAUUUAGUACUCUAUGCAUUCGUCUAAAGACUCGAUGUACAGAGAAUCUGAAGAAUUUUGUAAUUUUUUUUGAAACUAAACAAGCACUUAGCGUUAUUGCGUGAUGGUGGCCGUGGCAGGCGCAGCAGCAGCAUGGCGCCAACAGGAUGGUAUUUGGCGCCAACAGCCUGGUCUUUACCCUCAACUUAAUAAGGCCAGUCUCAGUGGAGGUUUCACUAGAAUGUCAUGCACAUUUAUUAGUGCGUCAUGUUAGCAAAACUGCACUUUUUGCAUGAAACGAAGAGGAGAGAGAAGGAAGUAGUUUCACCAUGGUGAAACUCCACGAGCGUUGUUUCCCACGCGGUGAAACGGGAUGAAAUCCCCACUGAGGACCAAAUCGUUUCACCAUCUUGCAUGUGAUCCAAUCAUUUUGCAGUAAUUAAAUGCUUUGCUUAGCCUUGGAAACAACAAAGUGAAAUGCUCCAUUGCUAGUAUUAUUUCAUAGAUAGUUUCAUUUCAAUCUCGAUGACGUGUUGGUAUCUGAAACCGUGCAGUGAUACUGUCCAUUGAGGCUGGCCUAAUAGUAACCACGAAAUGGUAUAGAGGAAAGAAAUAAAUUUCAUUAUGCUAAUAUACACAAAGGGCAGGCAGGUUAUUUGAAACAGCCGUUAACUACCAUUAGUACCAAAACCUGACGGAAUGGUAUGGAAGGCACGAAAAAAGUUCGCGGAUAGCACAGAAGGGGCGACUAACUUGACCGUGGCAGAGGCGUCGAGGUCGAGGGAUCUGCCUCGAUGCUUCUGGGGCCUUGUUUAGUUCUUUCUCAAAACUCAAAAUUAUUUUUAAGUUCUGUCACAUUGAAUCUUUAGACAUAUGCAUAAAGCAUUAAAUAUAGACAAAAACAAAAACUAAUUGUACAGCUUAUCUGUAAUUUACGAGACGAAUCUUUUAAACCUAAUUAGUCUAUAAUUAGACAAUAUUUGUCAUAUAUUAAAGUGUUUUUUUAGAACUAAACAAGUCCCGACGAAGGAAGGUAGUGGACAGACGCGUUUGCUUCGAUGCUUCUGGAGGAAGGAAAGGGAACUAACACAUGACAAAUCAGGCUGAGGUGGACCAACGGGAAGAGGAGGAGGCGAGGAGGCACCGAGAUGGACCAAUGGUAGAAUUUCGGCUGACGUGUAUGGCUUCUCUAUGGAGGAAGCAUCUUGCGUUUGUAGAGGUAAAUAUAAUAUGGUACUAUAAUUUUUUUAUAGUUUUAGAUAUAUGUUUUUCUAUAAUUAAUUGAAAUACUUCAUAGCUGUAACUUCUAUAAUUUUUUUGUUGGACUAAGGCAUAUCAUAUUAUAUAUUCACUAUGCAUAUCAACGCAUGUGGAGUCUAACAAAAUUGAAUUUUAUAUUUUAUGAUUUUCUUGUGAUUCACUAUGAUUUUUAAAAGUUUAGCCAAAAUAAAUAAAAAAUAAAAAGACAAAACCAUUGUCGCUGUAGCAAACUGCCAUUCACUGUAGCAAAACCACCUUCAAAACUGCUUCAGGGAGGUAAAAUGCACGGUUUGAAAACUUGAGGGGGUAGUUUGUCCGGUUUUGAAGUUGGGACGGAAAAAUAUAUUUUUGUCAAAGUUGGGGGAGAAAAAAAAGAUUUUUCCACCGUAGAAACAUGUGUGUUGAGCUAAUUGUUGAUUAGGACACCUAGGGCCUUUUUGGUUCCACUUGCUAAAUUUUAACUAGUUAAACUUUAGUCACUUUAGUAGUUAAACUUCUAAGUACACCGACUAAAACGGAGCUCAAAUAGUUUAGUCCUACUAGUCACGCACUGCUGCAUGUUUGGGCAUUAGCACCGGGCGGGAAGGGCCUGUUGCCCCGGUUCCUAAGUCGGUGCUGCCCUUCCGGGACUAAUUGAUAGGUUACCGAUAUGAAUCGGUACGAGGGUGGCCCGAUCUUCACGACUGUAGAUCAAAAGAACAAGCAUAACUUGCUGCGAACAGCGGGUAACUAGCUUUAUACCUGACAAAGGUUGGAUGCGACCAAGCGACGGGGAGAGAGGCACCGAAACCACGAAGACUUCGACUCGAUCUCCAAACGACCGCAGAACCACAAUCCGGAACUAAUCCACACAAUAUGGCGCAGCCGAACGGAAGCCGUAGAGCACGAAGUAGGGGAACCCAGAGGAUUCACUUCACAAGUCCAAGAAGAACAAGGAAGAACAAAGGUUGAGUAAGGCACUCAGCAGCACGGCUGCAAUAUCAUAGUUUAUCAAAUCAUCAAAGGUUGCUGAUAGCUUACAGGUAGGGGAUAUUUAUACUAGGAACAACCCUCCUAGAUAGGUAUGAAAACGAAAUAGAGUUUCUGAGGGAAGGCAAUGUGAAAGGACCCCUCGGGAUGGAUUCCCGAACUGGCUUCGCGUGACUGUUGGCCUCCAGAGCAGUUUCCAAUAAACUGACCAUAACUUUUUAUUGGGAAGUCCAAAUGACGAACCGUUUCUUGGGUGUGAAACUAGACUCCAAGAGCUUUCCAGCAAUGUAUGCCAUGUACCACGAAACGUUGGAGAUUGAUACGGUUUUGCACGGCAAGUUGUACCAACUUUCUGUCACGACAGACCAUUGAUCUUCUGAGCAGUCUGUACUAAUUUUAGUCUGCAGGUAAUAUGGAGUAUCCAAACUGGUCGCCACUAGAUCCAUUGGAAAGUAGACUCGACAUGCUUUCCAACAAGUCCUCAUGGGCCUUCAUAGCUUUUGUGAUUAAAAAGUUAUGAGGAUUUCUUUGCACUGGUCUGUUUUUGACUUCCACUGGUCCGUUUUUGACUCUCUGAUCCGUUUUGUAGUGUCUUCUGGAACUUGCACUGGUUCGUUCUUCAGGGUCCGAAUCAUCCCUCUCUUCUUCUAUAUACCUAAGUAAAAUCAAGGUAGAACACUUAGGUAGUAUAUAAUUCUCAUUGAUGUUAAAAUGAAUCUCACAAAGUAGCGUGUGGACCUCUUGUUGUAGCUUCUUUACACGACUACGUGUAACCGGUCCAUCGAUGACUUGGGCUGGUGUCGGUGUAGGUAAAACUUGAGUGGUUGUAGCUUGACUUGGAGCUUGUGACAUCUUACUUGUUGGCAUGAUCAUAUCAUCCUCCCCCUCUUGAAAAGGAGUCGUCCUCGACUCUAACUCUUCUGAUCCAAAGAGUUGUGCUAGGCCAUCGGUUUGUAAUGUUGUGAUAACAUCGCAAUCUUCUUGUUCCAUGAUAGAAAGGUGUUUGAAUCUAUAGUCAUAUAAACCAAGUAGUAGCCUUGUAUGUGGAAACCUAAAUGAUUUGGAAUUAAGUUUAGCUUUCACCUUGAGUGGAUGCUUGAAUGUUGAUUGUCCUAGUAUGGUCUCAUCAUCCUCCCUCUCUUCAAGAAAAGUCAUCCACGACUUUUGUUUACCUGAAAACAGCUUAGACAAAAUAGAGGGUGGACGUACUUGAUAAUUCCAAUAAUCAUUCCUUUUGUUCUGUUCAUUUGUUUCAUUUUGAAUUAUUUUUGCAUUAUUUCCUUUUCCCUGUAAAAAACAUUCUCUCAACUUUGGUGCACCUGCAAACAGUUUAGAGGAUGGUAGCACAAAAAUUUCUUCCAAUCCAAUCAUUUGAUUCAUGUUGUCAUGUUUUAUCUUUAGAAGAUCAAACUUUUCAUUAAAUGGAUGUUGAGAACUAAUGUUAUUCCAAAAAUUAUUGUGGCAGCAAAAUUUAUUGAAGGGUUUAGAAGUAUAAUUUUUAAACUCAAUGCUCCAAGGUGUGGAUGAACAACUUUUCAGUGUAUAGGCUUUGCUUUGCACAAGAUUUCUAUCUUUAAGUGGAUGGUACGAACAUGCUGACAACAUGAAUUGAUUGAAACCAUAAGCACCAAGUAUUUGUUGCAUCUUAAAAGCUUUCACCUUGAGUGGAUGCUUGAAUGUUGAUUGUCCUAGUAUGGUCUCAUCACUAAUGGCCCACCCUUUAGUCCCAGUUCAGGGCACCGGGGCUAAAGCCUGGUAUAACCAACCGGUGUUAAAGGGCUCCUUUUUUUUUCCUUUUUUCGGUUCAUUUAUUUGUUUUUGUUUAUUGUUUAUAUAUAAUAAUAAUAGGUUUGUCAAUACGUAUUUUAUGCUGAUAUAAUCAUAUAUAUAUUACACGCAUAUUAAGCAUAAAUAUUAUUAUAGGCUUAGCUUUAUAAUUAAGCUUUGCCUAUAAUAAAAUGAAUAGGUGUAACACCCUAAAAUGUGUUUUGUGGGAAAUAGAGCUAAAAUAAUUUAAUUAUGAAUUUUUGUGCUCAUGAGAAUAUAGAAAAAUAAUAUUUUUCAUUAAAAUAAAAUUUAUCAUAGAGCUUAGCAACUUGUUUGUGCAUUCAUGUAGGAGAAUUAAUUUUAUUGUGCUAAAGUUCAAAAAUAUUUCAAAGUGAUUUUAAAAUGAAUUGGAAAAUGGCUUUGGAAUACAAGAAAGGAAAAUAGAAAAAAAACAAAACCUUUCCCCCCCCUCAUUCUGGCCCGAAGGCCCAAACCCUCCUCUCCCCCUUCUUUUCGCCCGCGGCCCGCUCCCCUCUUCGGCCUAGUAUGCGCAACCGGCCCAGUUCCUGGCCUGCCCCGCGCCUCCCCUUUCCCCUGGUCCUCGUUGACAAGGUGAACCCACCCGACAGCCGGCCUUCUUCAACCCCCAAGUCGGAGCCGAGCAGGACUCUCGACCGGGUGUCAAAUCCCGAUUUGCCCGGGAUUCCCUACCAAAAUUCGCUAAACCGAGCCCUUUUAAACCCCGAGGAUCAUCCCCGCACCCCUUUUCCUCGUCUAGCGAUGUUGGAGAAGCCCUAGCCGCCUUUGAAGCCGAUUUAAAUCUCGCCGAGUUUCUCCCUCGCCAAACUCACGCGGCCGACCCUCUUCCAAGCCUCCUCGGGUCCCGAAAGAAACAGUAGUGAGUUCGCAAGGAGCCCCGCGUCAUUCCCAUGCUCUCGGUUCGCAAGAUGGUGCCCUAAAUCGCCGAGGCCAUGAACUCCGGCAACCUCGGCCUCCCAGCAAUGGCGCGCCGCCGUGGAGGCUUGCCGCCGGUGUCAAACAGUUUGGCCGGAUCACGCCCAGAUGUCUUCAACCGUUGGAUUGGAGAUCGAUGGCCCCGAUUAGAAGGUAACCCUUCGGGGUAACUUUUGCUUAAGAGUCCCUAUAGGUUUUUAUAUAUUAACCCGCCAUCCUUUGCGCCUCCGAGGUUUUACGUUUUCCGAAUUUGAAAACGUAUUCUCCAUCGGUUUAGUCAGAAUACGCUUUCCAAUAUUCACAAGUCUGCCACUGAUUUUAAAAUGCUUAUAAAAUAUUCAUUUUAAUUCCGUUUUGACCCAUUCAAAUUGCGUUGGACUCGUCUUUGAAAUGUCUACAUGUUAAUAAUAUUGUUUACUCAGUUUGAAACUUUUUAUUUUCGUGACUUAAUUAAUUAAUUUCUUUUUAUAUAAAAUCUUAGAAAAUUUAUAUUUUCUCUGUUUUAACUCCGAUUUUCGUGAUCUUUACGUCUGUGAGAUCGUAGCAAUACGUAGGAUCAUUUUAUAAACUUUUCAUACUGUUUUUACAUGUUUGGUGUACUGUUCUAAUUGUAGCUUUGUUUGCUUCGUGUAUGUUUGGUUCCGAUUGUUGUGUGUUGGUGAUCGAUGAUCGAGUUUAGAUGGAGAGCAAUUUUUGGUGAUCAAGAUAAGAGCUUUGGCAACAAGUAAAGACCAGCAGAACCAAAAGGAUAAGCCAGAGCAUUUGGAUCAAGGCAAGUAUAGCAUCUGGAUUUUAUUUCUGUGACCCGUGAUCCUGUGACUAGAUUAAUGUUAAGUAAUAAACAAUAAAAAUGACUUUUUAGCCACUUGAUGAUUUAUCUGUAAGUGAUAACCGGGACAACAGUGCAAUCAUGAGGGCUAUAAUGGCUCUGGCUUUAGCCCAGUAUGAAGACCUUUUCUAGCUUGUUAGAGGUUACCCGAAAGGGCGGAGGGGCUGAACCGUUUUGGGUAUAGUGUCGCCUCUGUCUGUAUGUGUAUAGGCUGCGAGUCAUUGUGCCAUCGGAAGGUGGCUCUAUAUCUGCGCGCAAAGGAAACCUUGCGGCCCUAACAUGUUAGACGAACUUUUGAAAGGCUUCAUAGUAAUCCCUGCCGACCUUCCUUAGUAGUGGGUUAAGAGGCUGAUCACCUCGGGCGAAAGGAUAAAUCAUGACUCAUGGGUAAAGAUGUACAACCUUUGCAGAGUGUUAAAAACUGAUAUACUAGCCGUGCUCAUGGUCAAGAGCGGCCUUGGGAAUUCUUGCAUCGACGAUGAUGAUUCUUGUGUGUUAAAUAUGCCCAUUAUUUAUUAUUUAAUGCUCUACAUUAUUUAUGUCACAUUGAUCAUGAGAUUGUGGGAGCUUUACAAUCUAGUUGCUAUACUUGUGGAGUUCGACAUGGACUCACUCUUGCAAUUUCUCCCACACCUCAGGAGAAGUUUUGGGCUUGUGAUCAACGAGUCAGUUGGAUCUUGUAGAGAGAACUUAAUACCCGAAGUUUGGAGCUGUCGAUCCGCUGUUUGCUAUUAAAGGUUAUCUCUUUUAUACUAAGUACGUUAUAUAUUUAUGCAUUGUCUUUUGAUAUUACCCCUUAUUUGUAGCUAUUUGUGAGUCUUGGCUUCUAAAACUCACAUAUGGUGCAUAUCUGAUUUUGUCCUUAAAAUCGGGUAUUACAAGAUUUGUAACACCCUAAAAUGUGUUUUCUGGGAAAUAGAGCUAAAAUGAUUUAAUUAUGAAUUUUUAUGCUCUUGAGAAUAUAGAAAAAUAAUAUUUUUCAUUAAAAUAAAAUUUAUCAUAGAGCUUAGCAACUUGUUUGUGCAUUCAUGCAGGAGAAUUAAUUUUAUUGUGCUAAAGUUCAAAAAUAUUUCAAAGUGAUUUUAAAAUGAAUUGGAAAAUGGCUUUGGAAUAAAAGAAAGGAAAAUAGAAAAAAAAAACCUUUCCCCCCCUCGUUCUGGCUCGAAGGCCCAAACCCUCCUCUCCCCCUUCUUUUCCCCCGCGGCCCGCUCCCCUCUUCGGCCCAAUACGCGCAACCGGCCCAGUUCCUGGCCUGCCCCGCGCCUCCCCUUUCCCCUGGUCCUCGCUGACAAGGUGACCCCACCCGACAGCCGGCCUUCUUCAACCCCCAAGUCGGAGCCGAGCAGGACUCUCGACCGGGUGUCAAAUCCCGAUUUGCCUGGGAUUCCCUACCAAAAUUCGCUAAACCGAGCCCUUUUAAACCCCGAGGAUCAUCCCCGCACCCCUUUUCCCUGUCUAGCGAUGUUGGAGAAGCCCUAGCCGCCUUUGAAGCUGAUUUAAAUCUCGCUGAGUUUCUCCCUCGCCAAACUCGCGCGGCCGACCCUCUUCCAAGCCUCCUCGGGUCGCGAAAGGAACACUAGUGAGUUCGCAAGGAGCCCCGCGUCAUUCCCAUGCUCUCGGUUCGCAAGAUGGUGCCCUAAAUCGCCGAGGCCAUGAACUCCGGCGACCUCGGCCUCCCAGCAAUGGCGCACCGCCGUGGAGGCUCGCCGCCGGUGUCAAACAGUGUGGCCGGAUCACGCCCAGAUGUCUUCAACCGUUGGAUUGGAGAUCGAUGGCCCCGAUUAGAAGGUAACCCUUCAGGGUAAUUUUUGCUUAAGAGUCCCUAUAGGUUUUUAUAUAUUAACCCGCCAUCCUUUGCGCCUUCGAGGUUUUACGUUUUCCGAAUUUGAAAACGUAUUCUCCAUCGGUUUAGUCAGAAUACGCUUUCCAGUAUUCACAGGUCUGACACUGAUUUUAAAAUGCUUAUAAAAUAUUCAUUUUAAUUCCGUUUUGACCCAUUCAAAUUGCGUUGGACUCGUCUUUGAAAUGUCUACAUGUUAAUAAUAUUGUUUACUCAGUUUGAAACUUUUUAUUUUCGUGACUUAAUUAAUUAAUUUCUUUUUUAUAUAAAAUCUUAGAAAAUUCAUAUUUUCUGCGUUUUAACUCCGAUUUUCAUGAUCUUUACGUCUGUGAGAUCGUAGCAAUGCGUAGAAUCAUUUUAUAAACUUUUCAUACUGUUUUUACAUGUUUGGUGUACUGUUCUAAUUGUAUCUUUGUUUGCUUCGUGUAUGUUUGGUUCCGAUUGUUGUGUGUUGGUGAUCGAUGAUCGAGUUUAGAUGGAGAGCAGUUUUUGGUGAUCAAGAUAAGAGCUUUGGCAACAAGUAAAGACCAGCAGAACCAAAAGGAUAAGCAAGAGCAUUUGGAUCAAGGCAAGUAUAGCAUCUGGAUUUUAUUUCUGUGACCCGUGAUCCUGUGACUAGAUUAAUGUUAAGUAAUAAACAAUAAAAAUGACUUUUUAGCCACUUGAUGAUUUAUCUGUAAGUGAUAACCGGGACAACAAUGCAACUAUGAGGGCUAUAAUGGCUCUGGCUUUAGCCCAGUAUGAGGACCUUUUUCUAGCUUGUUAGCGGUUACCUUAAAUGGCGUAAGAAUGGCUAGACACGUUGGAUAUAGUGUGGCCUCUGUACGUGUGUAUAUGCUGCGGGUUAUGUGCCAUGGAAGCGGGGCUCUAUAUCUGCCUGCCGAGUGAAUCUAAUGGCCCUAACUUGUUAGACAAAACCUUUGAAAGGCUUCAUAGUGAUCCCUGUCGACCUUCCUUAGAAGUGGGUUAAAAGGCUGAACACCUCGGGCGGAAGGGUAAAUCAUGACUCAUGGGUAAAGAUGUACAACCUCUGCAGAGUGUAAAACUGGUAUACUAGCCGUGCUCACGGUCACGAGCGGCCUUGGGGAUUCUUGCAUCGACGAUGAUGAUUCUUGUGUGUUAAAUAUGCCCAUUAUUUAUUAUUUAAUGCUCUACAUUAUUUAUGUCACAUUGAUCAUGAGAUUGUGGGAGCUAUACAAUCUAGUUGCUAUACUUGUGGAGUUCGACAUGGACUCAUUCUUGCUAUUUCCCCCAAACCUCAGGAGAAGUUUAGGCUUGUGAUCAACCAGUUAGUUGGAUCCUGUAGAGUGGAGUUAAUACCCGAAGUUGGAGUUAUCUUCCGUUGUUUGCUGCUUAAGGUUAUCUCUAAUUUAUUAUGUACGUUAUAUAAUUUAAGCAUUGUCUUUUGAUAUUAUCCCUCAUUUGUAGCUAUAUGUGAGAUUUGACUCCUAAAACUCACAUAUGGUGCAUAUCUGGUUUUGUUCUUAAAAUCGGGUAUUACAAUAGGCCACAUUAAUAAUUAAAUAGAUGAAUAUGUAACAAGCUUUAUAUAUAGUUUUAUAAGUAGAACAUUUCUAACAUAUAUAUACAUAGAAUUUUUUUCUCCGAAUCUCUACAGUCGAUACAAAUGAUCAUCGUUGUUUGGAAUAAGAGUUUCGUUGCCGUUGAAGUGAAACUCGCCGUUUGGAUUGAUCACUUGCUCGCGGAGGAAUCCUGAUAUCGUCUCUUGAAUAGGUUUGAUGCGGUCUUCUUGCAUGACCUUUUUGAAGGGUUGAGAUGGCGGACUAGAGGGGGGUGAAUAGUUCUUUCUAAAACUUAAAGCGUCGGGUAACCGAAUUAAGUGCGGAAUGAAAACUAUCGGUCUAGCCAAGACUGUACCCCUCUAUCUAAGUUCUCUAGUACCUUGUAAAAGAUCCUAAACAAGCAAACAAGGUACUACCUUAGCAAGAGCUCACCUAACCAAUUCUAGAAGGAAGGUCACAAACCUAUGCUACUAGUACUUUUGCAAACUGGGGAGCUCCUACACAACUAGUAAGCAAAAGCACAAAGCUCCUAGGCUCACUAGCAAUGCUCAAUAACAAAGCAACCAAUGCCAAAUUAGAGAGCACAAAUUACUUAGCUACCACAAACUAAGCAAUGUGACUAACAAGCUUACACAAACCAAAUUAGUCAUGCAAGGGGAACUACUUAUAGCUACACAAGCAAGAAGGUAACUAGCAAGCUACACAAGCUAACUAAUUACAAAAGCAACUACACAAGCGCAAGUAUAUGAAUGUAAUAACAAGCUUGUGUUAGGGACUUGCAAACCAACGGGAAAAACAAAGUUGACACGAUGAUUUUCUCCCGAGGUUCACUUGGUUGCCACCAAGCUACGUCCCCGUUGUGUCGACCAACACUUGGUGGUUCGACGGCUAAGAGGUGUUACACAAACCUUGUACCCACUAGGACACCGCAAGAAUCUACCCACAAGUGAGGUAGCUCAAUGACAUGCACGAUCCAAUAGAGUUGCUCUUCGCGAUCCCCGCGAUGUGAGCACCGUACCUCUCACAAUCUCUUCUCCGGAGCGCCGCACAAUCUCCUAGCGUGCUUUGACAGAGUCCCAAGCCACCAAGCCGUCUAGGAGGUGGCAACCUCCAAGAGUAACAAGCACCACAGGCUUGCAACACGAACACCUAGUGCCACUCGAAGCAAUCUCUCAAUGCAACGCACUAGAAUCACUCACUCGAUAUUGAUUCACACUCUUGCAAGCACAAGUGAGUCAGAGGCUAUCCUAGCACUCCCUAAGCAUGGACACUAAGUCCCAAGGGUGCUCAGCGCCAGCCAUGGCCGGCCACCACUUCUAUUUAUAGCCCCAAGGGCUAAACUAGCCGUUGCCCCAUCACUAGGCAAAAGUCGGGGGGCACCGGACUCACUGCAGGGAGCCAUCGGAUGCUCAACCCCAGCGUCCGGUGCUCAGGCGACAGCCACAUGUCACUAGCCGUUUGAACUCGACCGUUGCCGCUAACGGCUACCAUGCGCGCGCGCCUGCAGCAGCCACACCGGACGCUCGGCGGCUUCACACCAGACGCGUCCGGUGCACACCGGACCCAUGCGCAGAGAGUACCGCAAACUCGCAGGGUCACCGGACGCAAACCACGAGACGCACCCUGAGCGUCCGGUGCUCUCCAGUCAGAAACACUCACUGUCGUCACGCAGCACCGGACGCGCGAAUAGUGUCCUGUCCGCGUCCGGUGCCAGCGUCCGGUGCGCACUCUACGCCUACACUAAGAGCAGACAAUGCACCGGACGCUUUGGUCCAGCGUCUGGUGCUACCAACACCAGCGUCCGGUGCUCGUGACUUCUCCAAACUUCCCACCGGUGUAAUAGAAAAUAAGCACUUAAUUUUCUCAAAAGUGCCGAAUCCUGCCUCGCAAGCUCGGCGGGAGGGAGAGAGGUCCCAAACCCCUCUCUACCCUAGGAACUCCACCUCCUUUGCAAAUGUGCCAACACCACCAAGUGUACACCACCAUGUGCAAGUGUGUUAGUAUUUUCAUAAACAUUUUCCCAAAGGAGUUAGCCUCUCAACUUGCAACGCCACUCUAUCCUAACACGUAUGCAGGGUUAGAUCACUCAAGUGGCACUAGAUGGCCGAGAUGCAAACAAGUUUGCCCCUCUUGAUAGUACGGCCAUCUAUCCUGAAUCCGGUCAUAAACUUCUCUACACACCUAUGACCGGUGAAAUGGAAAUGCCCUAGGUUAUACCUUUGCCUUGCGCUUUCCAUUCCAUCUCCUCCAAUGUUGAUGCAACACAUGACCAACCAAUCACCAAAUGAUAUGAUCCACUUCAUAUCAUCACGUGACCGUAUUGGUUCAUCGAUCUUGACCUCACUUGCUCUUCACCGUUGCCUCGGUCCAUCGGCGCCAGUCUUGCUCGAGCUUCACCGUCGCACAUGGUCUCUCGCUUCAAAGCCUCCAACUUGCCCUUCAGUUUUGCAACCGGUCCAUCGAGCCAAGCCUCAUAUUGAUCUUCUCCACCUUGGUCACAUGACUCCAUGUCAUGUCUCAUAUGCAAUGAGCUCCUCCAUCAUCACAUAAUCACCUGUGGACUAAUCUCCUAUGUAUCUCACAUAAACACUAUUAGUCCACCUAAGUUGUCACUCAAUUACCAAAACCAAACAAGGACCUUUCAAUCACCCCCUUUUUGGUAAUUGAUGACAACUCUACAAAGAUGUGGAAAUUAAGCUUUUUCAAGCUAGCACUUCACACAAGUAUAAAUUGCUAACUUAUUUUGGAUUUUAUGCUACUUAUCCAACAUUUAAGCUCUAUGUCAAGAUUUGGAUAAGGACCAUGAAACCCUACUAAGUGCUAAGGUGUAUAGAAUAAACCUUUGUAGCUUGAUACCAAAUUCGAUAUCAUUUGAAGUAUUCAAUGUACACCAUCCUUAGCACCAUGAGCAGCUAGACAACAAAAAUACUAGAAACCCCAUGAGAUCAACAUUAUAAGCAAGGGUCUAGUCUUUACUUGAAGAACACAAGUCUAGCUACCAACCUAUGCAUGCUAGUUAUCAUAUCAUCAAUCAAGUUCUAUAACUAGCAUACACCACACAAGCAUGCAUAUUGAAUUUAAAAACUUAUGCAAUGCAAGCAAGCACAUGAAUAUGCACAUAUCAAAUGCAAACAAACAAGGUUCAUGAGCUUGCUCCCCCUACUUGUGUGCUUGUCUUGUUCAAGAAUCUUGAUCCUUCUUGAUCCAUCUUAAUGUUGCUCCCUCUGUCUAUGUCCAUCUUUGAUAUCUCCCUCUUGAAAUAUAUCUUUUGUUGUCCAACUUAUCCCAAUCAUAUCUUUGUUCCAAUUUCUCCCCCUUUGUCAUCAAUUUCCAUAAAAGGUAUGUCAUACCAAUUAAAUCACUUGAUACCAAUUUGAAAAAGUGUGCAUCUCAUUGUGACAAAGGAUCGCAUAUGGGAUAGAUGGUUGAGGCUUGAAUCUUGCAUUUUUGAUGGACAUCACCAUAUGUGUUGGAAUGACAUUACUUGAAUUGCUCUUGAGAUACCACAUAGGAUCUUUGACCUUGAUAUCAUUUGGUGGGGCACUCCCCCUAUGUCAUAGCAUGGGUCAUUCUCUUGUCAAUAUUAUUGGUGAGGGAACUUUCUUUGCUUGAUGAUCACUUAAAGUUGAGGAUCACUUGUGGAACCACCUCCUUGUAUGAUAGAUACCAUAUGUAUAAAUGUGAUAUUUUAAAUAUCUUGUCUGAUACCAUAUGGGAUUCUUCUACCAAUUAAGUCUCUAGUAUGGAACCACUUGUUUGCUAUCUUGAACAUUUGCUAUCAUCAUCAUGAGUACCAUUUGUUGGAUACCAAUUGAAGAAACAUUUAAAUCUAGAUAUCCACUUGCAUUGUUGUCUUGUUCUUGUACUCUAAUCACUAUGAGCUUCUAAUUGUUGACUUGAACUAAGUUGAUUUGCUAAAGCUUCCAAGUCCGGUUUGAACCAAUGACAAGCUUUUUCACACCUCACAUUAAGGGUUAUCUUGCCAAUGCUGUACUUGUCAUUUGUUAACAAUCCAAAAUAGAUCAGGUACAUGGGUUCACUAGCUCAUGAACAAACUCAUAUACAUACCACUAGAUCAACUAAACAUUCAAGCAAUAGUGGUAGGUUAUGAAUUUAAAACUUUUUAUUUGUCAUGCAUGAUCCUAUUAAGCAUGUACUAUAUGCACUAUCUGCAUACUAGUAAGGGAUGAAAUGAUCAUGCACAUUACAAUGAUACCUUUGCUAUGUUGGAGAAGAGGAUAGCAUGAGAUUCCAAUGUAGCUCCAAAUAGCAAUGUGAAGUCCAAUUAUAAGCUUGGUGUAGACAAAUUAUAAAUGCCAAUUGAUAGAUCAAAUCUUCACCCAUAUGAAUUGAGAACCACUUAUGAUCAAGUGCACUAUCUUGUUGUGGUUGUCUUGCUUCAUCAUCAUUGCUUGCAUGAGAGAGCUAAUAAGAAUACUACUUGAACAUCAUGACUAGCUCUCUUUUGGGUGUUGCUUGCUCUCUUGAUCAAUCCUUUUGAUUGCUUCAACUAAGCAUCUGAAGUGUCCUUAGAAUCACCACUUCCAUGUUAGCCUUCCAAGCACUACACUUGGUUUACCCACUCCUCAGGCGGCAAGCUCCUCACAUAGGGAGAAGUGACCUCUCUCCAAAGAACUAUUCUUGACACUUACUUGAAUUGCCUUUGAUUGAUUGAUUCAAGUGAUGGACUUAAUAUGAUGAGUAACCGUGAAUCCUUCUUUAUGUCCUUUUCUUUCUACUUGUUUAAGUCCUUUUCUUUCUACCAAAUAUUUUCCAAUAGUCACUAUAACUUAAACAUUACCUUCAUCUUGAGUUUGAUCUUGAUUUUCAACUAGAGUACCAAAUGUGUACACCAAGUACACUCCACAAUCAAAUAGCCUUGUACUCAAUACUUGUCAUGCUUCUAGAUCAAUUCAAAGCCAAACUUAGUGCCUCAAAUACUUAUAAUCAUGUUUCCAACUUAAGGACCUUUCAAUUGAAGUGACUCUAGAUCAAACUAAUAUUUGUCACUUUUAUGGCAGAUUCUGGACCUUUCAAAGAUAAAUACAUAUCUCAUGAUGUACAGAUCCAAAUAGCACGAAAUUUGGUGGACAUGUGCUUCACUAAGUCAUCUAGCAGCUGUAAAAAUUUGAGCUUCAUUUCACUUCUAGAUUCCUACUAGAUUUUAAUUCUUCCACCACUGCUAUAUGCUGAAAACUGCUGCACUAUAGCUGAUAAGAUCCACUCUAAAACCGAAGUAUCCUUUUCAUGAAAUUUCUACAGCCUCUUCUAUGAUAAGUGUACAGCAUGCAUACUAAAUUUCAAACCAUUCCAAUUAGAUUUUAUCACUCAAACUCAGACUUGAUCUUAGCUAGCUCAGGUUUUCAAUAUUUGGCAGAUUUCAAGUAAUUGAGCUAUACUUGUUCAAAUUGAACCAAACUUGAAAUCAACUUGAUUGAAUACUUUCACAAGACAUAAAUCCAUUCAAUCCACUUACUAAAAGUCAUCCUAUGAACUUAUCCAACUCAAAUUAAUUCAAACUUGAUUACUAAGCAUUUAAUCCAUUCAAUCAUCUUAUAGCAAGCAACAUUGCAUAUAUAUCCAAUUCAAUCAAGUCAUAUGCACCCCAAUGAAUGUGAUCAACAAAGAUAUACCUUGAUUAGCUCAUGAUCAUCCAAUUUGCAAGCUUCAACUCAUGUAUUUGCAAGCCAUCAAAUAAUCCAAUAAAUCACCACAACUUGAAUAUGACACUUGUGUGUUGUAGCACAUUUGGACUUCACUAUCUUGUCAUGGCAUUGGGUUUGGAUGUGCACUAGGCUUCAUUACUUGACUCAAUCAUAUGAUGAACAAUGUAGGAUCAAUUGAAUCAAGCCUCCAAUGCUGAUGGUACCUACACAUAUUCAUCCACUUUUUGAUCGUACCCAAACUAGUUUGGGUCCUCUCAAGUUAGGAGCAACAUACUUAGGCGAUGCCUUAGUAUGAGUAGCGGGAUGUUUUGCAAUAGUAACCAUAGAGGUACCAUCACCAUACUUUCUAAGCAUAUUAUGAUUGUCAAUUGAAAUAGGCUUAGAAUUAUUACCUAGGGGACAUGAAUGAGCCAUGUGUCCCCUUUCCCGGCAUAAGUAGCAACUUCUCUUUGAUUGAGCCUUUUCUUCCUUGCUCAUGUGUUGCUUCUCAUUGCCUUGCCUCUUGAGAGUUGCUUGAGCCUUAUUCUCAAGCUUGGUAGGACACUUCGAGGCAAAGUGUCCAUCAUUCUUGCACUCAAAGCACAUGAUGUGAGCAUAACCUUUCUUUUUGUCUUCAUUCUUGCUCAUCAUCUUGGCAUAUUGGAUUUGCAUUGGAUGCCUUGCUCUUCCACCCCUUCUUGUUUUGUUUUUGUUCAUUAUCAAGUCAUCAUCAUGAUGGUUGAUCUUGACUUGAGCUUGGGGUGACUUCUCUUGCUCAACUUGUGGCUUUGGUUGAGGCUUCACUUGAUGCUUCACCAAUUGAUUGGUUGGGCACAUUGAGGUAAGAUGACCCCAAGUGUGACACUUGAAGCAUUUGCCAUGCUUGAGCCUCUCUUAUUCUUUCAUAUUCUUCUUGAAGCCAAGGCCACACUUAUCACCAAGGUUUCUUUGAGUUUUCAAUAUGUGCUCAAAGGUGACUUUUGAAUUAUAGCACCUCUCUAGCUUGUUGCUCAAAUUAUUCACUUGUUCAUUGAGCUUAUUGUUCUCCUUCAAAAGGUUAGUCUCGCAAGACAUGGAAGUAGAACAUGACAUAGAUAAUAAAUCAUCAAAAGAGGUGGACACAUGCUUCUUUCCUACAUCACAAGGGUUAGUAAUAUCACAUGAUUGAUCAUUUGACCUAAAUGAUGAGCUCUCACUAGUUUUAGUUUCUUCAUUAGAAAGCUUAUUAGUAAGUAAAGCAUGAUCUUUUACCAAGUUAUCAUGAGUAACACAAAGUUUCUCAUGAACCAAUUUUAGCUCCUCAUGUGAACAAGUAGUAACAUAAAGUAGAUGCUUUUGUUGUUCACAUGUGGUCUUUAGAAAUGAGUUUUCAUUUUUCAAUUUACUUGUUUUAGCCAUCUCAUUUCUUAAAGCUUUGGUGAGUCUACAUACAAGCUCAAAAUUUGGAUCAUCACAGUCAACAAUCACACCUCCAAUAGAUACCUUGCCGUCACCGUGAGACAUGGAGGAAUGUGAUGAAGUGGAUGAGCUUGUAGAAGCAUCACUUUCAUAGCCAUCAUCUUCAUCCUCACUUGACCAUGAGGUGGAGCAAUCCUCCACAACCGCCAUGUUGUGGUCAUGCUCAACAUCCUCACGUGCAUCCACCUUUGGUGCACAUCAUCUUCUUUGGUGAUCACCCCAUAUUUCUCAUUGAGAUAACUCCAAAUCUCAUGAGCAGACUUCAUAUCCAUGAUCUCACCAAAUAUGUUAUCUUUCAUGGAUGAAUAGAAGAUGUUAGUAGCUUGGUAGUCAAGAUGUAGACAUUUCUCUUGUGCUUGAGUUAGAUUCUCUUCAUCCAACACAUGAGAAAAGCCUACAUCUACCAUCCACCAUAUUUGAGGAGAAAUAAACUUAAAAUUGCAUGUCAUCCAAUUUCUCUAUUGUGCAAAGUGUGUGACAUCAAAAAUGUAUGGACACUCAACAUCUAGCCCAUAAGCCGCCAUCCUCUCAGGUCGGUGAAGACCACAAAUGAGAGACAUCGCUCUGAUACCACUUGAAGGGUCGAGAUGGCGGACUAGAGGGGGGUGAAUAGUCCUUUCUAAAACUUAAAGCAUCGGCUAACCAAAUUAAGUGUAGAAUUAAAACUAUCGGUCUAGCCAAGACUAUACCCCUCUAUCUAAGUUCUCAAGUACCUUAUAAAAGAUCCUAAAGAAGCAAACAAGGUGCUACCAUAGCAAGAGCUCACCUAACCAAUUCUAGAAGCAAGGUCACAAACCUAUGCCACUAGUACUUUUGCAAACCGGGGAGCUCCUACACAACUAGUAAGCAAAAGCACAAAGCUCCUAGGCUCACUAGCAAUGCUCAAUAACAAGGCAACCAAUGCCAAAUUAGAGAGCGCAAAUUACUUAGCUACACAAACUAAGCAUUGUGACUAACAAGGUUACACAAACCAAAUUAGCCACACAAGGGAGCUACUUCUAGCUAUACAAGCAAGAAGGUAACUAGUAAGCUACACAAGUAAAACUAGUUAUCGGAGCAACUACACAAGCACAAGUAUAUAGAAUGUAAAUACAAGCUUGUGUAUGGCGAAUGCAAACCACCGAGAAGAGUAGAUAAUUUUGACAUAGUGAUUUUUUACCGAGGUUCACUUGGUUGGCGCUAAGCUAUGUCCUCAUUGAGAUAAGCUGCAAGGUUGAUCCGGUCCUCUUGCUAGUGGUGACCCAUAGGUCACAUAGAGUGCUUACCAAAAGCUCUAACACUUGACCAAAUUAGUUAUGCAUGGGGAGCUACUUCUAGCUACACAAGCAAGAAGGUAACUAGCAAGCUACACAAGCUAACAAAUUACAAGAGCAACUACACAAGCACAAUAUAUGAAUGUAAUAACAAGCUUGUGUUAGGGACUUGCAAACCAACGGGAAGAACAAAGUUGACACGAUGAUUUUCUCUAGAGGUUCACUUGGUUGCCACCAAGCUACGUCCCCGUUGUGUCGACCAACACUUGGUGGUUCGGCGGCUAAGAGGUGUUACAUGAACCUCGUCCCCACUAGGACACCGCAAGAACCUACCCACAAGUGAGCUAGCUCAAUGACACACACGAUCCAAUAGAGUUGCACUUCGCGAUCCCCACGGGGUGAGCACCGUACCUCUCACAAUCUCUUCUCUGGAGCACCGCACAAUCUCCUAGCAUGCUUCGAUGGAGUCCCAAGCCACCAAGCCGUCUAGGAGGUGGCAACCUCCAAGAGUAACAAGCACCACCGGCUUGCAACACGAACACCUAGUGCCACUCGAUGCAAUCUCUCAAUGCAACGCACUAGAAUCACUCACUCGCUAUUGAUUCGCACUCUUGCAAGCACAAGUGAGUUAGAGGCUUUCCUAGCACUCCCCAAGCAUGGACACUAAGUCCCAAGGGUGCUCAGCGCCAGCCAAGGCUGGCCACCACUUCUAUUUAUAGCCCCAAGGGCUAAACUAGCCGUUGCCCCUUCACUGGGCAAAAGUCGGGGGGCACCAGACUCACUGUAGGGAGCCACCGGACGCUCAACCCCAGCGUUCGGUGCUCAGGUGACAACCAUAUGUCACUAGCCGUUUGAACUCGACCGUUGCCACCAACGGCUACCACACGCGCGCACCAACAACAGCCACACCGGACGCUCGACAGCUUCACACCGGACGCGUCCGGUGCACACUGGACCCGUGCGCAGAGAGUACCACAAACUCACAGGGUCACCAGACACGAGCCACCAUACGCACCCUGAGCGUCCAAUGCUCUCCAGUCAGAAACACUCAUUGACAUCACGCAGCACCAGACGCGCGAACAGUGUGGUGUCCGCGUCCGGUGCCAGCAUCCGGUGCGCACUCUACGCCUACACCAGCAGCAGACAGUGCACCGGUUGCUCUGGUCCAGCGUCCGGUGCUACCAACACCAGUGUCCAGUGAGUGUUUCUCACUCUCGUGACUUCUCCAAACUUCCCACCAGCACAAUAGAAAAUAAGCACUUCAUUUUCUCAAAAGCGUCGAAUCCUGCCUUGCAAGCUCGGCGGGAGGGAGAGAGGUCCCAAACCCCUCUCUACCCUAGGAACUCCACCUCCUUUGCAAAUGUGCCAACACCAGCAAGUGUACACCACCAUGUGCAAGUGUGUUAGAAUUUUCACAAACAUUUUCCCAAAGGAGUUAGCCUCUCAACUUGCCACGCCACUCGAUCCUAUCACGUAUGCAGGGUUAGAUCACUCAAGUGGCACUAGAUGACCGAUAUGCAAACUAGUUUGCCCCUCUUGAUAGUACGGCCAUCUAUUCUAAAUCCGGUCAUAAACUUCUCUACACACCUGUGACCGGUGAAAUGGAAAUGCACUGGGUUAUACCUUUGCCUUGCGCUUUCCAUUCCUUCUCCUCCAAUGUUGAUGCAACACAUGCACCAACCAAUCACCAAAUGAUAUGAUUCACUUCAUAUCAUCACGUGACCAUAUUGGUUCGUCGAUCUGGACCUCACUUGGUCUUCACCGUUGCCUCGGUCCAUCGGCGCCAAGUCUUGCUCGUGCUUCACCGUCGCACGCGGUCCCUCGCUUCAAAGCCUCCGACUUGUCCUUCACUCUUGCAACCGGUCCAUCGAGCCAAGCCUCAUCUUGAUCUUCUCCACCUUGGUCACAUGACUCCAUGUCAUAUCUCAUAUGAAAUGAGUUCCUCCAUCAUCACAUAAUCACCUAUGGACUAAUCUCCUGUGUAUCUCACAUAAACACUAUUAGUCCACCUAAGUUGUCACUCAAUUACAAAAACCAAACAAGGACCUUUCACUUUUCCCUCAACCAUUCCGUCUUCAAUUUGAAAUAAAAUAAAAAGGUAUUAGUUAUCUAAGUUAUUGAAUUUAAUUCAGGAGAUAAUGAAAAGAGACAUGUAACGUACUCUAAGGGUCUCUGUGGGUGUUUGAUUGACGUGUACCAUCAAGAAUUUGCAGACGUAAUAUCCACAUGAGUUGUUCCCCCUUCUUGUCUUAGACACCACUAUACGAUAUAUAAAAAAGAUUCACGACCACGACAAUAAGAAAGCUAAAAGUUAGCAAAAGUUUGCUAGCUAGUACAACUUACUUGUGGAUGAAUUAUAUUAAGUGGCGCUUUACAAACAAUGAGAUGUUCACGGUCAAUAAAUCUUACCCAAACCCUACACACAGCAAUUGUGGAUCAUCAACUAAUAAUUGCAGAGUCAUAUCAUGAUAUUCUUUUAGCUGAGAUCGACAUUACGUACCUUUGAAUAAUGUUUACCAUUUGUUGGUAAUUUUCUUGCGGUUUUCUUAGUGAGUCAUAGAUUGUCAACCGGUUCUUGGGAAUUUCAAUGACCAUAGUAUCCAGUGAAAGCUGUUUAUUACACACAUAUAUAUAGUUAGGCCUAUAACUAUAUAAAACCCGAAUCGAGUAAUAUUAAGUAAAAUAAAAUGUGCAUGCACUUAAUAACUAUAUAACUCACUCGAAGUUGUAGGGGAAGAGUAUUUUUUGUUUUUCUUUUUGGUUCACGAAGAACCUCAUAAGAUUGGUGCAGACUUCUGUCUUAUAAGAUGCUGUCCACACUACCUGUGGAGCCUUGAAAACAAUAUAAGGGUCAACAAACCCAAUACUAUUGUCAUUUUUUAUUCUAAGCCCUCUCAUUUGGUGUCUGCAUAUAUACAUACAAAUCUUAAGUGUGUAAGGAUUAUAUACAUAUAAUUAAAGAAGGUAGAAGUUUAAUAAAAAAUAAAAAAAUACUUACAGACAAAAGCAGCUGACGAGAGAUUUGUCGAGAGCGUCGAGGUGACAUAAUUGGUGUAAUUCUUCUAACUGGGCGUAUAUGAGGUCAUCUCCACAAAAGUAGUGAUGUUGUCGAAUACGAACAGAAAUCCAAUUACCUCCUCUAUUAGACGCCUCCAUGCACCACUUGUUUAUUGUUUGUAUAAAUUAACUGCACCCUAAAUAUUGAUUAUAAUCAGAUUAUCCGCAAGCGCACAGAUAUAUACUGAUCAGUACUUCACCAAGAUCAACCCAGUUUUAAUAUCGAUUCCAAAGGAAGAGUAGAUGAUUUAUAACCUAGUCUAUAAUUCUUAAUGUAAGAGAGGUACAAUCAAUUUAGAAAACUAUUGAGAAUGAAGAAAUAGCUAAUAUACUCUGGUUCUAAUAACCGGUAAACUUUGUAUAAUAUCGUCUUAUCGGGUAAUUAAAUAACCCGAAUAGGAGAAGAAACAGAGUAAUCUCCUAUCAGGCACCUAUAAGCCUAUCGGUCCUAUCAACGGGAAGUGGACUACAGAGAGUUCAACAUAGCUAUAAAGUCACCUACGCGAGCUACCACUAUCCGGCUGAUCAAGGGAUAUCUACAAGCAACCAUAGCCUAGACACCAUGUCUAUGCUACGAAUCACUACUCCGACUUAGGAGCUACCCAAAUCGAAGUACUCAAUAUAAUAUGAGUUGCAAACCAAAGAACGAAUAAAAACAAGUUGCUUACUUGAAUCAGAAUGGUAAAUACAAAAGUACAUCAGAACGCAGCUCUGGGCGAGGGAACCGAAUCCAGGCAGAUACAGCUCCUGAGAAAGCUCCGACAGGCCGGGACUCCUUCAAAUCUCUACACUUCUACUCUAUCUCUCUAAUCUCUAUCUUGAUUGCUAGCCUAGAUCUAGUGGAUCUCUAUCUAAUGCUCUGACUCUUCAUCUCUUGAUAUGCCCUCCUCUAAGGGGUCUAGCCUUCUAUUUAUAGCCCGGUGGGAUGGAUAUGUGCCGUUGGAUCAAACCGACUUAACAAGCGGCCAAGAUGGCUCCUCAGAGGCGAUGGAGGAUGGUUCCAGAAGGGGGGCCAAAACCCUAACAAGGGGUGCGCUGGCCGAUGCUAGGGUGGGGCUGGCUGGCCCCACCUGUCCGCCUCUCCCCCUGUCACACCCUAGUUUUAAAAAAACAAGACCAGAGUCGUCAUAUGUGUGCUCAGGAAGUCCACACAUACAACAAAAGAAUAGAAAUAUUAGAAACAAUAUUAUAUAUAUAGCAGAAUAUAUAUAUAAUAACACUUACAACUAUCAGAGUAUGCAGAAACAAUAGCUAAACUUUUUAGGCUCCAUUCUUCUAAGGGACGGCUCACUAGGGGCUCUGUACGCCAAGCACUUCUGAUAAGCUUCUAGAAAACUCCACAUCAUCUCUAUCCUUCUUCUGAGCAGCACUUUACUACACACUAGGGUGUGGGGGGGGGGAAUAACAAGGGUGAGUUCAUGUCAAACUCAACAAGUACAGGCGGAAAGUAUAAUGACAUGCAAGGCUUAAUCAAAGGAAAAGCUAACACGGUUUAACUGCAGGUGAGCCUUUUAAGUUGACAAACUUUUAUUAUAAUCUCUUUUAUUUAAACAACCUAUUACUAAAUAUGAGUAAAGCAUCCCAACCCUUAAUUAGAUGAAAGUACAUUAACAAUAUUAUUAGUCAACAUUAUUAUUAUUAUUAAGAUAUCUGAGGUAGCAACCUUUGAUAAUAACUCGGGGUAGCAACCUCAUUAAGGUCAUGGGAUAGCAAUCCCAAUUAAGAACACAAGAUAGCAAUCCUGUCAACACGGAAUAGCCAUUCCUCCAAAGCACAAUGUAGCAACCUCAACCAAGUUCCACCUCCAAGUUCCAUGUGAUUCCAAUUUGCUCAUCAUGUGAGAGUCUGGGCCGCUUGUGACCGUGAGCACGGCUGAUAUAUCAGUUUUACAUUCUGCAGAGGUGUGCACUUUCACUCCAAGUCAUGAUUCCCAUUUGCCCGGGGUUGAGACUCCCCAAAACACUACCAAGGUGAGCAGGCAGGGUUUCACUACGAGACCUUUCACAGGGUCCAACUAAUAGGAUGCCACUCCUACAUUUUUGCCGGGGCACGCGACAGCCAUGCCCAUAGUAAUGGGACCUCGAACUGACCGACCUCUUAAUAUGAAUACCCAAGCUACUUUCUUACGCCUACCCGGAAAGUAACACCCUACUAGUGGAGGUCCUCAUAAUUAGUCAAGCUAGAGCCAUAGGGCUUGGAGCUGCACUGUAUGUCCCAGGGAGCCGCUCCAUGACUAAGUCCUUACGGAGAGCAGAGACGGGUAUGCCCGGCAACUGGGCCAACCAACAGUACCCGCUCCCCCUUUCCUCAACAAACCAUGAUGCUCGCAAGCACCACAACAUCUCCAUCACCGAAGUGACCAUUGUCCACCAUUGAAGCAUUAGUCAUCAUUGAAGAAUUCAUUAGGCAAGAUUAUUACUUUUAUUAUUAUAUAGAUUAGAUGAGUCGAGCAGCUAAGCAUGUAUACUGUUCACUAAACUACCCAUGUAUAAAACCUAGGGGUACAAGGAAUACAAUAGAAGGCUAGUCAGGUCUUUGGGGUUUGCAGUAUUAAGACACAUGCAAUAAAAGUAAAUGCGUUUUAAGUUCAUAGGUACAAUAUGAUCAAAAGGUGCCUGCACUUGCCUUUAUUCCCAGUGUAUAUCUACUCAGAAUUCUUUGGCUUCUAUCUUCUCAUCUUUAGCUUCUACUGCAACUAUCGGUCCUCAGCUCCUGGUCUUCGGUGCUAACGAACCACGCUUCUUCUACUCAAAGCAAACAAACAACACAAACAGACAAACAAACAAUCAUGACUAAGAACAAACGAUAAUUCAAAAGAAAAGCUUUAAAAGAGAGCGCAAUAAACGACAUGGCUUAUUGCUACGAUCGUGACAACGCAAGAACGAUUGAGAACAGAGCUAUAGUUAAUCGAACACGACUUUCGAGGCUUACAACAUAACGGAGAAGACAAACUAUACACUUAUGGUAUUUUAUUUGAUGAAAUAAGAUGAUAGACAUUUCGGAGAACUAUGCUAAAGUAGGAUUAACCAAAUUAUGUUAAGUCAUAAAAGUCAAAGUUAAACUUUAGUCAUAUUUUAUUUAUAAAUAAUUAUAUACCACGGAAGCCAAUUAAGCCUUUGUAGUUUUGAAAUAUAGAUUAUAUGAAAGCAACUAAUCGAGUGAUUAUAUAUCAUGUUUAAACUAAUCAAGUUAUAAUUAAUAAAGAAACAUUAAAGUUGAUAUUAAUUACGUGAGUCUUUAUUUAUUUAUAAAAGAUCAAAAUUAUAAACAUAAUUUACUUUUAAUUCAAAAAGACUUUAGAUAAAUAUUACUAAAUUAUUUAUGUGCUUCAUGUUUAAAUAAUCAAAUUAUAAUUAAGAAGUAUUUAAGUUCACAUUUGAUUAUAAAGAUACCGAAGUGUAAUCCUAAGUUGUUUUUAAAUUAAUUCAAUAGAAAUGCAUUCAAAACAUUAAUCAGAUUAAUUAUACUUAUAAACACGAGACAAUGAAAAUAGCAUUGCUAAUAUGUAGAUUACAUCGACAUAGUCAGAACGCAACAAGAACCGAAUUACAACCCUAGAUUAUUUUCUAAUUUAAAAGCUAUUCAAUAAAUAUUAAUAAAAUUAUAUUUAAAUCAAUAAAUCUAAGAAUAAGUUACAUGAUAAAUAUUUAUACUACUGUGUAGAGCACGGCGAUACGAAAAUAACGCAACCAGAACAGGAUCGAUCGGAGUUAAAACGUGGAUUCUAUGGCCAAAACUACGUCAAUGGCAAAACUAUGAAUUAACAGAACUAUUUUCGUAUUUUAAAUAAUUAAAAAUGAUUUUCAAAAGCAUUUUGGACUUAAUCUAUAAAUACCAAUGGAUCCAGGGGCUAGAUUGCUAAAAAUAGGACUUAAAUCUAAUUAUUUCUGAACUACUCAGGACUGCGGGUUAAUUUAGAAAAACCGCAGGGGCUUUUUCACAAGAUGGCUAGGGGCGGCGCGUGUGGGGGGUGGUGGCCGGUGUGGCCGGGCACGUGGCGGCUCGGGACUGGCCGGUCUACGGUGGACCGGGUGCGGGCGUGGGGGUGCACCAAUCCACUUUGGACCGGGCCGGUGCGCGGCGGCGCGGUGCGCACGAGCAACGGCGCCAUGGCCGGCACCGGCGAGGUGGGAGCGGCGGCGCUACGGGGCACUACAGGCCGUGGCGAGUGCACGGGCGCGUAGCGCUCGAUGCGGCGAGCUCAGUGCGUGCGGUGGCAGGGGCUAGAUGCGAUUGAGCGGCGCGGGCCACGUGGCGGUGUUUGAUAGAGGCGGCGGCUCUUCUCCAGCGAGCCCGUGUGCACAUAAGGGAGGGAGAGAGAUCAAUCCGAGAGCACCUACGCGUUCGUCACACCUUCGCGAGUUCAGAGAGCGUGUCACCUUGGCGGAUGAGGCAGCGAUGGGGCGAGCUCGUCUACGGCCGGCUUCGGGGACAGAGCGAUGGGGCUUCAAGCUCGCUCUAGGGCUUCUUGGUGGCGUUUGGAGGCGACUAGGUUUCCUAGGGAGGUGUGCGGCGGCUGCAGGGUGCCCUUAUAUACGUGGAGGCGAACCUCAAUUCGCGUGCGCAUGGAAACCGAGGCGGUGGCGUCGUCCGCGUCCGAGUCGGGCGGGAGGUUAGGGGUGACCCCCCGUGACGGGUAGGCCUUGCCUAUCGGUGGCAAAGCGCGGGCGCAAGGGGGGCGGGUGGAGCUGGGCCGUGGGGCUGUAGGCCAGCUGUGGGGGCACGAGAUGGGCCACGGCCCACGCGGGUGGUGCGCGCGCGGAGGGGGAAAAGGAUGGGGGCUAGGCUGCUGCUGCUGCAGGGUUGGGCUGAAAGAAAAGGGUGACGGCCCAAAUGAAAGGAAAAGCUUUUUUCUUUUUAUUCAAAAGGGUUUAAAUCAAAAUUUUCAACACCUUUAUAAACCAAAAUUUGAUUUAUGAAUUUAAGAUUAUUUUAGGAAUUGUUGUGUUUACUACUUUUGGAAACAAAGCAUAUGUUCUUAAUAACACUUUUUUGAGUUGUUUUUUUAAACCCAAAUCAGAAAUAGUUUUCAAAUAGGACUUUUAGUGUUUUAUUUUAUUUUUUUUCAAAAACCGAAAAGGGUCUAAUUAUAGUUGCUUGAAUUUUAGAAAUUUAUUUUUCACACACAUGCUAAACAAAGCUAGGGCACAAAACUCAAAACAACAAAACCAAUGUUGACGGUCCUUAAGUACUAAAUUUAACCGUCAACUAAACAUGGAAAAGGAUCAAUAUGCACCAAACACCUAGAAUUAGGGUUUUAUCUGAUAGAAUUCCACGAGCUUUGGUGUUUGUCUAUUUUUGCAGGGGGUUAUCAGAAAAUAUGUAGAGAAGACCCACAUGUCUGGUUUACAACGAGAUAAUUACGUGACGCGCAAUUUUCCUUAAUCUAGAAGAGUCCAGAAGCCACGGGAACGAACUGGAGGUCGAUCGGGCCCAGGGGCAGGGCGCCCGCCCUCCCCCCUUGGGCGCCCGCCCUGCUCUGGUGGCCAAUCAGAGUAGGUCUUGCGGAUCGUGCUCCACCGCCUCUAAUCUUCAAGAAUAACCGUGCCAUUUAUGUCGGUUUGAUCCGACGGCCCACAUUCACUUGAGGGGGCUAUAUAAACAAGGCCUCUCCACCCCACGGGAGGAGGAGAAAUCAUUAUCAGAGGAAGCCAUCAAAGUUAGGGUUUAGAACUUCUCUCUCACAGAGAAUUAGAAUUAGCUACUCCCAAUUCCUUCAAGUUCUAUAGGAUUGAUUAGAUAGAAUUAGAGAAGUAGAGCCUAGCGCUCUGGGUUUCGGAUCUUCGUUAAUAAAGAUUGGUAUUAUUUCAUAUAUUUCUCUACUACUUUAUUCUAAUUGCAUUAUGUCUCUAUUUAUUAUGUUCUUAGUUUGCUCUAGUUCUAUAUUUGAUGUAGUUAUGAUUGAUAAUGAGUUUAUGUAUAAGUUUGCAAAGCGCUUAGCUCUUGACGCGCGGGAGUUAAGUGGUAGAUCACAUGUGGGCGUGGUGCUUAGAUGUUAUUUACCUGCAAAUGUAUCCUAUUGGCCGGGUCUUGUGGUAGUUCGUGAUGGUGACAGCUUCGUUGAUUCUUAUAUAGUCCACCCUCCGUUGAUAGGACAGGCAGAAUUUGUAUUGCGGAGUAAGUCUUGUGAUGUUCUGAUUUACUUUAGCAAUGUUCCUUAUACAUGAAUGAAGAGUCUUUUAUGCUAUAUAUGAUCUUAUAGAUAACUAGAGUAGAUUGUGACUUAGUAGAUAGUAGAUAACUCAGAAUCCAUUCUCUAGCUAAUCCGACGUCACCUUACAUAUAUGAGGAGUAGUCUAUUUUCUGAUCGCUGUGUUAUUUACCCAUGAGCUUAUAUUUCAUUAUCAUUAUUAUUAUGGCUUACCCCCUGCCAAAGUAAGUGAUUGUGUGAUGAGUUUCUCAUUAGUAAUCAUGUUCUUGCAAGUUUAUCUCUAGUCUAUGCCUUGAUAGGUUUUAUUUACCUCCACCGUUCUCUUAAGCAAAAUUAUAAAUAACGAUACCCGGAAUACUUUCCUGGUGAAAUGCUACAAUGAGGUAUUUGAUCUGUGCGCUUGUGGAUAGAAUAUAUUAUUUUCUAGAGAGCCUUUACAUUUAUAAAUACCUUUGUACACUCUGGCACCAUGCUGGGGAUGACAACCUAGUAUUCAAGUAGUGUUAGCUAGUGUCAACAAGCAUUUCUGGCGCCGUUGCUGGGGAACGGUAAGGAAAGUCAGGAAGUCAGUCUUCACAUAAAAUAUUAGACUAGACUAUGGAGAAAUAAUUGCAUAAAACAACUACUAAGUGAGAAAUGAUAACAAGGCACCUCUGCUUUGGCAGGUUCACCCUGUUGUUUUUCUAUGUUUAUAUUUUUAUACAGGGUAUAUCAGGAUUGACUUUGGUACAUUCAACUCUUCAUCAUCAGAACCAAAGCAAUCAAGAAAGAAAGAAGAAGCUACCUACCAAUUGCUGAAGCUAUGGCACAAAAGACCUUGCAAUAAUUCUCUGCUCCAAGUCUUGAGAACAUUCCAACUGGUCCAAGAUUUGCAGUAGAAGAAGGAGUACCCGAGUUUGAGCUCAAGUCAAGCCUCAUCAAUUUGGUACAAGCUACACAAUUCAGUGGAAAGGCACAUGAAGAUGCUAGUGCACACUUGCAGAAUUUCAUAGAGAUUGGAAGUACAAUCUGCAUCAACGGACUGGACAAAGACGUCAUACUGCUUCGCCUCUUUCCAUUCUCACUAGAAGCGAAAGCAAGGAAGUGGUUCUACACUCAUCAAGAUAACAUCAACAACUGGACGAACUUGUCAGACGCCUUUCUAUCAAAGUUUUUCCCUAUAGGCAAAACAACUACCUUAAGAGGAAAUAUUGUCAGUUUCCAACAACAGAAGACAGAAACCAUUCUAGAAGUAUGGGAGUGUUUUCAAGGAUACAUAUCAGAUUGUCCUCACCUGGGAAUGGCCAGAUGGUUACUUAUGUAGACCUUCUACCAUGGAUUAACCCAGAAGGCUCAUGAGUGCCUAGAUGCAUCUGCUAAAGGAUCAUUCUUGGAGCUUACAAUUGGAAAAGCAGAGAUACUUUUAGAUAAGAUAGCAGAAAACCAAAGCUGGUUCCAAGAUAAAGCUCAACAAUGUCAUCAAACUGAAGAAAUACUAGAAGAAGUAAAUGCAUUAUCAACCAAGAUGGAAAAUUUGCUCCAUUGGAUUGACCAGAGGGCCAAGUUCAAAGAAGAUCAGAGGGCCAUUGAGACACCAUACAAAUAUCAACCUACUUCGAGUCAGCCCAAUAGCAAAGGUACGAAUUCAGGUAACACUUUAAAGCAACUGUCAUUAAAAGAGAUAAUUGCUCAACAAACCAAAACUAAUGAUGAAGUUAAACAAAGGCUAGAUACAAAUGAAUCAUCUCUAAAAGGUAUACACAAUAAAAUGGAUUUUCUAUUAACUGCCUUUGAUGAGCAGAACACUCUCAAUAAAAGGGUAGAGCUUAAAUUAAUAAAGCUAGCUGCUGCAUUGCGUGUUGCCACUAACAUUGAGCAGGUAAAGAACAUAACUACUAGAGGGGGCAAAGCCACCAGGGACCCCCCAUACCCAAAAGAGAAACAGAGAACAUCCGCACCAGUGCAACCAGCAGUGAUAGAAGAAGAAAGCCCAGUUGAAGCACAAGAUCUGCUACAACCACCAAGUACUGGAGAAAUGAGGAAAGAUUUUUACGACACCAACUAUUUGCCAUUUCCCUGAAGAAAUAGAGGACUGCAGUCGGAUGAGCAGUUUGGUAAGUUUGUAGAGGUCAUUCAGAAAUUAUAUGACAACAUACCUCUGCUUGAUGCCAUACAGGUACCCACAUAUGCAAAGUACAUCAGAGAUAUUCUUAACAAGAAGAGACCACUGCCCACCACUGAGGUUAUCAAGCUGACAGAAGAAUGCAGUGCGGCCAUCCUCAACAAACCACUAAGGAAGAAGAAGGAUCCCGGAUGUCCCACCAUUGAUUGCUCGAUCGAAAAACAACACUUCAACAAUGCACUUUGUGAUCUUGGAGCAAGUGUCAGUGUGAUGCCAGCAUCAGUCUUUGAGAAGCUUGAGCAUAUGACCCUAGAACCAACAUCAAUGUGCCUGCAACUAGCAGAUCAAUCAGUUCGACACCCGAUAGGCAUCGCUAAAAACAUCCCAGUCAAGAUCAGAGAUUUCCUCGUGCCAGUAGACUUCGUGGUACUAGACAUGAAUCCCGACUCAAAAGUGUCUAUCAUCCUUGGAAGGCCAAUUCUGAGCACUGCCAAUGCCCACAUCAAUGUUGGAAAGGGAGAAAUCAAGUUCAACAUAAACGGACAAGAAGAACACUUCACAUUCAAGCCCAGACCAGAGAGAGACUCUACAGUAAAGGAAGUUCAUGAAGAAGAACCACUAGAGACACCAUCUCUGGAGGAAGGUAAUUCGGAAGAUUAAAAGAUUUGGAGGUCCAGCUUGGGGGACCUAAAAAUCCCAAACCCUCGCCGGGAGCUAAAUCGGUAUUUAUCUGCAUCAUUAAUUCUCUCAUAGUUAAUUCCUGCAUUAUCCAUAUUUAUUCAUAGCAUUAUUACAAUAAUCAAAAGCCCCAUAUAAAUAAUAUUUAUGGUGUGUGACAACCCAUAUUUAUUAAUUAUUGUGGAGGCACAAAAAAAAUAAUUUUCAUUAUCAUUUCAAUAAGUUUCAAUUCUCAUAGAUUUUCCUGCAUUAUAGUUAAUUAUAGCAACCUUCUAGAAGCAUGACCCACACUCCUUGGGUCCCACAUGUCGUACACCACAUUUUGUGAAUCCACCAACAUGUUUCCACUCACCAGCAUUUUUCUACCGUCCAACCACCAACCACUCAACAUUAUUCUGCGUAAGAGCUAAGCAACGGAGGGAGUGGAGAAAAGGCAGCCAGGAUGGCCACCAAAGGUGGGCGCCCGCCCACCUACAGAGGGCGCCCGCCCUGUCCCUCCAUCAGCCUAUAAAAAGCCACCUCCUGCCUCCAACUUCUUCACACAAGCAUUCCAGAAAACCACGCAAGUUUCAGUUUCUAGAGAAGGAGCUCUUGUAGUGAAGUGAGAAGGAGAGUAGAGGGGAAGAGAAGAGUGAAAGAGAGUUUGGUAGCCCUAGAGUAAGAGAGUAAGGUUCAUUAGUAAGUAGUGAUCCCGCUGUCCAAAGCGGAAUUGAAAGUUGUUUAGGGGGAGGUGCUACCAAAAUAAAAAACUUGUCUUAAACGACUAACCCCUGGACUGCUGACAUUUCAGACAGCUGACCACUAACAUUUUUCUCUCUCACAUUUUCGACUAGUUGUGUUUGUGUCAACUUUUGUCUAUAGGAUGUUCAAGAAGGUAAAGAACGUAGGGAAGGCCGUCAAGAACAUUAGUACGAGGAGCUCGUCCCGACACUCCUCGCACCAGUCAGAGAUGAGCGUCGACCCGACGCCCCCGCAAGCUUCGACAUCUUCAUCUGAUCCGCAAGUCAAGGUCCUCCUUAAGACAGGAGACCUUGGACUGAAGACCCGCAGGGAGAAGGAAGUUUUCCAGCAGCUAAAGAACAAGAAUUUCAUUCACACCCCCACUCUUGAUCCUAUCCUGCUACAAGAAGCAGGUAUGGAUACUGAAUUUGACUUGAUUUUCCAGAUGGUGGGAUGGACAAAUUUUUGGGACAUAACUGAGCUGGGUUCCCAUCUCCUCACCAUUGAAUUUCUUUGCACUUUGCAAUAUUAUGAGGGGGGAAUCGCUUUUUGGAUGUUCAAACAGGACAUUAUGUUGUCUUGGAGAGAACUGAGUGACCAUCUCGGUUUCUCUUCAAGAUGCAUCCUGGACAUUGACUCCGACUUGCCCAAUUUUGAGAGACACCAGUUCUGGAGAGAGAUAUCUAGAGAUGAGUUUUAUAGUCAACCCCGUACUAGCGACAUGGAACACCCCACUCUUAGGAUGUUCCACAAAUGGCUCGGGUACAAUCUUUUCCAUCGUGAUGAUAUUAGAAAAGUAAGAGUAGGAGAUUUAAAACUUCUAUAUGCUGCUAUAAAUAAAAUACCCACUUCACCUGUUACUCUUUUGGUUUCUUAUUGGCUUAGUAUACCUAGUCUUCAAGGACCUGUCUGUUGUACUUCACUCGUCACUCGUCUAGCCUCUAAUCUUAAUUUGCUAGAAAACUCAUCAUUUGAAUUCGUUGACGAGUUACGAAUUUAUCAUGGCUAUGACACAUUUAGGCAAGCUCGGAUGUUGAAAAAAAGAGGGGAACAUAAUGUAUAUUUUAUACGAUAAUAAAGGCAAGAUUCGGUUACCUAACCCGAACCUUGGUCUCUAUGUCAUUCAAAAUUAUUUGAUUGAGAUUGCAGUGACACCGGUAAACCAGAGAGCUCCACAACGAGUGGCAUCUGAAAGGAUGACCACCCAUCAAGAACGCACCUGGUAUGGAGCUGAUCCCGGGCCGGAAGAAGCAGCGCACCUGCAUUAUUGCGACUACAACCCCCGAGUCCUUCGGGACCCAUGGGUUCGACAUGCUCAACCACAAGAGCCAACACAGGAUACAUGCCCGGAGGGCCAAGAUCACCAGUGGACAAACCCGCCUUUCCAUACGGGUAGGUACUCCACUGAUCCAUAUGGAGCUUCAGGGUCUAGAUCCCAGCCCCAAUUCGAUGCAGGACGGUACUCCGACGACUCUUAUGCUUUCACGAACGACUACUACCAAGAGGCCAGCGCUUUCUUCACCCGUACCGACAACACCCUCCUCGACAUCUAGAAUACGCAAGCAGAACAUGGACGACUCCUGGAACAGCAACAAAAAUGGAACCAGGACCACACCACUAUAGUACAAGAACUGAGGCAAGACACCACGACAAUGAAUGACAACAUCACCACCAUGAUGAGAUUCUGGAACAUUGGGUAAGACCGACAACCACAUCCAGCUUGGAGGAGUUCCUCCCCAUUUUAUCAAGUAAGUUUUAUUUUGCUCUUCUUAUUUAUUCUUUUCAGUUUUAGUGUUUUAUUUAUCCUAAAGAGAAAAACUUAGAAAACCCAAUAAAUAUUUUCUUGCUUUAAUUUACCGCAUUCUAUAACAUGAAAACAAAAUAAAAAGUGUGUAGAUAAGUGUGCUUUAUUUUCCCUACUAAGUGUUAAUCUGUAGAAAAAUAAAAGACCAAAAAGAUGCAUGAUGAAAAUGAUGAACAGUUGCUCUGUUUGCUUACUUUCAAGUACCUAGCUUUUAUAUUAGAGUUCUUCCAGGAAUUACUAAAACUGAAAUUUACUAUCUAUAGGAAGCAUGAGCCUAAAACUAAAGUCUAGGUAAGAGAAAGGCAUGAUAUAAAGUUUGAGCUACUGUUUAUCUUGUUCUUACAACACUGAGUUCUGGAGAUUUAUUUUGAAAACUUGCAAAUCACUUGAUGAUUUCCUAGCAUGACAAAAUUCCUACCAUAGCCAUACUUGCUAUAACAUCUUUUGCUACUUAUAUUCACAUUGAGUUUGAUCGAGCUGUGUAGACCCUUAGGAGCUUUUCAUGUGGUUAAAUUAAGAUAUUCACCUGCACACAUCUACUACACCAUCCACCACCAUUCAUUAAAAUUGUCAAAAAUAUUAUCACUCACUGUCCCAAGUAUUGUUAUUCUCUCUCUCCAAAAAGAUUCAAUGCAGAAGAGGCAUGGGUUAUGCAAAAAUGUGCGAGGAAAUAAAAAGGGGCAAGUGCCCGGAACCUCAAAAAAUAAAGAAAAAAAAGAGUGAGAUGAGAGGUAAAAAUGGACAAGUGUUCGGAGUAGAAUUGGGGGUACAAAGAUGCCCACUUGAGCGAAAAAAAUGGACAAGUGUCCAAUAGUAGAAUUAGGGGUAUCUACUACCCACCUGAAAAAAAGAGAGAAAAGAAAAAGAUAGCCCAUGUUCUCCCAAAGCAAAGAUCAAAGAGGAGAGAUAGCAAUAUGAGGAGCAAUGAGAAGUAAGCUUUAUCAUUACUUAUAUUUCCACCAUUACUAUCAUUUACUCCACCACACAUGCACAUCUUGAUUUAAUUAUAUGCUGAGUUCCUUUGGAUCCAUGGCUCGAUUAGACAACAUAUGUAUGAGCUGUUUUUCACUCCUAUGAGCUCUAAACAUUCUCUUAGUUAUAGGUAAGUGACAUUUUUGGUGAGGAUCCACAAAUACCAUAUAUAGAGAGACUUGAGAUAAUCAUUGCUAGGAACUCUGAGUUUUAUUUUUGAAAAACUUAUGCAAAACUCCGGAACAAAGGUGAAGUAUAAAUAGGAGGAAUAGUGCUUGACUUAAUUAUUUUGUCUUUCAAUUACUUAAGACUUAAGUGUAGGUACUAAGCCCCUUGACACUUCACUCUAAUCUGGGAAAAUUUUAUAUGAAAGCAUGUGUGCCUGUCAGGAAAGAAAACAUCGAGGCAACUCCUGAUCCAUUUGAGUUUAGCUGUUUGCUUAGGGACGAGCAAAGGGUAAGCUUGGGGGAGUUUGUUGACGGUCCUUAAGUACUAAAUUUAACCGUCAACUAAACAUGGAAAAGGAUCAAUAUGCACCAAACACGUAGAAUUCGGGUUUUAUCUGACAGAAUUCCACGAGCUUUGGUGUUUGUCUAUUUCUGUAUGGGGUUAUCAGAAAAUAUGGAGAGAAGGCCCACAUGUCAGGUUUACAACGAGAUAAUUACGUGCCGCGCAAUUUUCCUUAAUCUAGAAGAGUCCAGAAGCCACGGGAACGAACAGGAGGUCGAUCGGGCCCGGGGGCAGUGCACCCGCCCUGCUCUGGUGGCCAAUCAGAGCAGGUCUCGUGGAUUGUGCUCCACCGCCUCUAAUCUUUAAGAAUAACCGUGCGAUUUAUGUCGGUUUGAUCUGACGGCCCACAUUCACUUGAGGGGGCUAUAUAGACAAGGCCUCUCCACCCCAGGGGAGGAGGAGAAAUCAUUAUCAGAGGAAGCCAUCAAAGUUAGGGUUUAGACCUUCUCUCCCACAGAGAAUUAGAAUUAGCUACUCCCAAUUCCUUCAAGUUCUAUAGGAUUGAUUAGAUAGAAUUAGAGAAGUAGAGCCUAGCGCUCUGGAUUUCGGAUCUUCGUUAAUAAAGAUUGGUAUUAUUUCAUAUCUUUCUCUACUACUUUAUUCUAAUUGCAUUAUGUCUCUAUUUAUUAUGUUCUUAGUUUGCUUUUGUUCUAUAUUUGAUAUAGUUAUGAUUGAUAAUGAGUUUAUGUAUAAGUUUGCAAAGCGCUUAGCUCUUGACGCGCGGGAGUUAAGUGGUAGAUCACAUGUGGGCGUGGUGCUUAUAUAAAGAAAGGGCAAAAGUUGACAAAAAAUUAUAUAUUUUUUUAGUUUUCACGCUUAAUCAUUUGUAAUCCUAUGAGACAUAGGAUCAAAGAUCACAUGGUAGAAAAAUUGAUAAGGGUUCAUCGCAAGAUAGGGAUCAGUCUGAAGUUCUUCAUAUCUUCUGUUUUGAGAUCCUCGAGAGUGAUGAUCGUAACUGCCGCUACCCUACUUAAACCAAGUGUUAUCUUAUCUUCAAAACUCCUAUUUAAGAACUUCAUCUUGCCAGAUCAGAACGAUCUUUAGAGAUUUCCUUCAGAAAUUACCAGUCCAAUCACACUGCACUUCUUGGGAUUUCCGAGAAACAGGGAGAGAAACAACAUCAUGAUGGGAAAGGAUAGAUUAAGAUUAUCUUAAUUUCCUUGGUGAUGGUGUGCGACUAAGCCAAAAGAUGAAGAGUGUAUUCAGGAUAAAGCUCUCAGGCACUACCCAAAAAAGCAAUCCAAGGCGUGUGGUGAAAUUGGCCAUUAAUGGUAUGGUUGUACAUCUGACCUUCGGGUUCUGCAUUUUGUCACGUGAUAAUCCAUCAAACAUUCCAGAGUGAAAAAUACAUCUUAUCUUGGGACUUUUGUAACUUAUACCUUGCUUUGACAAGGUUAACUAGCAUCAUACUUCCUAGGUCACUUAGUGCUUCUUUGUGGUCUCCAUAGGUGAAUUCUAAGAAUAUUUCUCCUACUUGAAGUGUUUGGAAAAUAUUGUGAGGGAGAACUACACAAAGGAUCUUGAGUCAUUCUAUAUGAAAUACUUAAAACUGCUUCACUGGCAAUCACUACCACUUGAUGUUGGGACAACACUAGGCGCUUUGCUUAAGAUUCCUUCGGUAAACAUCUUGUCAAACAACCCAUAACUCGUACUAGGAGAUUAAGAAUGAUAAAGUCCAAUGAAAAAUACAUCUCUUUUCACAAAGAAGAUUACAAGCGGAUUGAAUGAAAAACAUUAAGCUAAAAGGCAUAACUGACUUCAGAUUUCAUAGACCAUUAUUAACUAGCUCAAAUCCAUCUAGGUCCCUUAAUAUAACUUGCUUCACAUCAGAUGUUGAGAAUAUAUCGCCUCUGUAUAAGGUCCACAUUUCUUUCAAACUGCCUCGUUGUCAGUACAAUCCUCAUUACUCCUUUAUUCCUUGGGGUGAGGUUAAGUGCCUUCAUACACAAACCUGUCUCCUGAUGGGGUGGUUAGGGAUACUGAGUGUUGGGUAGAAUCACUCUUUCCAAGCAGUUAACCAUCCUCUUGCAAGAACGACAUCAAUAUCCAAUGAUUCUAGGACUAUAAGAUUUACCUCAAGAUUUACACCUUUUAUACCAAGACUAACUUUUGGGCACAUGUGUGUUGCUUUUAUCUUCCCUCUUGGUGAUUUGACCAGUAUGGGUUUCUUCAUUUCAAACAUAAGCAUCUUAUGAUCGGCAACACAUUUGUUUGAGAUGAAAGAAUGUGAAGAACUAGAGUCAAACUAAAUAGUGGUAGGAGUUGAGUUGACUAAAAUCGAUCCAAACACCACAUUUUGUGCUUCGCGAGCAGUACACGAAUCCACAUGGUUCAAUGUGUUGAUAUUUGGUAACGCAAUAAGGAAAUGAUCCGCAAGCACAUGGAUAUCGGUGAGCAUUUCACCCAGGAGGUUAUCCAGAGUUAUCGUAUUUAUAUUUUUACCACUAGGAGAAAGGGUGCAUCUGACUAACCAAAUCUAUUGGUACUAUCCCUUUAGGCUACAAAGAAUGUUUCUCGAUGUGAGUGAUGUAUAGAGAAGACUGCAACCGUAGUCUCGUUCUAACCUUGGUAAGGAUGAUCUACUGUUCUAUUGGGGAAGCUUACGGAAUCUAGACACCACAAAGGAUGUUCGACCCGCACCUAUAAACCUACCCGUCCUGCUAACGAGAUGUGGGCUACAAAGGUAACUCGGAAUUGUCACGUUCCUCGCUACUACCACGGUCCAGCUAGUCAGGGGAUAUCUAUGAGUACCCUAGCCUAAACACCUCGUUUAUGCUAGCAAUGAUUACUCUAAUACUCAACCGGAAGAGAUUAAAGUAAACUCAUAAACCAAAGAACAAUAAAACAAGAACUUACUAGAAUUAGAAGUCGAAUUACUGAAGAAUCCUAGGAGCAAGCCUCGGGUUAGGAGACUUGAUCCCGCAGGUACAACUCGGAGUAGACACCGACAGGCCGGGCUUCCUCCGAUCUACACCUCCACUCUAUCUCUCUCAAUCUAGUAGAAACUAGAAGAUCUAACUCUACUCACAUUGGAUGCUAAGCCUAAAAGAAAUUUUAUUUAGAGGAGAGGUAUUCCUUCGACGGCUCCUCUCAACUCUAUGAAAAACUUGUCUCCUCCAGGGGCCAGGGGGUCUGGUUUUAUAGUCCCCUCAAGUGAACGUGAGCCAUUGGAUCAAACCGACAUUGAUUGGACGGUUAUCCUUGAUCCUUUAGGUCGGUGGAACAUCGUUCGCGAAAAGAGUCCUGAUCCAACUCCAAGUCAGGGCGGGCGCCCAGGUCAACUGGGCGGGCGCCCAGUACCUGGCCCCGUUCGGCCUCCGCUUCCUUCCCGUGGCUUCUGGAGUCUUCUAGAUGGUAGAAAAUUGCGCGGUGCGUUGAUAUCUCUAUGUAAUCCCGACAUGUGGGCCUUUCUUCCGUAUUUCCUGAUAACCCCCUACAGAAAUAGACAAACACCAAAACUCGUGGAAUUCUGUGAGAUAAAACCCUAAGUCUGGGUGUUGGUUGCAUUUGGAUCCUUUUCUUUAUUUAUUUGAUGAUUAUAUUUGGUACUUAAGGACCGUCAACAACUCCCCCAAGCUUACCUCUUGCUCGUCUGCAGUGGUUUCAUGCCUUAAAAGUACACACGCAUUCAAGCAAGAUCUCAUCUCUGAGUUAGAAUAAACUGUUAAAACUUAAAACUUACUCAUUUUACCUUUCACUAUGGGGCUUGUAACCGUCACUUGUGUCUUGAGCAGUUAAAAGAUAGAACGGUCAAAUCAAGCGCCAUGUCUCUUAUUCUUGAUCAGCUAUAGCUCUGGAGUUUUUGCAGAUUUUCAAAUAAAACUCAGAGAUUCCUUGUAUGAUUUUGUCAAAUCUCUCUUUUGUGGUAUUUCUAGAUCCUUACCAAGGCAGUAAUGGUAUAUGCCUUCUCUCAAAGUAUGUGGUAUUUUUGGUAUAAUGCAUAGUGAUAUUGCCUUCUCUCUCACCUUACUCUAAUAAGGUUUUGAUAUCUGGAGCUCAUAGGUGGGAGACAGCUAAUACAUACUUACAAGACAUUUAUUGCAUAGUCAAACCAUGGAUCCAGAAGAACAAGCCAAUAAGUCAAAUCAAGAUGUGCAUGUGUGGCGAGUGAAUGGUGUAUGGUGAUGAUGGUGAUAAUUGUGAAAUCAAUGGUGAAAGUCUAGGGGAUACAUACCUUUGUUGCACUUUGAAGCUUUUUGAGGAGAAUGAGAUGCUCUAUAUUUUUUUUCAGGUGGGUAGCUUUGUACCCCUAAUUCUACUGUCGGACACUUGUCCAUUUUUACCUCUCGUCUCACUUUUUCUUUUCUUCGAGGUUCCGGGCACUUGCCCCUUUUUAUUUCCUCAUAUUCUUUUUCUUGUUUUUUAGAGCACUCAUCACCUGAAAUAAUGUGGCAAAUGGUCGUAACCAAAAUAUCUUGAGCAUUUAUUUCAUGGGGAAUAACAGGGAUAGGAUAAUGGUUUUGGCUAUUCUCUCCUGGAUAGGAGUAGAAUAAUUUUGGGUGAAUCUGGAGAUGGAAAUGAGUGGAUGUAUGUGGAUGCGUACUUCCGGAGUAGAAGCAGCAUGUGUGAGUGAACGUGCAAGUGAAUCUUGAUUUUAACCGCAUGACAAGCUCCUAAGGGUCUAUACAGCUUGACCACACUCAAUGCUCAUAAGCAGUAAAAAGUAAAUAUGUGGCUUAAAGUCUAGCAAGCAUGUAUAUAUGGCUGUGGUAGGAAUUUAAACUCUCAUCAUACAGGAACUCAUCAUGUGUCAUUUUAAAGAUUUUUCAAAGAUAAAAUUUUCCAGAAUUCUAGCAUCUCUAGGAAUAGAAAAACAGCAGCUCAACCUUCCCAUAUCAUAUCCGUUAACGACUUAGACUUUAGAUCAAGUACUCUUCCCACAAGUUUAGGUUUAGAGUAGGUUUAAAUUAUAAAAGUUAUGCCUAAACUUGAGAUAGAGCUCAAACUUGAAAACUAGGUACAUGGCAAAGCAACUAUUUAUCAUUUCUAUGUGAGAGCUUAUCAUGAGGUUUCAUAGCAAACUUUGUUUAUUUAUUUAUUUAGCAAACUAAGCAAAGAUAUAUAAAAGCACAAAAUUUUUAUUUGGGUUUUUUUAUGAUUAUGCAUCUUUUUAUUAUUUGAGUAAAGUAUAAACGCGAGUAGAAACACUUAGCUCGAUAAAUGGGGGUGCUCUCCCCCAAGCUGGAUUUUGACGUAAUUUCUUCUGAUGUAGCUAGCAGGUGGUGGAGGUGUAUUCGAAAGUCGGCAGCACCCAGACAACAAUUAGGAUGUCCUCCGUCUGCUAGUCUUCUUUGAUCCUUUAAUUCUGUGGAGCUCAAAUAGACAACAAAGCUUUGUGAAUCGGGUUAAGUGUUAGCAUAAAUAUCUAGCCUUUAUCAUGUCGAGCCUCCUCAAUAAAUGUUAUUUAUUUAGCAGGAUCAUGCACUUAUUAUUUUUAUAUCUUUAUUGUAAGAUGAAAACAUAUUUAUUUUAUGCCACCACAGUGAAUGUACCUAUGGGUUUUAUGCCAUGAGCAUACUCACAUGGGGCUUACUAUUUUUAACAUUUUUAUUUUCUUUUCGAGAUGAUAUGAACUUGAUUAACUAAGCAAACUAUUUUAAAUAGCUGAAAGGAAAAAGGAUAACUACCAAGUUUACCUCUUGGCACGACGUUCGGUGUUUUUAAGUCCUCCGAACAGGACUCUUUGUUUUCUUAGUCGUCCUGGGAUUCGCUGGAUGGAGUAGUCAGUGGUUCCGGCGGCGCCUCCUCUUCGUGUAUAACUAUCUUCUCUCUCCACACCUGACUCGGUGCUACGGUCUCCUCAGGACAGUUUUGUUCAAGAUGUAUAUCUUUGGACCUUAUUACAUCUCCUUCGUAGUCUACCCAUCCGUCCUUGAUGAUUUGCCUCCGCUGGUUGCGGUUGCGUUGUCUUCUUCUUGUCCUGACCUGCUUAGAGUUUUCAACUAUAUAGUUAGGGUCAGUAAAACAGUGGCAUACCUUCUUAGAGGGGAAGUGGAUGUGGUCUUUUCCGGUUCCAAUGUAGAUGAUGGCUUUAACGGUGCUGAGGAACGGUCUUCCAAGGAUGGUGGGUGGAUCAUACUCGUCUUCUCCCAUGUCAAUGACCUGAAAAUCAUCUGGAGCUGAAUGUAUAUUGGUUGUAGGGGCAUGGUUCCAUGCAGGAGCUGAUAAGUGACUGCGGCCAUUAUGUUGUCGUUAGAUCCGGUGUCGUAGAGUAUCUUCUGAAAAGAGUAUCCAUUGAUUGUGCACUCGAUGCUUGGAACACCAGGGUCGUCCUUCUUGAUGAGGAAAUGUGACUUGAGUCGACGAUCUUGACCUCUUCCGGCAAGGAUCCAAUGUUCUAAGUCUUUUAGACAAGACUUCUCACCGUGUUCAUCCUUUAGGUGCAUCAUUUGAUUAGUUGUGGACCUUGACGUCUGCACCUCUUGACACAGUGUCACCCAUGUUCUUCGUUUGCCUAGCAGUUCGAAGUGUGGUGUUGGCAACAUCCUGCUCAGUUUGUUUGUGCUCGUAGAUUCAGGUCCUUCACUUGGUGGAGUCUGGGAGUUGUAAAACUCCUUCAUGUUUUGCUUGAAGUGUACCUGUUCAUAGAGACAAGGCAGAGAUCAAGUGCAUGGGCCCUGUUGGUGGAAAACACCAACAGAACCAAAAGUGUAUUUGUUCUUCUCUAACCUUAAGCAUAGUGAGCAAGAUAAAGUUGAUGGAUCAUGAGUGUAGCAUUUGGAAUAUUUGUCAGAUCAGCUGGCUCAACCUAAUGGAAAGAUAAUCUAUCUAUGUAUAUGUCUUUUUCUUUAUAUCUUCCCAAAGAUUGAAUGUGCAACAUUUUAGCUUAUAUGAUUAGGAGUGUGGGAUCACGAAGGUAGUACUAAGAACAAAGAUUAAAGGACUAAACAUGUUUAAUUAAUUGAGUUGGUUAAUCUGGAGUUAUAAAUCAUACAUGUUUGUCUCUUUAUUUAUGUGUAUGCCAGAACCAAAGAGAUGCUUAUAAAAGUGAUAGUUAAGUACCUUAAGGUGUUACCUUAAUUGAAGAGUGAUGAUAUAGUAUCACCUUGUGGAAGCUUUCCUUUCUUAGCGGUUGUGCAUCAUGUUUGUGGCACCCUCCAUAGAUCAUCUGAAUGAGCUAUGUCUUUCUUGUACAAAUUGUUAAACUUCAUGUGUCUCCUUUAUCUCCAAUGAGCUUGUAGCUUAGGACUUCCCAGGUUAAUAUUGAAAGUUUUCCUGCAGGGAUUAGUCCAACAAAAUAUCCCGUAUCUACUAUAGCAUACUAUCGGCUCAAAAAUCAACCUAGACACCAUGUCUAAUUUGAUUUAGGAGGGCAUUUUAACCUAAGCACCAUGCUUAAUUUAAAAAUCCUUUGGAAGUAAGAUCAUCAUUCCUAAACUAAGCACCAUGCUUGAUUUAAGAGAUAAAUGAAACUACUCCAAACCUAGACAUAUACUAAAGCAAAUAAAGGUAGCAUGAGAGCAUUUAUAGAGAUCUACUCAAGUGGAGGUGAAGUAGUGUAAUUAGUAUUUAAUAAAUUGAGCAUGUCUCAAAGGUAGGGACAACGAGCAUAGCAAUAUGGCAAAUGAUGUUUUUAUGUAAAGUACUCCCCCAAGCUUGAAUUUUGCAAAAUUCAAUGUUGGAUGAAUUUAAUUCAAUGUUGUGUGAUGGUUGGUUGGACAUACCUUGUGCUUGUCAUUCCUCGGAUCUUCUUGCUCCAAUCCUAGAAAGGUUAGUGACAAGAAUACCCGAAAGAAUAUUUCUACAAUUAUCUUUAUAUGCUCAAUACACAAGGCAAUGUUGCAAAUAAUUAGAAGUUCAUGUUACGAUCUGAUCAGUGCUUGUUUUAGGACACUAAGCUUGUCCUUGGGAAACCAUCAAUUUAUAUCAGCAAAGUGGUUUCUCCUCCGAUGCUGACCUAUAUCAAGAUCAACUCGACGAGAUCUGCAAUAUUUAUUAUAGACAUAUGCAUCGACAACCACCCUUUUAAAGUUUUUAUAAAUAGAAAUAAAGAGGGGGUUGGAGAUCUUAAAUGUGGUGAUGUUGGAGAGACCAAUAGAUUCGGAAGAUGUUUUAUAUGGGCAAGGAUUGGGAGAGGUAUUUAUGAAAUAACUUCCAUGCUCACUGUUGUUUCUCUCAUUCUCAAACUCCAAGGAUGAUUCUUCAUGAAUGCUUAAAAUUCCUCUAGGAUUGUCUCUCAAGUUUGUUUUAUCCAUCCAUUUAAUGGUGAUAGCACAUGGAUUUUAAAUGCCCUCUAGCCAUUGAUAUUGCUCUUCUCGAUCCUCCUUGUGGUCUUGGUGACUCUUAUGCAUGGCAUGUCUAGAGAGAUUCAUAGGAUCAUCUGGAGGUUCAAGAGAAAGAGCAUAGUAGAAAUUAUUAAGCUCAAGGAUGGGUUGGAUAGCCGAAUCAUGGAGUUGAAAUGUUUGGAAAUCGGCUAUUGAAACUUCCUUUUCUUGUCUGGGAGAUGAUUCCUUCUCUAUCUCUAAGAUUUUUCUAUGAAGACUAGUACAAGAAGGAUGUCCACAAAUGAAGACAUACCUUCCUUUACUAAUAGAUAAAGAAAGAAAGACUAUACCAAAGGUUAUAUGAUUAAAACCAAUAUGAAAAUAUCGAGAAAAAACAUGGUCUUGUAGGGCUAGGUUUAAACCAGAAUUUAUAGAAAGAUUAACAGAUUCUCUAGGUGUAGUUAAAAGUGUAUUAUCUUCUUUAUUAAAAGAUAGGACCUCGGCUAUAGAAAAGGGUUGGUUUUGACCUAUUGCAAUCAACUCCAGACACAGAUCAUAAUUAGGUGCAGGACUUCUUGACUCCCAUGGUCUAUGGCUGGUCUCCGAAGGUGCAAAGAAUUCAAUAAUAGGUAUGGAAUUUAAGUUAUCCAUAAAGAUAAAAAUAAAAAGAUAAAAGAAUAAAAGUAUAAAAGUAUAAUACAAGUGUCGAGGGUAUCAACAAGGGGUACCCUCACCAACGCGAAUAACGAAACCAUCCGUACGUAAAACUAGCGCCUCGAUUCGACGCUCCGUCCGCACACACGCACGACCAUCGAUGACCGUAGCCUUGAAGACGGAAAUAGCGUCGAGCGAAUCAGUCAGGCGUCGAGCUCUGGUCAACGUCGAAUACGGAACCGGCUCUCGCAAAUCGGGAGGCGUUGGGCGCAAGGACGCUGCCGCCGCCUAACGCGCGCACGCGGGCCGGGGCAUUAAAUGCGCCUGGUGCCUCCCCACCUAACACAUGGGUCACGGGGGGCGUGAUAGAAGAACAGGCACUUGUCCCAUCGAUCUUUUUGCAGCCUUCCCCACCAAACGGCCCAAGGCGUGUCAAGACGUGGGAAACAGAGACGGAGUGUCUAAUCAAGACCCCCUCGAGAUGGCCAAAGUCAGCGCUUCAACAUCAGGACGUCGUACGGCGUCCGACCCUCGACCAGAUAGAGACCCAUCCAGGAGACAAGUCGGGCGUCGACUGACCACAUCCCAACUACACCGCCGGAUUUGCCGUCGGGUCGUACGAGCGUACAUCAGGCAAACGAAUCCAGGACGGCGUGCAGAACGGAAUGCAAGGGCACGCGUAAUCAUCACCAGGCUAUUAAGACGGGACGACUCGAGGCCAUGACGGUACGGAAGCCUCGAGUAGGUCAGCGCUCCAUACUGCUAUCGACUCCUAUUCUGAUGCCUAUACAUGUACCCUGGGUCUCUCCUUGGGACUAUAAAAGGAGGAACUCAGGAAUAGAACAAAAAAAACAAGACCACGCUCACACAUAGUAGAGCACGACACUUCACACCACGCUUGUAUUCACCCCUGUACAAGCACCUAGGUGCAAGAUAAUACAAACUCUCUCCCCCCCGCUGGACGUAGGGCCUUCUCUUGCCCGAACCAGGAUAAAUCUCUGUGUCUUCUUGCAUCACCAUCCGAGAAAGGGAGCACGCAUACAAAUUUACUCGUUGGUGUGACCCCCCGGGGGAAAACGCCGACAGUUGGCGCGCCAGGUAGGGGUCCUGCGUGUUUUUCAUCGAUUUCCCACUCCUUUCCGGAUGGCUACUCUUGCCUCGCCGUUUCCGCGCUCCACGGUGAUUUGGUUUGGGAGUCUCGAGUUCAUGUCUACGGGCUCCGACUACGACAUGAUCUUGCUCUCAGUCAAAGGACCAGGAGGAGCCCGCGUUACGCCAGCACGGUUGAAGGCCCCGAGACGCCCUCACCACCACGCCUCCCCGCCUAAGAAGAGGCGCGGACAGCACCACCGCGGCCCCUCUGCUUCAGCACGACCAACAACUCGUGCGAGGCAGGACGUAGGCCACAAGUCGGCAGCACCGUGUGACGGAGCAACAAACGCGACGACUCAGCACCGCGCGACGACGGGAGGGGACGCGUCUCGCGCGCUCUCCCCCACCGCUGCUAGGCUACUUCCACACGGGUUGUUCACUCCAAGAGCGGCACUGCCGUUUGGAUUGGACAACGUCGCGGCGUCGCUCGCCAGGGCGAUAUGCCCAAACGCCCAGACGUACGUAGAAAGACCAAUGGUCCUCCCACGUAGCUCUGAAGCGCGGCGGCCGGCGUCCGAGCUGCCGGACCUUUCCCGAGUACGAGGCCUCCGUCGUCGAGGCCCCGGACGAUACUCGAUCACCUCCCUCAGGCAACGAUUGCUGGAGGAAGGACGUGGGUGUUUCUACGCCGCCAAACCGGACUCCGACUCCGAGACAGAUAGCUAUGACCCUACGAGGGAAUGCUAUCACAUCGAUGGGGCGGUAGAAACUACUGACGAGACACGGGAUGCUACUACGGGUGGUCGAGCCCCCGCGACGCGAGAAGACCCCAGGACGCCUGGGAACGACGGACAGGUCGACCCCCCUCCUCAGGAAGACAGAACCGCGCAGCUCGCGCAGCUGCGGGAGCUCAAGAUGAAGCUCGACGAAGACCACGAGCGCCUCGUCCUGCUCGAGCAAAUCCUCGAGCAAGACCUGCCCUACCCGCCGGGCGGAAGUGUCCGCAGACGCGCUCGAGAGGUACAUCGACAGAUCGUCGGCGACGCAGAGCCAGAGCAACCUGUCAACCGUUUCCCUCGAGCAGGCCAGAAUGUAGUAGCAGCGACGAUGCUGCUACGUAACAUGCCAGAGCCAUCGAAUUCCCAGGCCCGACGCAUUCGAGAUGAGGUACAGACAUUGCUCCAGGUGGCGGCGGUUCAACAAGCCGAAAGUUCGGCAUCUCGACGACGAGGAGCUGCCACAGAGAAGCGCGACGAACAGCCUCUAAACGAAGAGGAGGUGUCGGUCCAUCAACAACCUCCCCCUCGAGGUAGAAAGACCGCUCUCAUCCUCCCCGUCGACAAUCAACGUCGACACGACGCGCGGCACGACAUCAAAGAAAAUCGACGCCGCCGGCACGGAGACGCGGAAGAGCGCGGUUACAGCGCGCAUCGCGGUGGGAGAUACGACAGCGACGAGGACCGGGUGGCCCCCGAGCCACCAGGCCCACGGGUGUUCAGCAGGGCGAUCCGCAGCACGCCCCUGCCCAAUCCAUUUCGACCCCCGACCAGCAUCGCGAAGUACAAUGGAGAGACCAAACCAGAGUUGUGGCUGGCCGACUUCAGGCUGGCCUGUCAGCUAGGUGGCGCUCGAGGUGAUGAUCGAGCCAUCAUCAGACAGCUACCCCUUUUCCUCUCCGACACCGCCCAUCGAUGGCUCGAGGAACUCCCUGCCAAUCAGAUCCACAACUGGGUUGAUCUGGUCAGAGUCUUCGAGGGUAACUUCAAAGGGACCUACAUACGGCCAGGGAACUCGUGGGACCUCAGCAAGUGCAAGCAGAAGUCAGGAGAAACUCUUCGGGAGUAUGCUCGACGCUUCUCGAAGCAGCGCACUGAGCUGCCGCACAUCCCUGACCACGACGUCAUCUUGGCGUUUGUCUCGGGCACCACCAGUCGAGACUUGGUGCGGGAAUUAGGUCGCAAUCGACCUCAGACCGUCGACGAGCUGAUGGACGUAGUAGCCAACUAUGCGGCAGGGGAGGAGGCAGUCGGCGCCUUCUUUAGCUCAGAAGGAAGAAAAGGCAAGCAGCCCGUCGACGAAGAUGGGACCCCCAGUCGAGGCCUCAAGAAAAAUAAAAAGAAGCAGAAAGUGCGGCAGUUCCACCGGGAAGAUUCCGAUGACAACCUUGUCGCCGCCAUGGAUCGAAAGAAGCCUCGAGGCCCUCCGGAUGGAGGCAUCUUUGACAAGAUGUUGGAGGAGCCGUGCCGUUACCAUAAGGGAGGCGCCAACCACAAGCUCAAGGACUGUCGUAUGUUGAGAAAGCAUUUCGACGGUCUGGGGUUCAAAAAAGAUACGCGUGAUGACUCCAAGAAAGAGAAGGGUGGCAGCAAGGAGGACAACAAAGAUGACGACGGCUUCCGCGCCGUCCACGACUGCUACAUGAUCUAUGGCGGGCCCUCGACUCAAUUAACCAUGAGGCAGCGCAAAAGGGAGCGUCGCGAAGUCUUUGCGGCAAGAAUGGCGGUGCCCCAGUACCUUAGCUGGUCAAGCACUCCUAUCACUUUCGACCGAGAGGACCACCCCGACAAGGUAGUCGCACCAGGCGUCUACCCGCUCGUCGUCGACCCCAUCAUCGUCAACACCCGACUCUCGAAAGUGCUGAUGGAUGGUGGCAGCAGCCUCAACAUCAUCUACCUCGAGACCCUCGACCUCCUCGGCAUCGAUAGAGGACGCCUCCAGCCAAGCGCCGGCAGUUUCCAUGGCGUCAUGCCAGGGAAAAAGGCACUGCCAGUAGGUCGAAUUGACCUACCGGUCUGCUUCGGCACAGCGGCCAACUUCAGGAAGGAGACCCUCACCUUUGAGGUGGUUGGGUUCCGAGGCACGUACCACGCCAUCAUCGGGCGCCCGGGCUACGCCAAGUUCAUGGCUAUACCCAACUACACCUACUUGAAGCUGAAGAUGCCCGGUCCCAAAGGCGUCAUCACUGUCAGUUCCUCCUUCGAGCACGCGUACGAGUGCGACGUCGAGUGCGUCGAGUACGGGGAGGCGGUCGAGAGCUCCACCGAGCUCGUUGCAAAGCUCGAGGCCAUGGCCGCUGAGGCUCCAGAGCCUAAGCGUCAUGCGGGCAGCUUCGAGGCGGCGGAAGGAACCAAGAAGAUCCCGCUCGACCCCAACAACUCCGACGGCAAAGUGCUGACGAUCAGCACCGACCUCGACCCCAAAUAGGAAGCCGUGCUCGUCGACUUUCUCCGUGCAAAUGCUGAUAUGUUUGCAUGGAGUCCCUCGGACAUGCCAGGCAUACCGAGGGAAGUCGCCGAGCACUCCUUGGAGAUUCGAGCCGGUUCCAAGCCAGUGAAACAGCGGUUGCGCCGAUUCGAUGUGGAGAAGCGCAAGAUCAUUGGCGAGGAAGUCCACAAGCUUUUGACGGCCGGAUUCAUCAAGGAGGUUCAUCAUCCUGACUGGUUAGCAAACCCUGUAUUAGUUAAGAAAAAGAAUGGGAAAAUGAGGAUGUGUGUCGAUUAUACUAGUCUGAAUAAAGCAUGUCCAAAAGUUCCCUUUCCAUUGCCACGCAUUGAUCAGAUUGUCGAUUCUACCGCGGGAUGUGAAACCCUUUCUUUCCUUGAUGCAUAUUCUGGUUACCACCAAAUAAAAAUGAAGGAGUCCGACCAGCUCGCGACCUCUUUCAUCACGCCUUUUGGGAUGUAUUGCUACGUGACCAUGCCAUUUGGGCUUCGAAACGUGGGAGCCACGUAACAACGUUGCAUGCUCCACGUAUUUGGCGAACAUAUAGGGUCAACGGUCGAGGCCUACGUCGACGACAUUGUCGUCAAGUCAAAGCGACGAGGAGACCUGAUCCAGGACCUCGAGAUUGCCUUUAGCUGUCUACGCACCAGCCGGAUCAAGCUCAAUCCCGAGAAGUGCGUUUUCGGUGUGCCUCGAGGCAUGCUCCUAGGAUACAUCGUUUCGCAGCGCGGCAUCGAGGCCAACCCCGAGAAAGUCUCGGCUAUCACGAAAAUGGGGCCGAUCCGAGACAUCAAGGGUGUACAGAGAGUCACGGGGUGCCUGGCGGCUCUGAGCCGUUUCAUCUCGAGACUAGGAGAAAAGGCAUUACCAUUAUAUCGACUCCUAAAGAAGGUCGAGCGCUUUUCUUGGACCCCCGAGGCCGAGGAAGCACUCGAAAGGCUGAAGAAGACGCUGACCUCGGCACUAGUCCUGGUUCCACCUGAACCUGCAGAGCCGCUGCUCCUCUACGUCGCGUCGAUGACCCAGGUCGUCAGCGAGGCGGUGGUGGUCGAGAGGCAGGAGGAGGGACAUGCGCUACCAGUUCAGAGGCCAGUAUAUUUCAUCAGCGAGGUGCUUUCGGAGACCAAAGCACGUUAUCCCCAAAUCCAGAAGCUGAUUUAUGCCGUAAUCCUUGCCCGUCGCAAGCUGCAGCAUUACUUCCUUGGCCACCCCAUCACGGUGGUCUCGUCUUUUCCUUUAGGCGAAAUAAUCCAGAGCAAAGAAGCCACGGGAAGAAUAGCAAAAUGGUCGGUCGAGCUCAUGAGUGAGACUCUCACUUAUGCGCCUCGCAAGGCCAUCAAAUCGCAGGCCCUGGUAGACUUCAUCGCAGAAUGGACGGACACCCAGCUCCCCCCGACCCAGGUCCAGGCGGAACUAUGGACGAUGUAUUUCGAUGGGUCACUCAUGAAAACUGGAGCCGGAGCCGGCCUGCUGUUCAUCUCACCCUUGGGCGUCCACAUGAGGUACGUAAUCAGGAUUCAUUUUGCCGCAUCUAACAAUGUCGCAGAAUAUGAGGCCCUCGUCAACGGUCUCAAGAUCGCUAUCGAGUUAGGAGUCCGACGCCUCGACGUCCGAGGUGACUCCCAACUCGUCAUCGACCAAGUAAUGAAAACCUCGAGCUGCCACGACCCAAAAAUGGAAGCGUACUGCAAAGAGGUCCGUCGACUCGAGGACAGGUUCCACGGUCUCGAGCUUGUCCAUAUCGCUCGACGCUACAACGAGGCAGCCGACGAACUCGCCAAGAUCGCAUCGACCAGAGGCACGGUGCCGCCUGAUGCAUUCUCAAAAGAUCUUCACGAGCCAUCCGUCGACCUAGGCAUGGGGGCUGGCGUCGACGCCACCACCGCCCAACCAACCAAUGCUGUCGAUACGCUCUUGAUGGUGGAAGAGAUGAUGGAGGUUGAACGACGACCAGGUCGACCAUUCGAUUGGCGCACACCGUUCCUCGACUGCCUUAUCCGCGGCGAGUUGCUAGAAGACAGGUCAGAAGCUCGUCGUAUCGCUCGACGGGCCAAAUCAUAUGUGAUCUAUGGCGAAGACAACGAGCUAUAUCGACGGAGCCCGACGGGGGUCUUACAACGUUGCAUCACCGUGGAAGAAGGCCGAAAACUCCUCGAUGACCUGCACUCGGGGGCUUGCGGUCACCACGCCGCUCCACGGACCCUUGUAGGGAAUGCUUUUCGACAAGGCUUCUACUGGCCAACGGCCGUGGCGGACGCCAUCGAGCUCGUACGAUCAUGUCACGGGUGUCAGUUCUACGCCAAGCAGACGCAUCUGCCUGCCCACGCUCUUCAGAUGAUCCCCAUUACCUGGUCGUUUGCGGUGUGGGGGCUCGAUUUAGUAGGACCUCUACAAAAGGCGAAAGGAGGAUUCACCCAUUUGCUGGUGGCCAUUGACAAGUUCUCCAAAUGGAUCGAGGCUCGACCCAUCACCAACAUCCGCUCCGAGCAGGCCGUCCUUUUCUUCACCGACAUCAUCCAUCGGUUUGGGAUCCCCAAUGUCAUCAUCACCGACAACGGCACCCAGUUCACCGGCAAAAAGUUCUUGGACUUCUGCGAUCGGCAUCGCAUCCGUGUGAACUGGUCUGCAGUAGCCCACCCUCGAACUAACGGCCAAGUCGAGCGUGCCAACGGCAUGAUUUUGCAAGGACUCAAGCCAAGGAUCUACAAUCGAUUGAAGAAAUUCGGCAAGAAAUGGGUCGAGGAGCUUUCCUCAGUCCUAUGGAGCCUUAGGACAACACCAAGCAGGGCCACAAAAUACACCCCGUUCUUCAUGAUCUAUGGCUCUGAGGCUAUCCUCCCCACAGACCUCGAGUAUGGGUCACCUCGACUCAAGGCCUACAACGAGCAAUCGAACAAAGAGACUCAAGAAAACGCGGUCGACCAACAUGAGGAGGCUAGAGACAUGGCCCUCCUCAACUCUGCCAGAUAUCAGCAAAGGCUUCGACGCUACCACGACAAGCAUGUGCGCAAGAGGGACCUCAACGUGGGCGACCUAGUCCUACGAUGCCGGCAAAGCAAUCAGGGACGCCACAAGCUGACUCCGCCUUGGGAAGGUCCGUACGUGGUGGCCGAGGUCCUGAAGCCGGGAACGUACAAGCUGGCGGACGAAAACGGGGCAAUCUUCACCAACGCAUGGAACAUCGAACAGCUACGUCGAUUCUACCCCUAGAAGUUCUAAACUUAUGUUCCUGCUUAUGUUUUGUACCAAGACUUUGUAAACGAAUGAAUGAAUAAAUAAAGUCCUUCCCUCGAAACAAUUCUUCUUUCUUUGUGCCGAGAAGAUUAAUAAGUCACGAUCUCGACGUUAAAAGGGGGCACCGACUAUGACCCAUCAUAGUCAGCACCCCCUCGGGGGCUACCAGGGGGACGACCCCCCCCCCCGAGUAUCGAAAAAACCAAGAAGUUUUAUUUUCUUACGUAGCAAACCUUGCACGGUUCAAGUAGCUAAGGCGCCUCGAGCCCCUCAAAGGCCGAGGGACAACGAGCUGGAGAACUCCUACGCCCCCGGGCUAUGGAAACUCUACUCACUUCCCCACCAUUGAAGUGAUCGAGGUGGUCUUUUAUGAAAAAUCGAGUAAGGGAUACAAACGUAGGCGCAAAGAGAAACGAAAGCAUCAAGCGGAAAGACAAAAUAAGCAUUUAACAAUUACGAAAGUGAUACAGCAUCAGUUACCCACAGAAUUAACAAAGUAUCGUACAAGGGGCCUCAGGCGCCCUGAGCAGGCUCGCAGGCCUCAGUCCGCGGCACGAUCCUCACCGCCCUCGCCUCCGCCCGAGCUAGCCUCAGGAGGGAGCACCUCAGGCUCGAAAAGCUUGGCCAACCUUUCCCCAGGAGCCUCCGCGUCGUCGAUCAAGGCAUGGUGCCUCUCCUCGUUCUCCGCGUCGGUCUUGGAGAUGUCGGUGACGAAGCCAUGGGACACCACCUCCAUGUCGUAGGAGAAGCCCGAGCAGACAACCGCCAUCGCCCGCUUCACCCCGAUGUGGAGGGCGUCCCGCACCCGAUCUCGCAGCGUCGCGCCUAUGUAGCACAACUGGUCGACCAGGGCGUCGCCUCGAGCGCCCUCCCUCGACUCAUCCAUAGGCUCGACCUCCCAAGAGGUCGAGAGAUCACUUAUCGCCGUCCGCACUCGACGGUUCAAAGCAACCUCCGCUUCGAGCUGAGCCUUGGCGUUGCGAGCCUCGGCUUGGGCGGCCAGGAGUUCGUCCUUGAGCCCUGUAAAGGGCAAUACAAGGCACUUUAGCAAAAACCAAACACGCCUUGAAGAAGAAAUCUAGCGACAGGAACAUACCACGAACGCUCUCCUCCAGGGCCGUGUUCUCGCCGACCAGUCUGGUGUUGGCACGCUCGAUCUCCCUGUUGGAGCGCGCCAGCUCAGUAUUGGCGACGCGGAGAUCUUCGAUCACCUUGCCAGCCUGAACAAUGGCCCCACUCUUCUCCAGCAAUUCUCCCUUCAGACGCUCGACGUCGUUAGAGAGACUGCGGGAUUGAGCCCGCUCCGCCUCGAGAUCUUCGAGGGCCUUCUUCCUGGCUUCCUCUGCGGCGCCCCUGGCGACUUCGCCGUUCACAUGCUCCACCUUCAUCUUUUGGAAAGACUCUCGGAGAGAGUCCAGGUCGGAUUUAAGGAGGCCCUUCUCCUUGUCCAAAUCCGCGAUGACGUUCUUGUAGGACAGGACCUCCUCCCUGGCCUUAGACGCGGCCUCCUCGACCGUAAGGGCGCGCUCCCGCAGCAGCACUGUCUCCUCCUCCGACUUCUUCGAGGCCUCUCGAGCCUCGGCCAAAGCAGCCUCCCUUACCUUUUUCUCCUCCUCAAGCGCUAUGAGAUCUUUAUAAGCUUUCAGGAGCUUUUCCUGCGACUCGAGGAGCUGGUCCUUGAGGAGGGGGAGCUGCUCCCAACCACCCCUCGUGGCGUGUAUGAAGCUGGACUUGAUGCGGGAGGUCUCUUUCAUAUCCUGCGAAUCAAGGGGUGUACGGAUUAGAACACAGAAACCAGAAAGCACCGUGGGAAUUGAAGUUCGAGAAACACUUACGAAAUAAGCCGGGCCGAGCCCGUUGUUAACAACGUCUGAGAGGAGCCCCACCACAUGCUUCAUCCAAAGGCGGAGCUCCUCGACGUGUUCCCACUUCUCCGCCUCCUUCCGAUCGUCGAGGAAGAUAUCGGGCUCAGACGGGUCGUGGGAGGCCCGGAUACGGAUGCGAUCGGGGCACCAGUGCUCUAUCUCCCGGUCGGCCCGCGCCUUAACGCCGCGGAUGAGGCCCUCGACGGUCUCGAGAGAGCCCCCAUGGCGCAGGAAUAGGUUGACGAGGCAUGGGAACCGCCCGUCGUCGUCCACCGUCUUCCAGGUCCCGUCCUUGGUCCCUGAUGUCCCGAUUUCGUCCUCUUCGGAAGGAAAGAGGUCCUCCCACGCCCGACGUUCCCGGAGGAACCCUGGGGCGAUCCCAUCCAUGCCGUAAAUUGUCCUCUUGAUCUCGGACUCGGGGUCGGGGGGGGGUGCGCUUCAGGCACGCAAGCGCCACCACUCCAUCCGCUCGCCCCGGCUCCGCCCGGAUCGCGGCAGGCGCCCCCGGGAGGAGCCACGCCGGAGUUGGGGGGCCGUACGCCGGCAGAUUCUCCUCCUACUCGCCGGGCUCUUGCGGCUUCGAUGGUACUGGCUGGGCCAGACCUUGGGGCGGAGGCUCGAGCAGUCCCUCCUCUUGGCCCCCCUGCUGCUGCUGCUGUUGCUGCUGCGGUUGUUGCUGCUGUUGCUGUUGCUGCUGCGGUGUUUGCUGUUGCUGCUGCUGCUGUUGCUGCUGCUGCUGUUGUUGUUGCUGCUGUUGCUGCUGCUGCGGUUGUUGUUGUUGUUGCUGCUGCUGCUGCUGUGCCUCGUGCUCCUGCGGCUGCCGCGCCGCCUCGCGCUCCCGCUGUUCAUCCUCCUCCCUCUUCUUUUUCUGCUCCUCGAGGGUACGGAGGCCGGCGGGCCAGGGAGUUGACCCCGCAACACGAGGGCUCGACGUUUCCUCCUCCAUAGGGCAGGCACCCCCAGACGCUCUGUCACCAUCAGACGUGUCGCUGAUGGUGAUGGGUUCCCCCUCGACCCCCAAUCGAGGGGGCUCGGGGGCUCCCUCUAACGCUUGCGUCUGGGACGCCUCGCCACAAGUCGGCGGCGACGAGGCAGGCACGGGAUGAGGCGGACUCCUCUCGACACCGGCUGGAGGUUGGGAGUCGGAGGAGCCUACAAAACAAGGGAUAAAGGUUAGACGCUGUAAUAACCGACGCGAGAACAUCACAGGGCCCAUAAACAAGCUAUAAACCUGGUUCCUUGGAGGCGGUUCCUGUUUUGAGCCUCUUUGCCAUGGACGGCUGGGCCCGCUCGAGGGUCCGCUUUAGCCUGAGAAAAGAUCGGCAUAUGAGCAAACACAGAGGAGCAGGAAGACAAAGGCCACAGCAUCGAAAGGGCUUCCCCUACAGGAAGAAUAGCUCGCCUCCCGCCGCCCCGACCGGCGGGCCUCGAGCCUCCCCGCGUCAGGGUUCUAGGCCCCUCGAGGGCAGGCACGGGCCUAGGCGCAUCAGUUCCCGCAUGGCGGGCGCCGGGACUGGCACUCCUGCGGCCGGCCUCUCCUUUCUCGGAGGCCGCGGCACGACCGCGGGUCAGUGGCCCCGUCGCCUGGGGCCUAGCAUGACCACUCUCCCUGGGUGCCGGGGGAGGGCGCGGCGCAACUUGACCAACCUUGGGCGCGGGAGGGGUAUCGGCGCGAGGACGGAGGGAUCCGCCUGGGCCCUCCGACGAAGCUUCCGCCCGAGGAGCGUCGGCCUCGCCUUGAGAUGGACCCCCGAGGAUCCGGUCAAGGCGAGACGCCAUCCCCUCGGAGUCCUCACUAUCCUCAUCGUCGUCAUCAUCUUUCUCGCUGGGGGACUCUUCCUCAGGCUCUCCCCUCUGCCUGGAUUUUGACCGGCGCGCCUCUAAAGCUUGCCGGUCAAGGUUUUUCUUCUUCUCCCCUUUCUUCUUAGAGUCCUUGACGGACUUCGACUUCUCGGCGGAACGGCGCCGCGCGUCGCGAUCGACUUCGUCCUCCUUCACCGGGGGCCUCGAGGAUCGAACGUCGAUCCGCCCCUGCCAUAGUAAAAGUAGAAUCAGAAAAAAGGGGUGGAAAAGGAACCCAGAGUCAAGGCUACCACGAGGAAGAAGACAUACCAGAUCGACCGAGCCUUCAUCAGGCCUCAUAGGGAAGCCAUUAACGUGCGACGGCUUGAAAUCGCCGGCGAUGGCCGCCCUGACCCGGGCGGCGACCUCAUCGUCCGCCAGAGCCACGUUGGACAUCCGGCAAGCCUCGAGAUCCCGGGACGAGACGCCCGGCCCCAUUUCGUCCAUCCUCAAUGGCCGAGACAUCAGGGGAAGGACCCUCCGACGAUGGACGGCCGAGAGGACGAGAGCGGCGGACAGGCCCUCCAAGCGCAGCCUCUUCAUAGCGUCGAGGAGGGGGUCGAGCCGUGACUGGUGCUCCUGGACGACGCCGUAUGUCCAGUUGUCUGGGCGCUCCGAGAUCAGACGGCCUGUGUAGACGGGGAAGAGACCGUCGUCGUUCCUCAGAUAGAACCACUUGAGUCCCACCCAGCAUGGUUCGACGACAGCCCCACCGGGAUGUACUCGCGCGGCCUCUCCGUCUUCUUCGUCUUCAACACCAGGUUGAGGCAUCCGGCCCGCACGGGUUUCCUCACACCGGUGGUCCUGGUGGGGGCGUUGAAAAGUUCGCCCCUGUAGAGGUGAAGCCAUAGAUCCCAAUGGGGCAUCAUCCCCAGAUAACCCUCGCACACCACGGCGAAGACCGCCGCGACGGUGAUGGCGUUCGGGGAAAAAUGCUGGAGCUCCACCCCGUAGUGGAAGCAGAGAGCCCGCAUAAAGCGGCUCGGGGGAGCGCCCAGGCCAUGGCGGUGGAAUUUGGCGAAUGACACAACAUAGCCCUCGGGUGGCUGGGGCUCCCUGUGACUCGCCGGCAGCGCGAUCCACUCCGGCGAAGACUGCAAGGUGCGGCGGCGCAAGAGCCCUUCAUUCUCGAGCUCUAGCAGGCGGCGGUCCGUCAUCAACGACGGACGCCAGUCGUCGGCGGCAACAAGCCUCACAGGCAUCUUGGUUGGAAUACGGUGGAUUCGCUAACCGCUCGAGGGGGUGCACGCGCGUGUGAAGGAAGCAAGAGAGCAAAGGCAGCAAGAAGACGGAGGCGAGAGAACGGAAGAG
RNAcentral lists this long non-coding RNA (96483 nucleotides) under Sorghum bicolor (sorghum). RNAcentral describes it as "long non-coding RNA (SBIC_LNC006396)". Lineage: Eukaryota; Viridiplantae; Streptophyta; Magnoliopsida; Poales; Poaceae. The record is from RNAcentral.